UCUCUCCAAGUUUGCAACCACCUGCUUGGGAAAGUGUAGAGCGGUCAAAGAUUUCCUUAAGAUGUGACUAAAGAAUAUGCAUUCCAAAUACUAAACUUUUAAGACAACCUUCACUCCCUUCGACAUUUCUGCUUCAUUUCUAGCAAUUCUCAAUCUUCUACUUCUAGAGUCUGACACUCUUUUUGCAGAAGAAACUUUGGGCUUUUGAAAGCGUCCAUGCAGGGUGUUCGAUGGCAGCAAUUGGGUAGAAAUUAUAGUGGGGUUUUCUAGUGCCCUUUCUCUUAUCUUUUUGCGUUGUUUCUUUUUUCUAGAGCAAACAACAGUUUUAUCCUUUUGACCAUCCACCGAGAGAUUCAUAUUACAAUCUCCACUAUUAGCAGGAACAUCAGAUAGGUCCAAAAUAUUUGAAGCUUUAAGAGUCCUAGAGAGACAUGUGUUGAAUAAUUUCAGAGCUCCAAGCCUUCCUAGUUGUAGUAGAAUUUCCCUCUCCAAUGUUAACACAUCUGAAUCAGCAAAUGUCUCCUCUAAAACGUCGAGAUUCUCCAUUAGCAAACUAUAAUGUGAAGCCUUGCAUGCUUGUGGGCUUGUGCGAGAGGAAGAUUUGUCCCCUCCAAUUAGUUCAUGAGUUUUAUCAAUCAUAGUAAGUGAAUGACUGUGUGACUGUGAUCCCUUGCCAAUGUUUACCUGGAUGAAAAAGAUUCAGAAUAAGUAUGAGACACUUGAGAGUGAAAAUGAUUGAAAUGGACAAUGGACAGUUAUGCAACUUAGUAGAAACAAUUGACAUAACCACACACCUUCAUUUCUUCAAUUUCCAAGCAACCUUUUUCUAAUGUUUGCGGAGCUGCGGAUGAAGCAUAUGCCUUCAGAGGAUCUUUUAACGAAAGCACACCUUCAUCAGAAAAUAGGACAAUGUGAGUGAAUAAAACCAAAAAAAAAAAAUCUACAACAAACCAAAGACGAGCAAAUCAUAUAUAAGCAAAGCAUAAGACCACAGAUGUGAAUUUGGAAAUAAAGCAUAGUAAAAGCAACGAUCUUGAAUGGCUUAUAAUUUAACAGAAAGCAACCAACUUUCCAAUUUGAAGUUAAUUUUAGGACAACCCAUAUUUGGCACUCCUACAUGGAUAAUAAGCUCCAUCUUUGCUUCAAUUAACAUAAACAUAAGGCAACAAAACAAAUUCAACUAGGAAGUUAACAGACAGUUUAACAAUCAACUCAAUCUAGCCACUGUCAUCUAAUAUAUAUAAUAGUGAAAGCUUAUUUAACUUUAUUUUCUGGCAGAGUAAGAACGAAAGGUGGAUUUGAAAUCUAUUUGAACUCACCAGAAGAAGGGAGCCUCGAAGGUGAACUGGCAAGAAAAUGAGAAGGAACUGGGCAAACCCCCUUGAGAUUCAGCCUGAAACCCAUUGGACCCCAGAAAGCAGAGACACAGUGCCCAUCAAAUCCUCAUGAACUUGUCAGACUUAUAAGGUGGAUAGCAAAAACCAAAAAGAAAAAGUAUGUUACCAAGUGAACAAUCAUUGAAUUUUAGAUUAUUUGUGUUCUCACACCUGAGCCACCGGUUCUUCAUCUCCAAAACUUGUGUCAACGACAGUUUCACCCUUUUGUGUGAUGACGCAAGUGCCCAAUUCCCGAAUUGCCUUUCCCACUAGAAAAGAAAAAAAUAAAUAAAUAUCCGAAUAAACCUUUAAAUUAUAUAAAAAAAUCAUUUCAAUUUUUAUCUUUUUAGUACGUUUAAAUAAAUUUUUUAAUUUUUAUUUCAAAUAAAAUAAAUCCCACUACCUAAUCAUUAGUUAAUUUUCAUUAAUCAAUAGUAUAUAUGAUAUUUUUAUACUAUGUCAUCUAUAACAUGAUAAAUAAUGUGGUAUUAGAUAUUAUUGAUUAGAAUUAAGUAAAUAAGUUAAAAAGUAAAUAUAUAAAUUUUAAUUAAUAAUAUUUAAUAUCACGAUAAUAAAUAAAAUAAUAUAAAAAUGUCACAUGUAUAAUUGAUUAAUGAAAGUUAGUUAAUGAUUAGAGAGUUAGACUUAUUGGAUCUGAAAUAAAAAUUUAAAAACUUAUUUAAAAGUAAUAAAAUGAUAAAAAUUAAAUUAUUUUUUUAACAUAAUUCAAAGAUUUAUUUGGAUAUUUAAUCAAAAACAUAAUAAUAGUAAAAAAAAUGAAAAACAACUGUACCUGGAUUUGGGUCUGCUACACAGCCGCAUGUGAAGUGCAACAUCUGGUCUGGUCUGUCAGAAUUGGGCUUUGUUUCUUCUCUUACAGAACUUCCCUGCGGCCCAACCCAUAUUUGUUGUAUCAAGGCCAACAUGCUUGCUCCUCUGAGCAACAAGUAGUCAAAUACCAAGUAUUAUUUGAUGAUUAAUUUUGUUUUCAUUAAAAUAACGCAAAGAAGCCAAUAUAUGAAAGGCAAACAGAUAACAAGGAUACAGAGAAUAAAAUUAAAAGUUAUGAGAUGAUGUUGUCAAAGCACAAUCCAAGCAAAGAAAAGCCGCAAUCAGCCUUGUACUUCUUCAACUGUUUAAGAGAAAUUCCUUGCAGCCCGACGGAUUCCUUUCAGUCUAUUUCCCUUCUUAUCAGCAUAACUUCCUACCAAGCGUGGUGCCCCCAAUUUGUGCUCCAGCUUCCUCUUUCCCACAUAAUUGAUUGACCUUUUAGUUGAAUUUUUCCAAAUUUUUACUAACUUAUUUCUUCCAAGGAAAAUUUCUUCUUAAGUCUAGCAGAAUCAGACCCAGAUCUUAACCUGAUAGCAAAUCUUGGUGACAUAUCCUGGCUUGUACAUUUAAAACUCGUUUCACCCUUAUCUAAGUCAAUGAAUUUCUCCCCUCCCUCUUGUUUGAUGUCAUCAGCAGUUUUAUGUCUCUUCAUUUGUUGUUCCUCAACGGUGGUUCUUGCCGUCAGCUUCCCUUUCUCCUUAAUUUAAGAAACAUCAUUGACUGAAGAACCACUGCUUGCAGCACUUUGAACCGUUUAAGAUGAGUUUUGCACACGAAAAAAUUCUGUGUCUCAAGAAAAUUGUCCUUCCUAGCACUGUUGCGUAGCUUGAAGGUCUUUUAACAGAGAAGGGAAAUUUACAGAGAUUACUAUUUGUAAAAACUGGAUGGGGAGGGGACCGACACCAAGAUAUUGAGUUACCAUUCUUGCUACACUGCGAGCAAACACUGAAUUCCUUCUCAUGUUUGAACUGUAUGCAUGGUAACAUAGACACUCCUGAUUCCUCCUCACUGAUAAACCUUAUGGUGCAAAAUCUCUUUAGCCGAGAUGCGUUUAUCAACGCAUUCUUUGAAACAAGGAGAUUGCCCUUUUUCCUGUAGUGAUCGACUUUGACUUCUGGUUUAUGAUAUUCAUUUUCUGGUCCAUUUGUUCAGUUGGCUUCUUGUGCAACUUUGAGUUCUCUACUUCCAGCAUUUCUUCUCGCUUAGUGAUCAUCUCCUCAUUUUCAGCCCACAACUUUUCAUUCUCCUUUUGCAGUUCAAUAUUUGGAGCUUGACCCCUGAGUUAGAAUAUGAGAGGUUAUCCUUAUUACAAAAAAUUGAGAGGCUAUUCUCACUGAUGCACGUUUCUGGUGACGAUAUGUUGGUAUGAUAUAUUCUGAAAUUUUGUGGACCACUUACUUUUACUUAACCUUUACAGCUACAGAGUCUUCACCGUGCAGAAGCCUGCACAUAUUGAGGCAAGCUCUUGUUUCAGUGCUCCCGCAUUAACAUUUCAAUUUCCAUCUUAACUUCGUUGUGAACUCCAUUAGACCAUGGACUAUUAGCAGGCUCCUGGUAACAGUUUCCAGGGGUGAAUGAACAUGGGGACUUAAUUUUGAAAGGCCGUGGAUCAUAGGCUUCAUGUAAGCUGAAAGCUCCAACCCAAACAAAAUGCUAACAGAGAUGGCAUCCUGGUCCAACAUUUGCAAUAUGAUGGAAAAUUUUGCUUAUUUUGUCUUAUUGUUUUAAACCUCUUGGUUGUGUAAUUAAUUGAAGAUAAACUCUUAAUCCCAACUUUACCUUCUCCACAUGCCAUUAGGCUACAUAAUCACCAGGUGAUAAUUUGAAUUUUUGGGAUGACAUGUUUUUCUUUUUGUAGUACUACUUAGCAGCAUAUUAGUGGCAGUACAUGUCCCAUCUCAAUGAAUGAUUGGCCAUCAUUUUCUGCAUGGAGCAACCCCAUGGAAUCAAGCAAAAUCCAAACCGAUGACUCCCAGCUUUCCCUGGUCAGAACCACUCCACCAAUUUUAAAAAUCAUUGUCGUUCCACCAUGAGAAGACACCACUUCUUUUGCUUUCCAUCUCUAUUGGCGAUAAAUACCAACUUGCUAACACCAAUGGCUGUGCUUAAAUAUUUCUUUAAGUUUUUGUCUUAUCUACUUAUUACUUAUAUAGAAAUCAGUUACAUGGACAUUGAAUUCAAAUUCACCAAACUUUUCCAUUCUCCUGCCAAGUUCCACUCGCUUAAAUGGAAAAAGAAAAAAACAAAUGAACAUUAAUAAACCGCGUAGGGUUGAGCUUAAUAAGGCAGAACCAUCAAAUUAAGCCUUCCAACAACUCCAUUUUAACCUACCACCUCCAUGUGCCAGUGGGCUCUAACUACAUCAUGGGCACAAUUUAGCGGCAGUGUAUAAGACCUUCGGGGGGUUUGGGUGGGAUCCUGGGCCAUGUCUUCCCUUCCCCUAGUUGCCCAAAACAAACGUAUUUACCUAUUAAUAGCAAAGCUGAAAAAGCCUACGCCGGUUUCCUAAGCCCACAGUUCUUAAACCAAAACCAACAAGGGCCACUCCUAUUUUAAAUGAACUGGAAACAGGAAAUUAAAAUGAAAGGAACCCAUUUGAAUAUUGCCAUUCUUUUUUUGUUUCAUGUCCCACUUUGGGGGGGUUAUGUGCUUGACAGGAUUGCAGAAAACGCGGUCCGAGGAGAUUUUUCAAUGGGACAAGUCCAUGGAUUCACGAUAAUCUUAACCUAAAUUAGUACAUCAUUAACUAUUGUUUUUGGCAACUGUUUUGUGACAGGGACAACCUAACCCAUGACUUUUCAUGAAAUGACUAUCUACUUAAUGGGCAGAUUUGGGAUUAACUGCUUCAGGAAAAGCUCUAAAUAAUACAAGUGGGUUUUAAAUAAAUAUUUUUUCUUUUGCCACAUUCUCUUCGAAAAUACCCUUUUAAGAUUCAAGCAAGCUGAAUGAGUUUUCAUCCUAAUCCAAAACUAAUCAUGAGUCAAAUAAGAUGCUUCUGCAAGAAAAAAGGUUCCUCAUUCUUUGUCUGUAAAGCAAAGGGUUCCCGCAGAGUACAACUUGCAUGACUAAAAUAUUAACUAGAAUAUAACAACUUAAAUAGAGAGGAAAAAAAAAAAGAAACAUCUUUUAGAAAAAUACAAGAUACAUUCUUAGAUUCCUUUAGUAAUGAAAUUUGAAUUAUAUAAAUAAAAGAGACGUCACUAAUUUUAUAAAUAUUUAUUAAAUUUAAAAUUUAAAAUCUUUAAAUUAAAUACUCAAUUCUCACUUUUAAGAUGUACUUUUUCAAGAUAAAUAUUUAAGGCAUGGUGUAGACCUAUGAUAUUGCUUUCGAUGAAUAUUAAAAGAAAAAAGUUUGUUUAAAAUUAAAAUUUAUUUUUUUGGACUUAAUUAUUAAUAAAAAAUUGUUUCAUUUGUUGACCAAUAUAGGUAUUAUUUUUUAAAAAAAUAUUUAAUGUUAUUAAUUAAUAUCGAUAAAAACAUUCAAUAUUGACGAAUAUUGCUAAUAUAAAAAAAAAUUCAGGUAUAAACAUUCAUGUAUAGAGUUUGACGACAAAGAUGUGUAAAGUAGGGAGAUCCCCGUCCGAGCACCGCAUCCGAAGAAAGCCCUUGUGGAUAAUCUUGAAGCUGAUAACACCCAAAAAAAAAGGGAAAAUGAAAAAACAUAGAACAGUAAAAAGCAAAGUCCAGAUCAUGGAGAUCUCGAGAGAUCAAAAGCAUAGGCAAUAAUCCAUAUCGUAUGCCACGCGUAUUCAUCGCCUUGAUGGGGUGUCAGUAGCAGGACUAAGCUUAUCACCUCCGGCUCACUGUGCCACCAACCACGUGUACCCAUUGGUUUGACCCGGGGUGGUGUAUGUCACGUGAUGGCGCUUACGUGUCAACGUACGGACCCUGCAGAUGCGAUAUUUAUUCGUACGGAUCAUGUGCUCAGUUCUUUUGUCGGUUUGCGAUUCUGUCCCUGAUUUGAUCGUGGUGCCAUCACAGCCGUUCAUUUCCAUAGAUUGAGGAAAUUUGGAUUUUAGUAUCCCGUACGUGUACUUACCAGUUACCGCUUCAAUAUCCGCUGUAAUUUACUAAAUGCUCUCUUCACCAAAAGUAUGUUGGGAAUUACUACUAAAUUCUCUCCGAAAUCAAUCCAAUUUGUUCAGAUUGCAAUUUUUUUAUUUACUUUCCAAUUAAUUAGCCAAUCAAUUUUACUAUUGAAUUUAAUUUUCAAAAUUAUAUUUUGAUCGAGACUUGACAGCGUUUAUGAAAUUAACUAAAAUGACACUUUAAUGCCUGGCCAAGAAAAAAAACACAGGAGUGGCUAAAAUGUUAAAAUGGUAAAUAACAGCACGAGCUCGCCGCGCCACCUUUGCUUAGUAAGAAAUAAGAAAUGCUAGAAAUCCACCUGAAACCAAAACAUUGAACUUCACCACCUAUUUGAAAACAGGACAAUGAAAUUUGCUUGCUUCGCAGAUGGAGGCUCCGCCAUGGAAAUAUCUGCCACCCAAGUGUACAUUAGCGUAACGUAAUUUAAACUUGCUAAAGUGCACGGGGGUCUCCGUGACACUGCCGCUAAGCUUGGCGGGUUCUUAACUGCCAAGUAGUUCGUCGCUUUGCAGAGAGUUAAUGACGCGUGGAUGCAAUGCAGAAGCCCGAACAAUCAGCCCAUUUGCGCAUGGCUGCCACUGUCUGCAAUCCGUCCACGUGUCAAUAAACCUCUUGAUCACCAAAAUCGUAUAUAUCUCGGCAUAUCUGGCUAAAUUAUCGUAUUAAUAGCUUCGAAACUUCGAGAUUCAGCUUCGAAGUUACUGGUAAUUUCAUUCCAACAACUUUCAAAACUUCCUUUAACUACGGUUAAAUAUCACCUAAUACUCACGACAUUUUAUUUUAUACUAUUUAUUCCGCGAUAAGUAACAACUCCCUUCAAAAUAUCCCCAACUCGAAGGGACCUCAGCAAUCAGUUUUCAAUACACAAAGACAAACGAUAGAAUCACCGACGGUGAAGCAUUUUACCACAGCCAAUCACAAAGAGAUAAGCACAAAUCGCUAAUUUCCCCGGGUCCCACUGACGCCAACACUAAAGACUAAAACCUAAUAACUUGUAAUCAACGGCCACGAUAAGCCCAUGACAUAGAAUUGUCACACCGUCACAUCUACCGUAUUUUUAACGGUAGAAACUAGGAAAGUGGAGGCUGUAGAUUUUUUAACUCAACCAUGGUUAGCUCGAAACAACUUCGGGUUAGAAAAGCAGUUUAUAAUGAAGGGAACCGCUGCUCCUCCUAGAAUCAGAGAACGAUGUCCAAAAAUGAUGAUCGGAGAACCAACCCGACCAAAUCCCACCAUCAAAAUCCCCGCGUGGGACCCAUUCAACGAUCCGGCGGCUAACUUUCCUUCCGUUAACUACAACUGUAAUGCACCCAACAGUCCUUGCCCCGUCGACUACCUCACGUCCCUCCACCGUUACCUUCCGUCAAACGACUUCGAGUCUGACUCGCUGAGUGAUGAUUCCGACUUACCGGUCGACGCAUUCUCAUGCGACCAUUUCCGUAUGUACGAGUUCAAAGUGAGGAGGUGCGCGCGUGGCAGGUCACAUGACUGGACUGAGUGUCCGUACGCCCACCCUGGUGAGAAAGCCCGAAGAAGAGACCCGAGAAAGUUCCAUUACUCUGGAACUGCUUGCCCUGAUUUUCGCAAGGGAAACUGUAAGAAAGGAGAUUCCUGUGAGUUUGCUCAUGGCGUUUUUGAGUGUUGGCUCCAUCCUGCUCGUUACCGAACUCAGCCUUGCAAAGACGGUACCAGUUGUAAAAGAAGGGUUUGUUUUUUCGCUCACACGCCGGAGCAGCUUCGGGUCUUACCCCAGCAGAGUCCGAGAGGAAAUGGGGCCGGUUCGGGUGAUUUGGAUUAUGUUGGAUCACCCAUACGCCACCGUCUAGACUUUGUUUCUUCACCAACUUCCAUCCUGGCUUCUCCUCCAAUAUCCCCGCCUUCCGAUUCACCCCCUAUGUCACCAAGUGGGUCAUUUAACUCUGCGAGUGAACUGGCUGCUUCCAUGCGUAAUCUGCAGCUUGGUAAGGCAAAAAUGACUGGUGCUUGUUCUUGGGGUCUGCAAAUGGGAUCAGGUUUCGGUUCUCCUCGGGGCUCCACUCUCCGAUCCUCGUUUUGCAGCUCUCCUUCAACUCCAACUCGCACACCCACCCGGUCUGGCCUAGGUCAGUUCGACCUCUGGGAAUGCAACGCUUUUGAAGAGGAACCUGCGAUGGAGAGAGUGGAGUCUGGGAGAGACUUAAGGGCAAGGAUGUAUGCAAAGCUGAGUAAGGAAAAUUCUCUGGACCGACUUGAUCCAACAGGAUCGGGUCCUGAUGUUGGAUGGGUGUCUGAGUUGGUGAAGUGAGUCUUAUUCUUUGGAAUGGACUGGAUGGUGGGGAAUGGGGACUCAGCUUCUGUUUUGAUUUAUUUUGGGAAAUUUCAAGAAAAUAUCGGUGGCCUUUGAUUCUUCUGACUUUGUGAAUAUUGAUGAUCGAUGUUUCUGAUUUGGAUAAUUUGCACUGUAAAUAGACGACGGGGAAAGAGAGAUCGGAGAAGUCUCUAUUUUGUGGUGCACUGCUUCUUUUCUUUAAGUUUUGUUAAUUGGGAAAAAAAGAAAAUUGCAACCUUUGUAUAGACAAGAAGGAUUUAUUAGGGCUGCCGAAAGAAUGGGUAGCGGUUUGUUUCUCAUUUUGUUUAUUAUGAAUCGUAAUUUCCUUUUCAUUUCAUCCUGAUUAUCUCUGUAAUUUCUGUUAUCAUGGCUAAUCAAUGUAAUAUAUUUCUUCAUCCUCUGUCUUCUUUUUUCUCGUCUAUAUCUCUUUUUAACUUUUUUUGCUUGAUUUGGUUGAUACGCUAAUAGUAGUAUUAGUAGAUUGCAGCAGAGAAGAAUGUUUUUCCCAAAAAAAAACAAAAACAAAAUUUGUAUUCAAAUUUUCUUUUCCCUGAUCAAGUUUGUUCUACUCUUGCUUGUGAGAGGCUGGAAGCAUGGCUGUUUUUCUGGUCCUUCGGGAAAGUGAAGUUCAAGGCCAAAAACAAUGCGGGAACUGUGUCUUCCAAGUUUUCUGAUCCAGAGGCACUGGAACUGAAAUAGGCAAAAAGGGAAAAUGGUUUCAAUCUUUCCGGUUCUGGUAUACGCCUGAUCUCGUCCCCUGGUUAUAGUACCAUCCAUGUUUGCCUUGUUUGAUGGUGUUGAGUGGAGAGCUAUUUUGGUUCACGAACUCCUGAUUACGUACCAUCAAGGAUUUCGUCUUUUCAUUUUCAUGUCAAAGUGGGGACUGGGGAAAAACUUAUCUAUGGGUUUCUUGGAUACCUGAAAUCUUUAGGGUAAGCUUAUCAUGUGAGUAACAAUCAAUAACGACGACAAGCAGUCUAAAAUAUUGAUUUGGAUCCUCCACCCCUAUAUAAAGAAUUUUAUCAGGUAUUUUAUCUGGUAGUGUGAUUAGAUUCGUGACGUGGACCCAUUGAACUGAUAUAACCCGUCCUUAUCUGCUGAUAAUCUUUUAGUUUAUCUCCUCAGAGCCACUUGUAUCGUGAUUAAUUAAAUUAAUUUAUAGUGUAGUAAACUUGAUGUGAAAGUUUUAUCGAAGAGACAGGGUAUGGUCAAGGCAAACGCUAUCUGUUGGAGGGUCCCAAUAAAAAAAUCUAGGGGACUGUUUCUGAUUUCUUCGUAGUGACCAGACACAGGGCGGAGUGAAGGUGGAUUUGUUUAGGAGACAUACGGGUAUUAUUUUUAUGAUUAAAGAGGCCGACAAAGUGGACGAUAGUUCCGAGAUUUGGUUCGUUUUUUUGGGUAUGGAACGAAGCUUUAUAAAAAGUCACUGGUGCAUGUGUAUGGGUGUGUGGAGAGAUUCUGUGCUGGCGUGCUCUCCGAAACUAAUGUGUUGGUCUUGUUUUUGGCCGCAGGAUAAUCAUCAUGUCCUUAGCCCAGGAGUCUUCGAAAUGUGAGGAAACCAGUCAGAGCUAAGAGUUCCUAGAAUCAGACCGAAAUCUUGAUCAUCUUAUUUCAAUUAGUUUGCACGAUAGCUCUAUUGUGAGUUUGUAUUUAGUCGAUUCCAUACAUAUAAAUAAUUUCUAAAUAAUAAUGUCCUUCGAAAAUGACCCGAGAGAGUGUUUUUAUGCCUAACAAUUUGUACUUUGCGUUGAUGGAGUGCUAGUAUUUUGCACAAGUUAAAAGGAAUAUCACGAACGAAAACGAUACAAAGUAGGAUUUUUUUUUUAAGAGUAUUUGACAUUUAACUAAAUUCACCGAGGAAAUAAUUCUAAAGUAAGAUAAGAUGACAGAAAAUGAUAUAAAGAUAUAAUAAAAAAAUGUUUAACUUACUAGCUUUAUUGUUGAUGUAAUUGUAUAUAUUGCAAGAAAUGAACGUUACAAUUAGAAAUUGUCAAUUGUAAAUCAAUGACAGUUACACGUUUUUGCAAAAUCCAAAAUGUUGUAUGUUAUCAGGUAUGUUGGAUUUUCUCCUUUUUGAGCGAAGGUCAUGAUAAACCUUGAAUAAGUUAAUUGAUAAAAUUGUAAAUUUCUAGUAUAUAGAAUAUAUAAAUAUAACACAAAUUAUUUUACUUAUCAUCAAUUGAUUUUAAAUUCGAUAUAAAUUUUAAAAGUAUAACAUAGUAACAAAAUAAGUAUUGUUCUCGUUAUUAUUUAUUUCAUAAUGAAUUAUCAUGUAUUAGAUCCGUUAUAUCUACACAUAAAAUAAAUUUUUUAAAAUAAUAAAAAAAAUUUAAUACAUAAAAUAAUAAAAAUCACUCAACUUGUUAUCAAUCGAUUUUAUAUUGAAUACUUGUUUUUAAGAUAAUUAUAUAAAUUAUUUAAUUAAAAUUAUUAUAUGAUAUUAUUAUCACUACAACAUUUUAUUAGAGUUGUACUAUAAUUAGAGAUACCUAUGUACCAUACAUAAGUUAAUUUUCUCAACAUACAAGAUUUUUUUUUCUUUUUAACACUUAUCUUAAAAAUUCAACAUUAAUCAUUCUUUGUCCUUAGAGCAACGAUCUAAAAUAAUGAGCUUUGAACUUAGUCUGGUACCUUUUCGUGUUCGCAAAGCUUCUUGCGCCCGACGCCCCAUCCCUCCAUGCUUUUACUAUUAAUUAAAACUCGAGCCGUCGUGUUUAAAAUUGGGUUAGCUCAAUGAAGCUAGUAGGGGACCUUGUUAUUGCUUACGGAUUGUUGGUUAUAUACCAAUCUUUGGCUCCACUCAAUCUAUCUUAUAUUAUCAAUUGAGAUCUUCACAUUCUAUGCGACGAUGCACGAAUUGUGCUUGGAUAAAAUUGCGGGUGGUUGCGCUCUUGAUGUCGACAGCUUUGGCUUCUCUCUGUUUACGUUUAUCAUAACCUUAUCGUACAAAAAUUUAAUUUCAGUUUUAACAAUUAUUGCCUGAAAUUAAUUCUUAAUAAAUAUAAAAAAAAUUUUAGUUCUUUGAAAUACAUAAAAUAAAAAAGAUAGCAUCUUAAUUUUAUAUGAAAUUAUAAAAUAAAUCUCAAAAUGAGAAAUUUUACAAAUUUUAAAAUUUAAAAUGAGUAUUUAAUUUUAAGAAGAUAGUAAAAUUAUUUUAUUCUUUAAUGGAAGAUGAAGAAAUUAAAAUUGAGAUUGGGUUUUUGAUUUUAUUUUGUUGUCUGGAUUAUUCUCAGUGCAUUAAAAGCCUUAGAACCUUAUCUAGAAAAGGCCCACAUUGCUCUCUGUGUGCUGGAGAGGUGGUAUAGCAAAAUCAAAGUAACACUCAAAGGGACAGGCAGCCUCCAGGGGGGACCGAAGUCUUUUUCAUGGACUAGAACCAACGCCCCAACGCGACCUCAUGGUUCUUUGUUCCCGGCCUCAGUCACAUCAGAAAUUAUCCGUUCAACGGUCCCAUUUUAUUCCAAAAAUAAAAAAUAAAAAAGAGCUAAUAAUAAAUCUUUCAUCUAAUUUAUAUUUUUUAUUAAAACAAUAUAAAAUAAUACACUAAUAUUAAAAUAGCACAUGAGAAUGUAAUUCUUAUAACAUUACUUAAUAAAAUCGAGACAUUACUUGAAGAUCCAUAACAAGCAUCAUGUCAAUAAAAUAUUAAAAAAUUAUAUUUUGAAAAAGUUCAUCAAAUUAUUUGAUUUGUAAUAUAUAUGAAUGAUACUGAAUUGUUAUUAACAUACAAACUACUCCUUAAAUGCCUGUGUCCUAACUUGGAAAAAUGCCUUAUGAGGAGGGUGUUUUGGUAUGAUGGGGCAUUGAAAGCAGACAAGAUGAUUGAGGGUAUCCACAUUAUGAAUGGAGGUGGGGUUGAGAGGAGAGCAGCCUUUACAACACCCCUACCGCCAAGUAAACUAUCUCCAUUUUCCUUCUCUUUUCAAUGCAUUAAAUUUUGUAAAUGUUUGAUGCAAAAUUAAAGUCUCUCCCUAUGUUUUUUUUUUAAACUACUAAGUAUUGUAAUUAGGGUUUCAGAAAAAACUGAAUCAAUUUUAGGGAUUUUUUUAAUCGAAUCAAAGAUUUUUAAAUUGAUGUUGGGUUUUUAUGAAUCCAUUUAAGGGAUUUUUUGAAUCAAGUUUAAGGGUUGCUGAAUCAGUUUUCAAAUUCAUUAAAUUGGGUUUAACUGAUUUAAGGGUUUCAUUAAAUUGAAUUAAAUCAAUUAAGGGCUAAUUGAAUCGGGCUUAGGAAUCAUACAUAAUGAAGAAAAAAAUUGCUUAAAAGAUAUUAGAAUUAUUAAGUACUAGUACUUUAUCUGAGCUUUGUUGAGGGAUUUUUUUAUUUUUUGCAAUAAAUAAUAAACAUUGAAAUGUUUAAUUUUUUUUACCAUAUUAAAAGUUUUCAUGUUAAUAUCUCAUGAGAACAUUAAAAAUGUAAUAAUAUAAACAUCAAGAAUAAAGAAAAAGAGAAAUUAAUUUUAUUUCGUUGCUUGCUGGCUAAAUAUACAUAUUAUUACACUCCCAAUUUCAUAAUAAUAUCAAAGCAAUCAUCUAAGUCGUACAUACAUUAUGAGAGUUGAUUCACAAUUCUUUCAAAUAUAUAUAUAUAUAUAUUAAAAUCUGAAAUUCAUUAAAAAAUGAAAAAUUAACUAACAUUUGAAAUAUCAAAUUGAAAAAUUAUAAAUUUUUUUUCAAAAAGUGUGUUCAUCGUGCAAGUUUGAGUUGAUUUUUACCUUGCAUUUCAAUACAAGUUUGCUAUAUAAUGGAUCUUAAAAUAUAUAGUAGUAGUUUCAAUUCAAUAUGAGAGAAGAAAAAGAGAAAAGAAAAUCAUGGUAUUACUAUAGUAAAAUCUUUACUCGUUGUAAAUCCCGUUUCACAGUGCAUGUAUUAAUCUAGUUUUUAUUUAUUUUGAGCUCAUUACAAGGCAAAAAUUUUGGUAUGAACUAUGGGCUUCUAUGGCUCCGUAAAUUUGCAGUAAAAAGCACCCUAAAAAUUAGAGUUUUUUUUAUCAAAUUACUUUUUUGAAAUAUUCUUAAAAAAUCAUUUUCGUUAAUUUAAAAUGUUAUCUUGAAUGUUUCUAUCACUUAUUCUUGUGUCCUUGUCAAAAAUUCAUAAUAUGUGAUAGAUUUUGAAUUUAUAAUAAUUUUUUUCUAUUGAACAGAUAUAACUUUAAGCUUUAGUUGAGAAAAAAAAUAAAAAUAUUUUUUAAGUUGAAAAUAUAAUCUCGUGACAAGUUAUAUCAAAACAUACUAAACUCUUCACUUGAAUUAGUGACAUUUUUAGUCAAAAUUUUCAAAAUUUAUUUACAAGCUAAAUUUUAUUUUAACCAGAAUUGGGUCAUUUUUUUUUUUAUUUUUCAGAUUUGUAAACAAGAAAAACUACUUUAGAAAUUGGACCCAACAACCCACCUAAACAAAAAUUUCUCAUAAAAUGGUCCACCAACCAGCAUUAUCCUUGUUUUCUUUAUUUAUUCAGAAGAUCCUUUUUUCUCCAAUGUUGUUUGACAAAAUGGGAUUUCCCGUAGAUUUGAAGGCAUGGAUCCACAAGUCUUUUCCCAGAGCAAAGUUGGCCCAUUGGGCCCAUGGUCUUUCGUCAAUUAUAAAUUCCACCCAUAAGGCGGGAUAUGCCUUGUUAUGAAGGAAGGUAGUACAAAAAUGCUUAUGACCUCCACUCGGUUUGCUUAUUUCAAUUUAGUAAAUUCAAGCGAUCUUUUCCCAACUCUUCUCUGGCCUCAUCUUAAAUAUCGUACAAAAUUUAUAUAUCAUUGAAGGAUCCACCAAGAUGGCUUUAAAUGUAAUCACUCAUUCAAAUAAAUGUAACUUUCAAGUGAGUAAAUUUAUAAAAGAUUUAAAUUACUAUUAUUAAUAUAUUUGUUACGGAAUCAUUACACAUUUACGUUUAUAAAUCUGUCAAGAUCUCUUUUAAUUGUCUGAUGUUAAAAAUGAAGCACGUUGCCUCUUUGUUACGAAGUACUUGACCUGACAUCUCAACUAUCAAAGUAAUUAUUUAAUAUGAAUCAUAAUAUUUUCAAUUGAAAAUAUGAAAAAAAAUUACUUUCAAAUACUUGUUAAGGUAAUAUUUGAAAUAUUUUAAAAAUAAUAAUAAUCUAAUUAAUAAGUACCAUUUAACUGAAUCUUUCCUUCACUCACCUCUCCCAAAAAAGGAGAAAAAAAAAGUAGCGCAAUUGGUGGGAGAAGAUUUAAAAGCUGUACUGCAUCUGCUGGGACCAUAUUUUUUUGUACUGCAACUAACUUUGAAACUAGUUACAUGCGCCAUUGAUUGUCAUAGAUUUAAGGUACUGAUAUGUUCUCCCAUUACUGGAAAGGAUAUAAAGAGCACGUGGAUGCUUAAUUUGGGCCAGCAAAUCAAAUCCAGGAUUGGAGGAGUAUCUUUGGGCUCUUUGCUUAUACCCCAUCAACAGGACCGGGGAAAUGGGUACCUUGGGUUCCAUUAAACUGCGCAUUGUUGAUCUAUUAUCUAUCACCUCAAAGUUUCAGAUGCAUGAGGGCAUGGACGGCAAAGUUUUGAGGUGCCGGUUUUCUCUGAAAAAGUUUCAAGUUGAAGGUUUUUUGCGAAGCCAGUUUGUCAAUUGAUCGAUCAAUUUUGGUUCUGAUUUAACCUUUUCCUUCUGUUAUUUUCUGUCUCAAUUAUUGCCUGGAGGAGUUUUUUUUUUUUUUUCCUGGGGGGUUUGUACUAGCGCUCAACAUGUGCUCUUUCGUACUUUUGCCAUGCAAAAUGUGUAGCUUUUCUGCAUUGCCAUUGAUGAAAUAUUGAAUAGAGAUUUGGGUUUACAUUCUUGUAGCAUUUUGAAGGAGAGAGUGGAGUCAAACUUAUUCAUUUCGGCUGGAUUAGACAGGGUUGAAAGAUCUAUGUAUGUUGGAUUCUUGAAGAUAAAAUUCCACCAUUCAAAUCAAUACACACAAUAAGAUAACCUUGACCCGUUACUUAAGAAAGUUGGAUUUUUGCAACAUAAAAGCAAAACAUGCUAUUGAAAAUCAACGAAAAGCAAGUUCGAAACUUUUACUUCCAAAUUGCCGUUGGACUUGGAGGAGUGAGGUAGAGUAGAAAGGGAAACGAGAGGGUAAAAUUACUUGCUCUUGUAUUUUGCUUGAGCAUCCAAAGAGAGUAUAAAAUCAAAUAAUCAAAACAUACUCUACUCCUUGCAGAGAGAGAAUCACCAAAUUCACUAUGGAAUAAUGGUAGAUAUGGUAUCUUUUGGCUUUUGGGGGGGGGGGGGGGGGUCAGGUUUCCACUUCAGUCUCUGUGUUUUCACGAAGUUGAAAAACUAAAGCAACUUGGGAAAACAUGAAACAGCUAAUCUGCAAAACAAAGGGACACCGAAAGUGGAUGGUAUAAGUUCAAAAGGAAGAGGAAUGAAAGAACAUAAUAAGGUAAAGUUUAUCAACUGGGGAGAAAAGGAAAGUGAAAAUCAUUAUGUACUCCUCCUCUUACGUUAAAUCGAGUCACCUAACAAACAUCAAGUACAGAUUUCGUCGUGCAAAAAAAAAAAAAACUACAUACUUUGUGUUUGGAAUCUUGAAUGUUUUAAACAAGAGGUGGCACUCUCUAAAAUUGACCUGCUAAGACACCAUUUUAGACAGCUUAAAAAGCCAUGGUUCUCAAAGGAUGGUGAUGUAAAGUCGUAGUAACCAUCGAUUGGCUGCUUCUUGUAUCCCCAUAAGCCGCCCCCCCCCCCGAACGAAUUCAAUAAAAAAAUGGGGUUUUUCUUAAAGAGUUAAGACAAUGACUAUAAGUAUAACAUUGGGUUCCUAAACUUUUACUCUUUUUUGUUUUAAGGUAGAGAAUAAUUUGACUCUUUUUGUUUGAUGGGUUUUGAGGGAGAGGUGUGGUAGGCAAAGAUUGAAAGGUGUAUCCCUUGAAUUUGUGUUGUUACUUUCGUCAAAGAGAGAGAGAGAGAGAGAGAGCGAGAGAGAGGUAUACAUCAUUCCACCUUUGACAUGCCACUAUUUGAAUCAUACGAGAAAGAUCUGGUAAUGAUCGAUCUAAAAGAAGAGAAGUACAAAUUGUUAAAAAAGAAAGACAAAGAAACCAUUUCAAAGGAGCAAUCGGGACUUCCUUUUCACAAUGGACUAGGUUCAUUUGAACGUAUAGCUUUCGCCUUUAUCACUUUGAAUACUGUAGAAUGUCGAGUAGCUCUUCAAUUUCAUUUCCGCAGUCCUCAACUUUAAACUUCCUCCCAGUUACGUAUAAGGUCGUGCAUGUAUGUUAGACCAUGAAAAAUGCGAAGAGAAAAAUAGUACUAAAAACUAGUAGUAGGUUUGCUUAAUAAUAAUCUACUUGAUGAUUAGUACUAAUUAGCUAGCUCUAAGACAUGACACACGCAAAGACUUGCCCUGGUGAAACCACACAUAUUUUUUGCCCCUUGGAGAAACUAGAAUCAUGAUGCAACUUGACUUGCUGCUCAAAUAUAGUCAUGAAUCAUGAAUCCAUCACGUGAGAAAACCACAGCUUCUUCUCUUACUUUGGAGAAAUUAAAUCCACCGGUUUCUUUGUAGUCAAAAGUAACAGUGAAAGCUUUAUGUAAAAACUUAACAGCUGAUCAGGCUCUGAUAGGCCGGUAGAAAUGCAGAAUUCACUAGGGGUUACCAGCCUAGGAUUGCUGUUAACGUAAAAAUAAAAAAGUUACCCAUACAAACACUCGACCAACCGAAAUAGAUGACAAAGAAGAGAGAAGGGUUGUAGUGCCUUUUCAGUUCCCGAAGAGAAGUGUUAAAGUUCAAUGAAUUAUUAGAUUUAUAUUUAGUAAAAAGCUCCUUUGGGUCGAUUUCUUUUGUAGUAAAAGCUAUGCAGUAAACAUUAUGGUAAAAAAUUGACAAGGGCAGAAAUUAACUGGCUAAGGGUGUAUUGUUAUAGCCUUAUAGGUUUAUUCUGCUGAGUGGAUUUUAAGAUUCAAUACUUGCUCCUAUAAUUCUACUUAAUAUAACUUUGUGGUUGUUGCCAAAGUAAAACAUAAAAUAAGUACUAAAAAUCUUACCUAAAAUGAACAUAUUAGUAUUGUUGACAAGAAACAGUAAAUUUGGAACGUUAUAGUAAACAGUAAACAUAUUUGUAAGGGCAUUACUCCAUGUUACGUGCUUCUCUCUUCUCACUUUUUUUUUUUUUUUUGUAUAUUUGCUGUUUCAGAUAUAUUCAAUUCUGAAAAAUAUAUAAUCUAUAUUAUCCUAUAUAGUUUGCUAGGAUUGUUGUUCAUCAUAAAUAUAAAUAUGAGUAAAGUCUAAAGUCUAGACUUAGUUUAGCUUCGUCAGUGGCUGCUAAUAGUAAUAGGCAUAUGUUGUGCAAACGUUAUUUAUGUAUUACUGCCAUACAUAAUUCAAAGAAUAUGCAGAAACUUAGACCUCCGUGCUAGUUGAAAAGCCAAAUCUUUUACCGAAUAAUGGGGAAGCUAAUUGAUUUUCCAAAUAAAAGCUUAAUUGCUGUUAAGCAGAAAUGUAUGUAAGUGGGUAGCUAAUUAAUGACUUAAACUCAUUUUAGGCUUAAUUAUUCUUAAAGUUCUGAUAAAAAAAAGUCAACACAACAUGUGGAGUGAUUGUUGACUGGGUCCUACUAUCUUAACAGACAAGAAAGAUGCAGAAGAAAAGGCAAAAACAAAGUUAAAAAGAAAAAGAAAAAGAAAAGGGGAGUGGGGGAAAGGAAAAUAGCUACUUAGUCAUACAAAGUCAAGUUCUGUGCAAAGGAGCCACCAACUUUAUAAACCCCUUCCCCAGAUGAGAGCCCACUGUUUCUUUUUCCCUCAAUUUGAAAGCAUUUGCGUGUCUCAAUUCUCCUCUCUUUCUCUUUCUCUUUCUCAAACUCUUUCUGUGUGUGUGUUAAUUUAUCUGUCUCUUUGUUGGGAGGAGGGGUGUCAGUUCAGAGUGAUAGUGAAGGGGCUGAGCCCGAGCUAUAAGCUAUAGCAGCAAGCAUGGGGAGAGCUCCAUGCUGUGACAAAGCAAACGUGAAGAGAGGCCCUUGGUCCCCUGAAGAAGACGCCACCCUUAAGAGCUAUAUUGAGACUCAUGGCACUGGUGGUAACUGGAUCGCUUUGCCCCAAAAAGCUGGUAUAAGAAUAUACUCUUUGGCUCUCCAUUUUCUACAAGGGUGUUCAGUAUUCUUCUUUAUUUUUCACCUUUCAAUUUUAAAGGGCCUUUUCUCUUGUUUCCGGGCAAAUUAUCCAUUACCCAUUUCACCAAAAAUGAGAGUUUCCAUAUGUUUUAAACUUGAAAGUAAAUCAUCAGAUAAGGGUUUCAGAUUUCCCUGAACUUUUCAGUAUUAAAAUUGUUCCUCUUUUCCCAACUAAGCAGAAAAGGAGAAUCAUGAACUAAGAAGGCGUCUUUUUCUUUAUACUGUUCCAUCGUUUUUAACUUCCUCCAGUUUCAGAAAACUCUGGCAGAUUGUAGCUUUUUCAGCUGUUUAGUUACAUUUUUGACUAUUAAUGUGUCCUCUUAGCUAUUAAAGUUCAAAGUAAAAUUUGCAAAUACCAUGUACGUUCAGAAUUACGGUACUUCCCCUGCAAGAAUAAAAGCAGUCUGGCCGCUGAGUUUUGUCUCCUUGUUCACUAUCUUUGUUCAAAGUACGGUUUCAAGUCUGGACAUUAUUCUCUACUCUGGUCUUUCCUGGUUUUACUUUUAUGUUCAUUCUUUCAGCUCUCUAAAUUAUCUGUUUUCAUAAUUUUGUUGUGCUUUUCGGGGAUCCAUAUGCAAAUGCCUGAUGCCCUUAUCAUUUAACCAACUUCACACGACAAGAAAGUUUUUUGUUUUUUUUUUUGGCCUUGAAAAGACUGAAUCCAAGAGAGAAACACAAAACAUUGUAAAAUUUGUUCAGAUCAGCCGUAAAAAGCAACCUCAAUCUUGCUUUUAACGUCUGUCUAAAGCAAAAGGUUGAAAUGCCUUAUCAAUGAUUUAUUAUCAGUAGUAAAUUUUUUUUUCUUUAAUUUUCCUUGCUUGGAAGUUUACACCUUAAUAUCUCUUGUUACAUUUCAGGCCUUAAGCGAUGUGGAAAGAGUUGCCGAUUGCGAUGGCUGAAUUAUCUGAGACCAGACAUCAAACAUGGGGGUUUUACCGAAGAGGAGGACAACAUAAUAUGCACUCUCUAUAGUCAAAUGGGAAGCAGGCAAGUUGUUUUGUCUUUGUUUUUUCGGCUAAGAAUCUGUCUGGUUGCUCGUAAUUAUUUUUAGUUAUCUUCACAAAGCUUCUCUUAUAGGUUAACUUAUUCAAAUGUCGGUUGUUUUUAUUAUAUUUCAUUUAAGACUUAAAAAAACCCCACUUGUGACUUUUGUUAGAUGGUCCCUCAUAGCUUCUCAGCUGCCUGGAAGAACAGACAAUGAUGUGAAAAACUAUUGGAAUACCAAGUUAAAGAAGAAGCUUGCGUCUGGGAAAUCAUGCUUCAAUAUGAGCAAGACUAUUAACAAUGAUCUCGUCCCUGCUGCCAACACUAAUAUUUCUACUCAACCAGGCUCAGCAGCAGCUUUACAGCCUUGUUUACCAAAAGCUGAACCUUACAAUCUGGAUUAUUCAACCUCACACUCUCAGAUUUCAGCACCAUUGCCAAUUUUAUCUGAUGUUGGUUAUGGAUUCUCUAUCAGUAGUGUUCAAAACUUGCCUUUAAACCCGGUCGUGCACUUUUCUCGCCCAGAAGCAGUCACCCAUCUGUCACAAUCAGGUGCAACUAUGGAGAACAGUCUCAUUGUUACCUCAUCUCAAGAAGGCUCCAGCAUUUCGGAUUCUACUUCUCUGGCUAUGGAGAGCAAGCCUGUCUCAAUGCCUGGUAACGGAUAUGUCGAUGACACGGGCAACAUUUUGAUGGAUCAGUUCAGCUACGAGUUCCCUUAUGAAUUUGUCAAUGGCAUUUGGAGUCAAGAGAAAGCCGGGGAGGUUGUUCCAAGUUGCUACGAUAGUUUAGCUGAUUUUCCCCAUGCUGACAUAAAGCCUCGAGGACUGAAUCAAAGUGUUGCUAACCGAUAUUGAGAGAAACGCAUGGCUGGAAGGGGAAUGGUGAAAGAGAAAAAUUAAAAAGGCAUGGACAUGUGAAAGAAGAGAGAGAUAGAUACAAGAUUUAAGUUUUAAUUUUUCUUCUCACAUGCUAUAUUAUUAUGAUUUGGCCGUUGUUUCUGUAGAUAAAAAGAAAAAAGAGAGGAUAUAUUAACCUAUGUCAAAUUCAAGUCAAGUAAAUGGGGCUUUAAUUAAUCUGAUGUUGAUUUCAUAGAAAUAGUCUUUGUUCUCUGAAUGCAGCCUUUAACCUUUUAAUUUUGGACCCAGAUAGGAACAUUUCAAUUAAAUGAAAUCAAAAUUCAUGUAAAAAAACAUAAAGAAAGAUUGUUAUGCGCCCCUGUCUUUCUGUUAACUGUUUAAGGCUCAAUAUGGACAAUUUGUCAGAGAAAAAGUGGGGUCUUGAAAAUUUUGGUUUUUAAUUUAUCCAAAGGAAGAUGGACAUGGGUGUGAGGGUGAUUCCAUCAUCAUGUCUGCCUGUUUUUUGCUGUUUCAGUGCAGUGGUCACGAAAGUUGCAUGGGGGGUUGUGGCCUGUUCAAACCUCAUCAUGCUGUGAACGUAUUCUUCUAACAUUAACCAUAAAAGAUUCUCUCUCUCUCUCUCUCUCUCUGUGAAUAAAAAUAUUGCCUUUGGAAAGGUAAAAAAAAUUAACCCAUCAUUUUCCAUUGAAUAUUCAGCACAGUUUUUUCCGUUUACAACUUUUUUCCAGGCUUCUCUUGAAUUAGCAUUAAAUUAUUGAAUAUGAAUACAGGACAUCACUUCCUUAACUUCAGACGUUUCAGGACCCAGAAAUUAAUAAGUACUAACGUUUUCCUUUUACCAUGCAUGUGACUCUCCUAUGCAAAACUUUGCCUUUUAUCAACAAUCUUUCUGUUUCUAUAUAUAAUUGGCACGUUCAUAACUAAACCCAAAAAGAAGCAAAAGAAAAAAAAAUCUCAAACAUUAAAAGCUUUUCUACUUUCUACUUUAAUCAUUUAUUUUUCUAUCAACUUUUUUCAUUUUUUUCUCCCCCCUUUACCAAGUCCUAAAAAUAAACCACCACUUUCUCUUAAAGCGAACAUAAGAUGGGAGAUAUGAGAACCUUGCCAACUAUGCAACCUCAUUAUAUCUGAUAAAAGGCCUUUCCCCCACCUGGGACCUCUACUGUCAAUAUAUAUUAUUUUCAACAGAACCACAAAUCUGCUGCAGUUAAGGGUAAUCAAUCAAUUAGCAGAAAAAACCAACCGAGGGUUUUUAAUUUAGAAACCCUAGAUACCCCCACGGGUGAGUGUAGUGCAAUUCAUCUUGCCUAAACUCGCCACCAUACCCUGAGCAGACACAAACAGGCCAAAGACACUUGUUUUGACUAACUGGUUUAAUUUCAAUACUCUUCCCCUUGCCUUAAAAAGGGAACUGCUCCAAAAGGAUUCAAAAUUCAAAGUUUGGGAAACACUUGUUUCUAUAUACAGUUUUUUCUUCCUUGAGGUAUUAAUAAGUAAACAGAAAGGCCCUCAAAGCCGGGCAGACAUUUUGUUCCCUCUAAUGUUUGCACAUUGCACUUUCAGACAUUUCAUCAUAAUGUCUUUUUUAUCUACUUCUUGGUGGCGUUACUUGUAAAUGAAUAUUCCUUCUUAAAAGUAUUUAAGAAGACAAGCACAUCGGCACCAUUGGAUAGGCCAGCAUUUCCCCCCCCCCCCCUUUUUUUUUUUUUCUCCAAUCCUGGAACACAGAUAGUUUAAUCCUUAUUGUGUACCAUUUGUUUUAUAAAAAAACCCUAUCUUUCAAUGUGUAAAGCUAGCUAAGUUUCGUCUUCCUAAUUAGGUGUAGCAUUCUUUAUAGCAUUCAAGGGGCUAGCCUGCCUACAGGGCGGCAUCUUUUUAAUAGUAAAAAAGAUUGAAAAUCUGAACAUAUAGACAUCAAAGGUGAUUUUGCAAUCCCAAUGACAUGAGAGUCUGACACACAUUUUGCAUCUAACACUUAAUAAUUUAGUUUAUUUGCGUUUUCACCUUCCAAAAAAUUUGAGUCUAACAAUCAAAUAAGAUUAUUUACGAAUUUGAAGUUUUCCUGUUUAAUAGUCUUAGUAUAUUAAAAUUUUAAUUCAGAAAUUAUUUAACUUUUAUGUUUUUAUCUCAAGUUCUUAUAUAUAUUUUAAAGAGGGGGUUAUAAUUGGUGUCCAACGUUUCAUGGGAUCUUCUGUACGGUGAGAUUUGAGAGAAGAGGAAAUAUUGUAAUGCAGCACAAGUUUUCAGUCGAACUUUAUUUUAUAACAGAGUUGAGUUGACAUUUUGUAUAAUUUUUUUUAUUUUUAUAUAUAAACUAUCAUUCUUUAAAAAAAAUCAUAUAAAAUGAGAAUUUUGUAUUCAAAUUUUAAAUAUCUCCUAUUUAUGAUAACGACGUUUCGUUUUUCAAAUUCAAAUUCUCUUUCAUUAUUAAUAUAUAAUGAAUAACAAAAAACACAUACCAACCUAGUGACAUAUAUCACUAUACUUGACUAUAUAGAGAUUCGCCGACCAAUAUAAUAAGCUUCAUUCUCCUUAUUGCCCCGUAUUAUAGCUUUAUAGAUAAUUAAAGAAAAAAAAAAAGGGAACACCCAUCCCAAUUCAAGAAGUCACAAAUAAUUUAAGGAACAAAUGGCAUCUAUAAUAUUCAAACCAAAUGCCCAAUCAGAACAUUAUUUUCUACAUUUGAAUACUAUAUAUUAUCGACCAAUCAUGAAUGGAUAUAAUAAAAUUAUGUUAAUUAUUCAGGGUUCAUCCAUUGACAAUCAAUCCCUUCUAAACUGUAAUUUUAUUUUAAGACCAAGCCAAUUUCAAGUCAAUGAAUGGAUAACCUUUUCAAAAAACAUCACAGCAAUAGAUUAUUCGUUUAAACAAGGUAAUAAUUAGGCUUAGAUAUAUUUUUAUUCAAAGUUUAUUUUAAUACUCUUUUGACAAUUCAUGCAAAACUUUUUAUGGUCCCAACUCCCGACCUUAAUUUAUAUAAUAUAUGUAUUCCUACUUGGAUAAAGAGAAUCUUGAAUCCAUCAGCACGGGUCAUACUAAAUUUUGCUUUGGCCUUCAUCUUGUCUUUUGACAUUGACCCCUUCAAAAGCAGUUUAUUAUAACCACGAAUUCUUCCAUGAAAUUUCCAUGCAUAUUCUUCCAAGUCAUUUUUAUAUUAUUCUUGGUGACUUUGAGGGUUUUUUUUUUGGUUAUUUUCUUUUUAAGCCAAUGAUUGUGAUAGGAUGAUAUAUGAAUUUAUACAUGGAGCAUCGUUAAGUUUUACUCUCUUUUUUUUUUCAUUUUGUUUGUUUUUUAUUAAAUAAAUUUAAUUUUAUAAAUUCACAAAUAAAAUGAAAUAAAAGGAGUCGAAAGUAAUUUUUGUUUCAUUUCAUUUUCGAUUUUUAAAAGAUACUUUCGAACGAAAAAUAUGUACCAAGAACGAGGUGCCAGUAUUUCCACUUAAAUAAUCGGGGAGAAGGAAAAUGAAUAUGUUUACUCUUGCAUGUGUAAUUGUUCUAAACAUGAGAAUUAAGGGAAAACAUAAGGUUGAGGCAUUGAGUUUAGAUUGUUUUAGAGUGUGAUGUGUACCACGAACAAGGCAUGGGCGUAACCAAAGAAGGUCAGUUCUGACAGAAAUGGAAAAAAGAAUAAGUCUGACUUCUGACAUUAAAAGAAUAUUACUUGUUUUUCCUUUUUUUUUUUUUGGAAGUAAAGGGUAAACCGAACAGUUGUGUACAAGAGAAAAAAAAAACAAUCACAAGCAGAAAACAAACUGUUUUUCUAGAAGAGUAGCAAUGCCAAUAGUGGGGCAGGCGUUAGAAAUAAACGUAAUCUGAAUCAUUAGUUUAAUUGCUAAACAAACACGAUGUGGUUUAAGUUCUACCAAUGCAAAAUUAAAUAUAAGAGCGAAGGAAAUCUAUGGAAGGUGUUGAAACAUGUUCGUCUUGUCAUUGUAAGCCAAUGGGCUAAAAGAAAUUAUUGCUAUCAAUACUAGCUAUUGAUAUCUAACAGAAACCAGUAAAAACUCCAUGGAUUAUAUUACCUAGGAAUGAGCAACCUGUCCAAGUGUCAUCCCUGUCUGUAAAGCAGCAAGCUCGUCGACUUCAUCAACUGGUACAUGGGACAGAUACAACUGGUACAGGGGCAACUGUGGCCGCCUGGAGAAGCCUGUUCCUCCAAGUAGGCUCCUUCAUGUUCUCCAAGCUCAGCUUCCAAUUCAUCCUGUAGAAGCAAUGCUUUUUUCAAUAGCAAAGUUGAAUCUAAAGAAAGAUAAAAGAACCUGCACGAAACAAUACCUCAUCAUAAUCAGCAGCUGCACCAAUUUGGUGCUGACAAUGUCUCCUGGAACUGUUUCAUCAUGCUCCUCAGUUUGCUCAUCGAUCUCAUCCAUUGUUUUGUCCAGAUCUCUUUUAUGUUCCUGUGCAUGAUACCAUGCAAAAAUAAGGCAAAGCAUUGAUCAAAUUCUUCCCAGAAUCAGCCCUAGUAACCUAAACUUGAUUACAUAUAUGUGGAAAACAUCGCAUGUCAUACUUGAUCAUGAAUGCUCAACUGGUAAUUAGCAAGCGUCUCCAUUUCAUCGUUCCCAAAUUUUCUUUCCCUUCAAACAUCUCACUGCCUGCUGCACAAUCACAAUAAGACUAAGUUUAAAUAAGAUUAAAAGCAGAGCAGAAAGAGAUAGAAACAUUUUAGAAUGCAACUUUGCAGUGACUAAUUAACAUUUCAGAUGCAGCAUAGAUUCUCCGCACUAUUGGGCCCAUAGGCCCAACAUCAAGAAUCUCUUUCAGAUCCAACAUCAAACAGAAUGCAAGAAAUCUCUAUUUCAUAGAACAUCCAAAAUGAUUUUUAAAUUUACUUACCAUUAAAUGUUAAUUCAUACAAAUUAAUCAAAAUAAAAGUAUUAAUAACAAAAUUCAUGGCAAUUAAGAAAUAUAAUAGUAAAAUUGUAUCAUUGUAUAAUUAUAACCUCUUUUUUUUUUUUUGACAACUCCCCAUAAACUAUCUUAUAGUAACCAUUCUACCCAACAUCUAGGCGUGACAUUUUUUGACAGAAUAAAACAUAAAUUAGUUUGGGUUUUCUAUUUUGGGCCCAAGAAAAAUUAGUUUAGGAAUUAGAAGAAAAUAAAAAAGGUAAAAAUGAAAACGGCCCCUGACGUUCUCUUUUUUAACUUUGUAUUUUUAAACGGAAUCGGAGGUGGUGGGAAGAAAUUAAAAGAAAAAAAAGGGGUUAAAAACGGAGGGAGGAAAAAAAGAAAAGUAGGAAAAGGAAAGGAAGCGAUAUUGUUACUCAAACGAUUGUUUCAUAUCAAAAGCCACGAAGUAACAGCUGAAUAAAUUCAUUUCCUCCACAACGAAUUCGAGAUCUAACAUUCCGCCCAUUAAUUCUCUCAGAUCUGUGCCGUCUGGCUGGUUCGAUCUCACAUUUUCUUCCCCCGGUUAUUAUCUUUAAUUAAUUUUUUUUGUUAGAUCGGCCAUGGAUUUCAUGAAGGCCCUCGAUCAAACGGUUCGCGAAAUGUAAGCUCUAAACUCCCUUGUUCUGAAUUUUGAAUCAGAAUUUGGUUGAGUACUGUUUGCAAUACAAGAUAAGUUGAUUUAAUUUGUUUUUUUUUUUCCUUUGAUAAUUUCAGCAAGAGGGAGGUUAACCUAAAGGUAUUGAAGGUUCCGGAGAUCGAACAGAAGGUGAGAUCAAAUGCAAUUUAAUGUUUUCUUGAAUGCUUAUUACUUGGAGAAAUAUGCUUAAGAUUUUGUACUUGUUCAUUUGUUGUUAGUUUCAUUAAUCUGUUUUAAAAAAAGAAGAGAGUAGGAUUAUGAUUUGGUGUAUACGGUAGAGUUCUUUAUAGAUUUGGCACAGAUGUUUAAACUUGCGUGUGAAACAGAAAUGUUAAAUAGGAGAAUUAGAAUGUACUCACUACUCUAACUGAGGUUUAUGCUAUGAUCGAAAGCUCAGGUUAGUUUUGUGUCGGCUUUAAUUAUCUUUUUUGGUAUAAUGAAGUUGUUUAUUGCUUGCUAGUAUAUGUUUUUGAUCCAUGAUCAAAGGUAUCAUAAUUCUGUUAUUCUUUGACUUGAUCUUUUGGAUUAUGAGUUCUAUUUUGUGUUAAAGUUAAAAUAUUUAGGUACAAAGGGCAUCGUUCUGUCAGAAAUCUGAUUAGUGGUGCAAUUAUUUAUUUAUAGCGCAGGUUUUGAAUCCGCCGACUUUGCUUUUUGUUACGGAACUGGUUGAAGCGUAUGAUGUUGCACAAUAUACAGAAUUAUUUGUGAUUUUCCUUUUGCCGUUGGUUGUGACAUUUAUGGUGGAAUUUGAUGGUUUUAUCUUACUUUUAUUAGUUGUAAUUGAGUGAUUAGUUCAGAACUUGGUGGGCAAUGAUAAAAAUGUGUUACAAUAUGUAUAAUAAUGCGCUCAGUUUUUCUGGUAACGCUUAGGCUACAUUUGAAGUGCAUGUAAAGUUUUUUAUGAAGAUUAGUUGGUUUACAUAAUUAUUUUGGCAAAUGCAUGCAGGUACUAGAUGCAACAGAUAAUGAACCAUGGGGUCCUCAUGGUACUGCAUUGGCAGAAUUAGCACAAGCGACAAAAAAAUUGUAAUUAUCGACAUUUGCACAUAUUUCCUUUUUUUUCAUUCUAUUUUGUGUCUUUUCUCUGGUAUUGGUGUUUGAAAGAAACAUCUCUCUUUAUGCUACUUGAAUGGGCUGCCAUAUCUUGUAGCACUGAAUGUCAGAUGGUUAUGAAUGUUCUUUGGACAAGACUGGCUGAGACUGGAAAAGACUGGCGCUAUGUCUACAAGGUAUGUAUAUUCUUCCAUAAUAUGACUGACUAGUCAUCUAAUACCAGUAGAAACUUGAUAUUUGUUUCCAAGCCUUGUUGGCUUAUGGACCUUUUCAUGCCUUGAAAUCUAAAACCAAUUCUCUACCAGGCAUUGGCUGUUAUAGAAUAUUUGAUUUCCCAUGGAUCUGAACGUGCGGUUGAUGACAUAAUAGAACAUACUUUCCAGAUUUCUGUAAGGCUCGAACUCCUAAAUUUUUCGAAUUGCCUUUGUAUUUCUCUUACAAUUUAUGGAGUAAAGUUGAAUUUCCUUUACUAUUCUGCUUCCCCUAUUUGUUUUGCAUUUCGCAGUCCCUCACAAGUUUUGAAUAUGUUGAGCCAAGUGGGAAAGAUGUGGGACUCAAUGUCCGGAAGAAAGCAGAAACUAUAGUGGGACUUUUGAAUAAUAAAGAAAAAAUACAAGAAGCUAGAAAUAAAGCUGCUGCAAACCGUGACAAGUAAGCUUAUUUUCUUCAGGAAGUGAAAUCAUAUGCUUGCUUGUAUUAUUGUCAUGGACUAAACCGUGUCUCUGUUACUAUUUUUAGGUAUGUUGGCCUAUCAUCUACUGGCAUUACUUAUAAGUCUGGUGCAGCCUCAUAUACUAGUGGUGGCUACCAUGGUGGUGGGGAUAGGUAUGGAGGCCUAAGUACCACAAGAGAAAGUGACAGCUAUAGAGACAGUUAUAAAGAGAAGGACCGAUAUGGAGAAGAAAAGUAUGAUACAGAUACCUAUGUGAAGUCACGUCGAGGGACUGCAAGUGGAAGCCAAGGGAAUUCCUCAAAGGAGUCUACACGUCCUGGCAGGUUUAAGAUUUUAUGCUGUUAAUUAUUAGUUGCAAAUUCUUAAUAGUAAUUUGAAUAGAGUAUAACUUGGCUACACUGUUAUUUUUAAGUCGAAGAAAAUUACUUGGGCAUGUCCUUUUCCAUUGAUUGUGAACUACAUAAUCAUUAGGACACUGCAUUACCAUAUUUUUGGUUCUAGGAAUCAUGUUGCUGUUCUUAAUCCUUUUAUGUAGAUGAUGUUUCCCUUUUCACUAUUCACAAUACAUUGAUUAUGGAAGUUCAAGCUCUACUACUAUAACAUGUUGGUCUUGUUCACACACAUGCAAACACAUAAAACGGGAGCUCGCACAUUUUCACAUCCUUAAACAUACAUCUGUACACCUGCAACCCUUGCAUGUAUACCUAUUCCUGUUUUGCAAAAAAAAAUUUCCACACUGCGUCCCACCUUGUCUUAAAAAUUUUAUUUUGUAAUGAUUGUUUUGCAGCAAGGAUCCAAAGAAUAAAUUCUCUUCAAAGUUGAGUGAUUCCAAUAAAUACAGUCAAAGCGCAAGCACCCCUUCAAAUAAUUAUGAUGCUGAUGAUUUUGAUGAUUUCGAUCCCAGGGGAACAUCCAGUUCUAGUAAGAAAAAUAUUCAUUUCUUAAGUUGAGAAUGCUUCUUCAGAGGUUUUCCUUUUAUCAUGUAAAUCUUAAACAUGGUACAAAUCCGGUUUCUAUAGUUCAUUUUGUUAACAGGCCGAGGGUUGGUUGAAAGAGUGAUCCUUUUCAGUAGUAAGUUUUAUAUGGGAUGUCAGUUACCAAUGCCUUGUUGAUUAUUAUUCUUUUGACAGAGCCAGCGGCUGGAAGUUCUAACCAAGUGGAUCUAUUUGGACAAAGUUUGAUUGAUGACCUCUUCGAUGCACCAGCAUCUGUCCCUACGGAAAAGUCUGCUGUGAAUACUGAUUCAACAGAAGUUGAUCUAUUUGCUGAUGCAACUUUUGUGUCAGCACCAACUAAAGUGGCAACCGAAGCAAGUCCUAAAGCUCAGGUUAGACAAUUUUUUCAUCUUAAUUUUUAGCAAUGCAACAAUGAAUUAUCAUAGCUAUGCCAAUUGAAUUGACCUUAAAGAAAGUAGUGGUGUAUUUUGUCUUUGAAACAGAUAUAACUAGCUUAUCAUGUAAUAUGAAAUUCAAUACAUCUUGUUCCUUAUGAAGCACUGACAAUGUGUCAACCCCCUGCAUCGGUGUUGUCCGUGUCUGACACGGACACAUCUCUGAUAUAUCAGAAUACAGAUAUGACUCAGCUAGAUAUGGCAAAUAAUAAUUUACUCGGACAUAGCAAUUGACAGUAGAUUUCCAAAACCAAACCAAGAAAAAGGAGAGACAUUGCUACUGGUGAAGCAAUGGUGGAGGUGGCACACCUUGAAUUGAAAUUUUGAGAUCACAAACAAAAAUAACUAAAAUUAUAGGGAGAGAAGCCUUGUUGUCUGUAUUAAGUCGAUGGAUGGCAAAAUAGAAGAAGAACAAGAACAAGAAGACACGCGCUGAAGAAGACUUGAAGAAUAAGAGAAAUUAAGGGCUUUCCUUUUAAUUAUAACUUGGGCUCUUGCCUAACAAACAAUAGCAUGGGUUUCAGCCUUGAGAUAAUUUAAAACAUAUUUAAUUAUUUUUUGAUGGAAUAAAAUUAUUUAAAAUCAACACUAAUUGUCAAUAAUUAGUUCAAUCGCUUAAAAUAUUUAAAAAGAGAAGGAUUUAUAUAGGAAAAAAUAAAAAUCAAAUUUAGUUAUAUAUGGUAAUGAAUUAAUCAAAAUAUAUUUAUAUAUUUAAUAUAUUUCUUUAUUGCCAUAGUCUUGCUGUGUUGUGACUUAAUUUUUUAGAAAAUGCAGUGUCACUGUGUCUGUAUCUUGUUGUAUACGUAUCCCAUGCCCAUGUCAAUCCUUCAUAGUUUUUUUCUUUACCUUGAAAUAUGGGAUGGCAGUGAUCACUUAUGGCCAGGUCAGUUCACGUCCAAGCAGCUUGUAGUAGUUGGAGACUUAAGGGUCCUUUUAACCCCUUCCCUUCUUCUCUUUAACACAAAAAAUAUGUCUACUGGCAAAAAACCUUUAUUUAUUUUCCAUUGGUUUGCUUAAGAAUCCCUGUGAUCUUAGAAGUGCUUUUAUCUGAGCAUGCAGAGUAUUAACAUAUGUGCAUGCAACCUGUUUUUCAGUUGGAUAUCAUAGAGGUAUUUGACUAGUUAAUAAAGGAGUCAGGGUAUAUUCUUUAAUGAGGAGGUCAAAUCAGCUUCCCCCUUUCCCUUUCCUCAUUUGUGCAGGAACAGGUUGAUCUAUUUGCUUCCCAGCCUGCCAUCACUCCUGCAGCCUCUCCAACUGUUGACCUCUUUGCCACCACCGAUCCAGUUGUGCAACCAGACACCAUUGCACCGAAGUCUGAGCCAGAACAUGCUAACAUUGUUGAUCCAUUUGCUGCUGUUCCACUGAACAAUUUUGAUGGAUCUGACAUUUUUGGUUCAUUCACUUCUCAUUCUGAUUCAGCUUCAAAAGAACCAACACAGAAUCCCAUUAUUGAUGGAAACCUUAACAACUUGAGCACCAAAUCAUCACAAGACUCUAAAUCUCCUCAAAAGAAGGAUACUUUCCAGGUGAAGUCUGGAAUUUGGGCUGAUUCACUGAGCCGUGGGAUAAUUGAUCUUAACAUAUCUGCUCGUAAGUAUCUUUCUUAGCAGCCCAUAACAUAUAUUAUUUUCGUUAUGUAGGAAAACUUGUUUCCACAUAGUAUAUCACAUUGUUUUUUAUGGUCAUUACUUUAUGGGUGUUAAUUGUUUUUUAUAGUCAUUGUCUAACGACUGUUCUUUAUCGAUGUUGCAGCCAAGAAGGUUUCGCUAGCAGAUGUUGGAAUCGUCGGGGGAUUGACCGAUGUAGAUGAAAGAGAGAAAGGACCUCCAACAACUUCAUUUUACAUGGGGAGAGCAAUGGGUACUGGGUCUGGUCUUGGUAAAACUGGGUUCGCAUCUACACAAGCAGCUGCUGCUGAUGAUUUCUUCUCAAGCCUUGGCAGCCAACAAUAUCAAUUUGGUAGCUUUAAGAAGUAAUUUUGUUCACUUUCCCUAAGCAUUCUUUUCCCAAUUUGGAAAAAAAAAAAAUUAUCCAACGUGUGGUGCACAUUGGUGUGCGAGUAUUGUUCAUCAAUUCAUGAUGAGUAUACUUAUUAUGCAUCAAUCAUGAGGGGGUAACAUAUUAACGGUACUCCCCACACAGUCUUCAAAUGUUUCCAUUGAACUGUUGCUUUGUAAUUUGGUAUUGAGAUUUCAUUCAAGUUGGCACCCUAUUUUUUGCUGUUCACACUACUUGGAAUAAUUACUUAAUUAGCAUUGCGCGAAUCAAGUUGUACAGUCUGUAACCCAAGAGAUUUUCCCAACAUCGGACCUGUGAAUGGAAAAAAUUAUGAUUAUCAUCAAUUUUGGAUGAGAUCGUUAACAUUGGCAUAUUAUUUGAAAAUAUUUUUACAUUAAGAAUAAAAUUUUAAAUAAAUUUUUAUUCUUGUAUUACAUUUAAUUAAAUAUAUAUUUUUAUUUUAAGUUAAAUAAAUUUUAAUUAUUAAUAAUUGACUAAGUAAUAUUUAUUAAAAUAUUAUUUAUUAUUUUAUAUUCACAUGAUAUUAAAAUCAUACAUAGACAUGUUAACAUAUAACAUCAAAAUAUUAUAUUAUCAUUAACGUCAUGUGAUAUAAAAUUAUAAGAAAUAUUUUAACUUAUAAUUAAUCAACUAUUAAUUAUGAAAACUUAUUUGAUUUAAAAUAAAAAAAAUAAAAUAUAAAAAUUCAUUUAAAUUUUCUUAAAAAAUUUAAAAAUUUAUUUAAAUAUUACAUUAUUUGCUUUCAGUAAUCCUCUUACCAUACGCUACCUCCUUUGCUCUUCCCAUCUCCUAAGCUCUUUCAUAAAAAUGACUAUUUUUUCUAAUUUUGGAUGAUGAAUAUCGUAUCGGAUUCAACAUGACUUUCCCUGUAUGAAAACAUCAUUAAUUAUAUUUUCUUUAAACAUCAUAUAUUUGAUGCCCUAAACCUGGUCAAGGCCACCCUCAUCACUGGAUUUAUAGAAUAUUUUCAUUUUUAGAACAAGAAUCAAAUUGCAUCUAAAGGCUACCUCCAACACCAAUAUAUAGUCUGCAAUCAGAUCAAAGCAGCAUUCACUCAGAUGGGUAAUAACGACGGCUGUACAUACAGGGAGGUCAGGCAAACACAAAUCUAUAGGGAGUUUGCAAUCAUUUGAUUAAAAGUUUCAGAAGAGAAGCCCCCUAAGAGACACUCUCAAUAUAAAUCCACCAUUCUUCCCCUCAGCAUGGCUUCAGCUUUUCUCACCUGCUUCACAGGUCCUAUGAUGAAUACCUGCACAAAAAUCCAGAAAGAUAUAAAGAGCUCAAUUAUGGAGAUAACAGAUAGUGCGUCAAAGUAAGUACAUGUACAUUCUCGAAAAGAAUAAAAAAUUAUACGGUAUAUGUAGCAGCUAGGUACUCCAGCAAGGUAAUUCUUUAAGAUGUCAAAGAACUAACCUUGUCUGGUGGACCCUUAGCACCCCCAACCAGGAUUUCCGCGCUGCAAGAAAAUGAAUUUGAAGUAAAGAAUAGGUAGAAAAUUUUGCAGUUCCAAACUUCAAGAGAAAUAUGUAUGCAUGUUCGUAGGGAGAGGGAGAAAGAGGCAUAUUACUUGCAAGACUCCUUUAUUGACAAGAUUGAAGCCCCUUUUCUUCCAAUAAUACGCCCCAUCUUCCCUGGCGGAACAUCAAGAAUAGAAAGUAUUUCUUCCUCGGGAGCAUUCCCCUCCAAGUGAUCUGCAGAAAUAAAUCUCACCCUCGGUCAGUAUCCAAUUAGAAAGUACAAUAUUUUUGCUUGCAUUCUUAAAACAAUUUUCCUUCUCUCUAAUGAAUAAUGCUGAGUCCAGUACAAUUACAUGUAUAGUUUGAAACUUGAAUGUUAUCAUAAUACGCACCAUCACACUAGGCGAGAAAUGACAUACUCUAUCAAAGCAUUAAGCUCAUUCAAACUUCAUGAAUAUACGCCACAUUACCUUUUCUUUGUUGAUUCGGUGGCAAAAGGAUCCAAACCCUGCUCUUUGAGCAAGGAGAUACAUGCACCAACCAGUAAAAGCCAACUACUUUAUGCAUAUGCCACAUUACCUUAAUCGAAGGUAAGAGACUAAAAAACACUAAUCAGGAAAUUAUAUGGAGAUACUCAGUAGAUAGCAACAACUGUGCGUGUGUAUGUGUGAAUAAGAGAGAGAGAGAGAGAGAAUCACAUAAAUGAAUACUGUCUCUACAAAGCUCAGCGAAUUAAUUAACAUCUUUCUCCAGGACUCUAACAAGAAAUAAAUCAUUAUAAUACAGUCAUUAUGAAUACAAGAACCUGGAAUGGGAGGAACAGAUGGCCAAUCAGCAUAGUUAUUAUCAUUAAUGCAGAAACAUCGGCAAUACAAUGCUCCACGAACUGCAAGGUACCAUAAGGAUCGUUGAUUUAGUUUCUCCAUCAUCAUGUGGUAGAUGUAUAGAAGGAAGCGGACAUCAUCUGUAGCUGCACGGACCAUAAGCUCAGAUAAUGGUCUGUAAGUCCAAAACUUGGGAUCCUGCAGAUAGGCAAGACAUAAUUGUGAGGAUUGGAAAGAAAUUCAAUUUACAUAGUACAGUGAAGUACGAUUUUAUCAACAAUGAAGCAUCUGCAUAUGCACAUAACUUAAUUGAGAGAAGAAGAAAUUUUUUUUUUUUAAAGGAGAGAAGAAGAAAUUUGAUUAUUGAUCUACAUGUAAUCACAUGACCAAUAAAUAGGAAAUGUUUUCAAAUCUACUUCUGUUGAUAUUGCAAAGCUAUUUGCAGAUUGGUCUUGUUCUCUGUAAGGGGAAAUUUGGGUUAAACCUUCACCACCCAAUAACAUUUGAGAAGUGGCAAGAAACUUGCUAUCCUUACUAGCUAGCUAGAUGGCAUCAAAGAUCAAAAGAACACUGUGCAGGGUGUGAAUAAAGUGGGAGAAGGGGGGAAAUCAUCAGUAUAAAGACAUGCUAAUGUUCCAGCCAGCUACUUACCAAACUAGGAUAUCAAACAUGAAAUGCAUAAUUUGCUAUCAAUAAGAAAGCAAAUACCAAAUAGCUUUCUGGACUCCAAAAAGGACAACAGGGAAUUACUUUUACCCCAAACACUCCAGCAGUAUAAUUAAAACAAUUUUAUGUUAGCGAUAAAUUGAUUAAACUAACCUGCCUAAGGAGGAGACGAACCUCUUCCUUCUCCUGAUAAGAUAUGCCUACAUUUAAAGUAUCAGGGCAUAAAUCAAAAGUCAAAACAAGCCAGUGGCUGUAACUUGAUGAGCAAGUUAAACUUUGCUGGUUUAAAAGAAGCCUAUAACACAUUCAGUUUCAAAUAGCAAAAAGAAACAUUUAUAAAUCUUCCAUACAAUGUCAUAUCAGAGCAUCAUUACUUCUCAUAUGCGGAAGUUUGGAAAGUUGAAAGAAACAAAUAAACAAAAUGUCAGAUUCCUGCAUGGUCACAGUAAGGCAAACAUAACUGCUUGAUUUCAACAUUAAUUGGAGCACACUGCUUAAGUUACAUCAACCAAAAGACCCGAAAUGGGUACUUCAAGGCAAUUAAUAAUACCUAUUUCCGAAAGCCAUUUAACAUAACAUCUUAAAGACUUUGCAAGCGAAAAAUAUAUUCAUUCAGCACAGUUAAGCUGCAGAUUAAAAGCUUCCACAACCUGCAUUAAUUAAAUUCAAAUAGAUACCAGGAAAUAUAAAUACCACAAUAGCGUGGAUCUGCAAGGAGGCUAACAAAUGAUAUGUAGUCAUAAAGCAAUCUUGUCCGUCCUUCUUGUUCCUCUAUAAGAGAAUAAGCAAUCUGCAGGGCAACAAAAAAAAAAAUGCAAUGUCAAACUACUCAACCUUAUUUUAGUAGUCCUCAUAUCAAUUUGGACAAUAUUGAAAGCAAGCAAGAACAACCAACUUCAAGAUUGAAGCAGUGUGUUUUUGAAUGCAUCUAUGUGGAUGUAAAUAAAGGAAUGAAAUAAGCACCUACAAGCAAGAAUUGAGAAAAAGAAAAGAAAGAGAAAUGAAACCACAAACAUUAGGAAAAAAAUUGUUUAAAGUGCUAAUUAGAUAGGCUUAAAUCCACCUAAGUACUCCACAAUGGAGUAACAACAAACAUUAACAUGAAAGGAGCAUAAAAAGAAAUUACCAGUUUUUUCAUAUGAUUUACAAGUUUGAUAUCAAUAAGUCCUCAAUCUCAUAAAGGAUGCUCACCUGGGUGUCCAUAACAUUGUGUAACUUGAUGCCAAAUUGAAAGUACAAUGCCUGUAAAAUAACAACAAAUUCUAAUUCGCCAUAAAGCAAAUCAAAUACACCAUAGUGUAAAAGUCAAACGAAAAACAAUUAGACACCUCGCUAUCUCGUUUGCAAUCGUGAAUAACUUUUUUGACGUAACUAGACUCAAGUGCAGGCUUACAGGCUUUUAUAAGUGCCUCACCACCCUCAAUGGCGUCAACCAAAUAUAUAGCAUCUGGAAAUGCAAGCUGCCAGAAAAAAGUAUUUCUAUAAAUCUUAGAAUAGCACAGGCAAUUUAAGGCAUUUUGAUUUUUAAACUAACCACAACAAAAAAAUCUACUCUCCUAUAAAACAUAACAUACAUGUCUUACAAACAAACCAUAGUUCUUCAUAAAGCAUAUCAUUAUUGACUCAAGGAGCUACCUAAACUUUGAAUAAUUUGAGUCAAACAGUCACCAGAACUAUAGUUAACCUGCAUAAUACAGAGAGUGCCGUGGCGACAAAGGUCAACACCUUCACAGUCAAAACCUACGACCAACUGCCUCUCCGGCGAAGGAUUCAGGAACUCCACCGGAAGCUGAGAAGCAUUGGUCACUAUAUGGAUAGGAACCAUAGGAGCUUCAUUGUCUAAUGGCUUACCACCUGCAACACAUGCGUCAAGUCACCAAAGUUCAAAAUUAAAACUAAUCCAUAAUAGAUUCAGUUAAAUUCUAUAAAUAAUAUCCAUAAGCAAUAUAUAAAAAAAGAAAAAAGAAAAAAGUAAAGAACAGUGAAAAAUCAGUGAUCUGAACUGACGUUUCAGUUUUUUUCUUCACCAAAACAGGCCGGUCGAAGUGAAUUAGGGCAUGUCAAAUGGCGGAUAAUCCACCACUAUAAACUAAAUUUGAAUUAAACAGUAAAAAGCACAAGAGCAAACUUAUAACUCAAACCAGAAAAACUUUUAAAUUGAUAAUAAAAAGGAUUACGAGAUUAAAUACCAGAGUUCGAAGGGAAAGGAACGUGAGUGCGAUGAGAAGGAGGAUGGUGAGACGAAGCCAUGCGAUCGGACCAUCCAAGCAGAUCGAGUUUUUUUUUUUUUUUUCUUUUUGUCCUUCUUUCAAUCUGACUGAAUUUAUAUUACUCUCCUGUUUUCCUUUUUAUUUUUUUCUUACUGUGGUUUUUAUCGCUAGUGGGAUUUUCAUUUCAAGGAUGAUCUGGAGCGGAAGGUAGUACGCGAUUACGAAACGACUCGCUUUAGAUUUUCGCCACGUCAUUUAAAACAUGGUCUUUCAUUUUAUAUAUCUCCCAAAGGUUUGAACAUUAAACUAAUUACGUGAAUUAUGACGCAUAUUCAAUCACACACGCACUAAAAGAUUAAAUAAUUAGUAGCGUUUUAUGUAAUGUAAAAGAAACGGAAAUUGUAUUACCAUUCCAUAAGAAGAAUUAAAUAUUUGGAAAUUGUAUUACCACUCCAUAAAUGUAAUACCUUUUUUUAUUUCCCCACCCUUUAAAGUAAUCCUAUAAUAUAUCUUGGAAGAUGAGCAAAGGCAUACGAAUAAUAUUGAUAAUUCAAAUUUGUGUCAUAAGUUACCUAAAAGUUUUACCUUGUAAUAAAGAAAAAGGGAUUUUGGUCGAUUUCAUAAGAGUCAACUCAUUAAAAAAAUUGACUGAUAGAUAGUGAUAGAAAUUUUUUAUUCUCAUUUGAUGUCUUUUUUAUAAUUUUGCAUCAAAUAUUGGAAAAACUUUUCUUAUUAAAAUAUAAAAAUAUUUUUUUUAAAAUUUAAUAAAAAUAAAAUUAUUUUUUUGAAAUAUUAUCAUAUUAGUAAAUUAAUAAAAAUAUUAACAAUUAAUUAACGAUUAGAUUCAUAUGUUUAGCAAAAUAUAUUUUAAGAUGCAUUGUGCAUUUUAAAAAUAAAUAUAUUACGUAAAAUUAUUAUUAAAAUUUAAAGAUAUUAAUAUAUUUUACUUUUAAAAAAUUCUAAACAGGUAUCAAAUAAAGACAAACGAUUUAUGUUGUCUGGAUAAUGGCAUGAUUUGAGACAAUCUGUUAAUAUCAAAACGACAUUGCGAUGAGCCGCAUAUCCUAUAUGGGCAUGUAAAAAAAUGAAUUGCUGGAAGCGAAAGGGUAUGGUUAGAAAAAUGCUUAAUGAAAUAGACACUUGCCGGCUUGGCUUACAGUAUUAUUUCCCUGGUUAAAAAACUGAUCAUCGGCAGAAAUCUAGGAUGGAAGCACCACAUUUCUCACAUCAUGCUUACACUACGAUUUAAAACUAUUUGCCGAGAGGAUAAGCAUAAGUUUUUUAAUUUGUUAAUACCAUCGUAUAUGUUGACGUCCAGGGAUUAUUUAAGGUUGCAAUUUGUAAACAAAAAUGCUGAUUAAGUGAUCAUAUUUGGUUCCAAUCAUAUUUAUUGAAUGACAAAUAAAGCAAAUAAUCGAGUAAAGGAGCUUAGUUAAUAAGGUGAGAAUAAUUAGGAUUUUAUUUUUGAAUUAUUAUAUACAAAAUUUUAAUUUUAAGUUACGUCAUUGUUAUUGAAUUUAUGUAAUUUUAUGAAAAUAUAUAAAAAAAAUUGAAUUGUUAUGUUCAAUUGAAUCUGAUUUUGAGCAUUAAAAUAAUUUAUUUGAUUUCAGUUCAAUUUUUGAUUUGUAAAGUGAAAAUUUAAAAAUAUUUAAAGCGAAUGAAUGAAGUUUUUAUUAUUUUUAUAUUUUUUAAUUUAAAAUAAAAUAUGAACAAAUAAAAAAUAUUGAAAUUUAAAAAAUUAUUUGACGAAAUUAAAUAAAAUUUGAUUUGAAUAAAUUCUUUUUCGAUUCAAUUAAUGUCAGAAUUCUAUAAAUAUUUUUUUUUUUUUCAGAACCGAACCACCAUAUGCUGUCAUGAAAGUCGGAACGCAAAGAUUGGAGUGGAACUAUCAAUAUCUUUUGUGGCGAUAUGGGUCUCCACUCGCCAUUCCUUUGUUUUGUUUAUCAGGGAUUUCUUUGUAACUUUGUUGGCUUUCGAGCUGUUCGGCACAAGGAAUAAGAUGACACGUGGCGAUUCUCCAAUGGUGCACGUAGGUUUAAAAGUGUUGCACUAAAACGUGGGACCUUUUUCUAAAAAGCGACUGCACACGUGUACACGGCACCGAUGAUGUGUACGAUUUGCACAUUUCUUGUCAAUCGGGAUUUAUUUCCAAAAACAAGAGAAAAAAAAGAAAAAAUUUACUUACUUAAAUUUAUUACUGAAUAAUAAAAAUAAAAUUAUAAAUACUCCUUCAAUUUUUUUUCAUCUUUCGUGUUUCGAAGGUCCUUGAAUAAAAUCUUUAUGUUCUUUUUUAAACAUCUAAUAAUUUUACUUUUUGCAUGAUACAAAUAUAUUUUUUGUGAUUUUUUAAUCAUUUUGUAUUAAAAAAAUAUCAAAUAUUAAUAUUAUAAAACUUUUUAAAAUUUUAAUAUAAAAUACAUUGAAAUAAAAAAUUUAAUCUUAAUCUACAUUAAAACUAAAGAAGAAAAAAAUCAGAAAAGUAUUUCUUACCUUGAAUAGUUGGAUUGUAAAAUUGCCAAAUGCUUAAUGUUAUAUCUCAAUUGAAAAUUCCCCACUUAACCCUUAACGAAAUAUUAAUUUAACUUACAAAGUUAUUUAUUUUAAUAGUAAUUAAAUAAUUUGAAUUUGAAACUUAUUAAAAUUUAUUAAUAUCACAAAUAUAUAGUAUAUUUUAUUUGUCUACUCUGACUAUUUAAUAUAAAAAUUCCUGACCAAACACUAGUAUGUUCUCUCUCAUUUAAAGUUAAAAGGAACGGAGUGAUUUGCAAAUAAGGAUCCUUCUUUCAGCACUGAAUAAAAUCAAGCUCAAGAUUUUAUACCAACUAAAGACAUCAUUAAGUCUGAAGUCAUUACAAUAGAAAGAGCCGUAAAAAAAAGACUCGAGGACAGUGUUGCCAAAUGUCAACAGCAUGCCAGUAAAACAAAAUCCAGAGUUAUUUUUAUUUUAUUUUUUGGCCAGUGGAAAGAUCCAAAAGUGGGAGAAGGGUAGUUUUGUAAAAAGACUCAAUGGUUAAAAUGGAUAAGAAUGGUUGGACCAACCAUGGCAAAGGGUAAAAUACGAAAAAUCCAAGAGGAGGAGCUUCUAGUUCUAUCCAAAAUGGGCCCACAAUCCAAGCGCUUUUUCCCUUUUUCUUUCACUUUUCUGAGACCAGCCAUGAUUUUCUCUUCCUUGGUUCUCUGUCUUCCUCUCCUUCCCCUUCUCCUUCUUCGGAAUACCUAAUUAAGCUUGCCCUUCCAAUUUGUCUCUCUUUUUCACUCUUUUCGAAUCUCUUCUCUCUUCUCUAUCUACUAUAACCUUUUGUGUUUUUAACUAUCCAAAUCCUACUUUUAUUUACAUAACAUUGUUUUUUCCUAUUUCCAUAUAUAUCACUUUUCCUUUUCUUCUCCUUUUCUAAGUUUCAGUUACAAAUUACCAUUUUCCGAACUGGGUAGUCUCUGAGUUCUUGUAAAUCUGUUUAAUCUUGAGUCAAACAAUCCAAUUUGACAUCUGGGUAUUGACCAAUUUGAGUUUCCUUAGAGUCGGUUUAGGUGUUGAAUCCCUUUGCUUUUGUGAAAAUUUGAUUUUUUUUUUUUACUCAAAAGACUUUAUGGAUUGUUAAACUUUUAGUUUUUAGAGGUGGAUUUUAAUUUUAGUGGUGUGGUUCACAGGAUCUCUGUGUGAAUUCUAUGUAAAAGUGAGUGUUGGUAAUUGUGUUUUUCUUUUUUUUUUUUUUUUGGGGUUGAAGUUUGAGUGAGAAAAUAAAAUAAUGAAGAGAGGGAAAGAUGAUGAGAAGAUCAUGGGGCCUAUGUUCCCUAGGCUUCACGUUAAUGAUACAGAGAAAGGAGGGCCAAGAGCUCCUCCAAGGAAUAAGAUGGCUCUUUAUGAGCAGCUCAGUAUUCCUUCACAGAGGUUUAGCCCUGCGGUCUUGCCUCUUAACCCAAGUAAUAAAAGCAGCUUGGUUCCUCCUAGUUCCUCAAGCCAGGUAUUUUUCUUAUCAUUUACCUGUCUCUUUGUUAUUCUAUUGGUAUAUUAUGGUAAUAUUUUUACACAUCUGUUGGGGUUUGGUGAGGGGUUUUAUUUCCUUAUGAAGAUCAACUCAAUAUUUUUACACAUCUGUUGGGGUUUGGUGAGGGGUUUUAUUUCCUUAUGAAGAUCAACUCAUUACUUAGUAAACUUUGUCCAAAUGGAGCAUGAUUAUAGUAAUUUUAUAGGCAUGGUGAUUUAUACUAUCUCUGAUUGCUGUAACUGAUUGAUGCUUGCAGGGGAGUAGCCUUGAAAGAAAUAUGCUUUUCCCAUCUCGUGUAUCUCUUUCCACAUCCACAAAUCUGGCUGAGAAGUUUAGUACUCGCCAGCUUGGAGGAGCAAGUGUAAAUGCUCCUUUGGCACGCCUUGAGCAGAGAAAGGUCAGAGAUGAAGAUGAUUUCAUGGUUCCUGUAUUUGUUAACUCAGAGACAGGUCACCAACAUAAUAAAACUAAGAAUGGCUCAGAUGGAGAAAAACUCACUCCCUUGAGCCCAACUUAUCCCAGCCGUCUAAUAAAACUCCAAAAUGUUUGUGAUAAGGAUCCAAAUCGGAGUAGCUAUUCUGUUGUGAAUUUAAGAAAAGAGGUUAGAGACCAGAUUGAAGAGAGCUCAAGAGUGUGCUCAAGUAGGGAGCGUUCAGUAAAAACCGCUACGGACUUAUCAACUAGAGAAAAAAGUGGACAUGUCAAAGAAGCUAAUAUGUCUCCUGAUCAAGAUUGUGGAGAGCACCCUACUUCUAGACUUAGCCGAUUGCAUGAAAAUGAUGCUUGUCUGCAACAACCAGCUAAUAAUGGGUGCAAUAAUGGUGCUGAGUUGAUGAGAGAUAUUGAUGAGGGAAUUCUUUCCCGGCAGAGAAGCAUGUCUUAUUCAGAAGGGAAUCACAGUGGUCCAGAUGAAACUAAUAAUGACAGUGAAUGCCGUGGAGACAAGACAUGUGGCUCACUACAGUGGGCAAAUGAAGAUAAAAGUGACAAUGUCUCGGAGACCUCCAUAGUGGAUUCUGCAUCUGGCUCGGAUAUCUCUCCUGAUGAUGUGGUGGAAAUAAUAGGUCAGAAGCAUUUUUUGAAAGCAAGAAGAGCCAUUGUCAAGUAAGUUUUCAUUGUUAGUUACAAUGUCUUGGAAUUAUUAAGUUUUCAUUGUUAGUUACAAUGUCUUGGAAUUAUUUCACUUUUCCGGAUUUAUAUUGGAGAGGCCAUGUGAUUUUUUUUUCAAAUGCUUAUUCAUGUUACCUUCUUGUAAUAUAUUGUCAAAACAGUGCAAGCCUUGUGCUUUUGAAAAUGAGAGAAUGGCAAAUUUAAUCAUGCACUUGCACAAGAAGCUUUCUAGGUCCCUUAGGAGGAGGGGUGGAACAAGAAAUCUAGUCUAUAUUGCAGUGUUUCCAUGUGAUGUUUCAGAGGAUACCUUGGCUGGUCCAAUGGUGAAAUUCUUGUCCUGAUAUUUGACAUAAUGCAGGUAGAGCUCUUGAGAUUGGUCAUUUAGGAAUUAGUGCUCCCAAGACCUUGAAGAAAUUUUUUAGAUUGAUAGAUCCACAUAAGAUAAAUUAUGAAAUGUUCCAUGCAAUCUGUACAUGAAAAUAUAAUUGAAUUACCUUUAUUAGUUUAAAUGUGAUUAAUAUGUUUUGAGGGUGGUUCUAUUUAUUUGUUAGUAUCUUCUCUCUUGUUACAUAUGGAGCUAUAACUUUUAGGUCCAUGGCUGUAGCUAGUAGAAAUAAAAGCACUGCUUUUUUAGUUAUUAUGAAAGUUUUGAGUGCUGCUUCCCUCUUAUUUAUUUUGGUUUUUUUGUUCUUUUUGGAAUGUAAGCAAUCAAUCGCAAUAGGUGAGUUUUAAUUACUUCCUCUAGGCUGAUACUACAAUUGGAUAUAGACUACGAUCACUAUUCCACUAUCUCUAGUUGUUAUCACAAGUUAAAGUUGCCUCUAGUUUGCUGAAUGCAAUAUGGAUUACUAAUAGUAGGAAUAUAGAUUAAAUGCUAUCUUGUGGGGAGUAGUAAAUAUGGCUUUGAUGGAGGGGAGAAUUUAUGCUCUGGAGUCCUGGGAUUCCUCCCAAAGUGGCAUUUUUGUGUUCAGAGGCCCUCGAUAACGUAUUAACCAUGGAUCAUCUUCCAGCAGGGAGAGGACUAAUUUGUGCAAGGCAACAUCCGAGACAGCGGAACUCUUAUUAUUCAUUGUCUGCUCAUCUAUAUUUGGGUUUUAUUUCUGUCUCGGUUUGAUGCUGACUUCACCUUUUGGUCCUGAGAAAUUUUGCUUCCAUGGCACCCGAGGGCUUGGACAGGAGGAGAACAAGCUAGAGCUAAUGUUGGUGGAUCUCAAAGGAGGUGAACUGGGGAAUGUUUGAAUAAUUUGAAGUUGGUGAUGGUUAUUUUGGCAAAUGAGAUGUUGUCUAGCAUGGUAUCUUGGGUUCUGUGGCGAAGGAUUUUUUGGGAAUUGGGAUCUAUAAGCAGAACUUAAUAUUACAAUUUAAUUUAAUAGUUCUGUCCUAUGUACAGCUUCUAAUUGUUGUACAUUUGUAUAAGUUUGUAUGCUUAACUCAUUUUUGUGCGUAUUCCUGUUCAAGAAAAUAUCUGUUUGUGUACAUGCUGUAAAUUGAAAGAAAUUCUAUUUGCAACAAGUGCAUGUGGCUUUGGCUUUGAUUUUAUUGUACUGAAGCUAAAUGUUCUGCAUUCGGCUUGCCAAGAAGAUGGCAUUCAAAGAAUUUCUGAGUUAUGGUUAUUGCUAGCCUUCAAAUUAAUUAUUUUGUGUUUUCUCCAAUGUAAUGCUAUCAUAUUUGUGUGAUUGGUAUUGCCUUCUUCUGUUUGUUAGAUACUGAUAUAGCAUUAUCCUAAUUGUUAUCAAGUUCAUAAGGUAUAUUGUAGAAAGUGUUGCCAUUUAGAGCUAGGAAGAGGUUUCACCUAUCAAAGAAAACUGAAGGAGGUUUUUGUUGUGAAAGAGUCACAAAUCACCCCUCCCGAAAGCUGAGAACAAGGAUUGAGGAUAAGUGAGAGGAAUCAUAGACUUAAACUCAACCCUAUUAACCACUUUAGUUACUUUGUCCUCAUAUGAAGUAAUUCUUGUCUGUGUACUAAUUUUUUCAAAAUUAUGUUAUCUAGUGCUUAUUCUGAUGAAUAUCCAGUUGAUAUUGUCUGUUCACCUGUCAGUGAUUGUAUGUCUGUUAAAACUGAAAUAUUAUGACCUUUGCAAGUUUUUCUUGAUCAACUCCUGUUACUCUCUACAGUCAGCAAAGAAUAUUUGCAGUACAAGUGUUUGAGUUGCAUAGACUUAUUAAGGUAAGGUGGUCCUUGACCUUGUUUAGUAGUUUCUGCUGGUUCCCAUUUGGAUACAUGCACACACUCACAUGUAUACAUAUAGUCAAAAUGCUUAAUGCUUUGGGUUGAAACAGGUUCAGAGACUAAUUGCUGGAUCACCACAUAUCUUGCUUGAGGAUACAGCAUAUCUCAGCAAACCCUCUUUCCAAGGCUCUCCUGCAAAGAAACUACCACCAGAGUUUAUUGUAAAACCACUGCCACACACUAAGUGCAAAGAUGACACUGAGAAGCCAAGUCAUAAAAUGGAAUGUUCUGCAGAAAAUGCAGUUGGUAGGACAUCCCUCUCUUCAGUGAAAAAUGGUAGUCAGCCUUCAAACUAUGGACCUUUCCUUGGAAACCCACCACCUGCACCAGUUAAUGGUGAUAAUAAAAUGAAUCCUUGGUGUUUUCAUCAAAUGCCUGGCCAUCAAUGGCUGGUCCCUGUCAUGUCCCCUUCCGAAGGACUGAUAUACAAGCCGUAUACUGGACCUGGAUUCAUGGGAUCCAUUUGUGGAGGAUGUGGACCUUUUGGACAAACUCCAAUGACAGUCAACUUUAUGACUUCAGCUUAUGGAGUUGCAGCUCCUCCUCAUCAAGGAAUUGGGGUUCUACCCGGUGCUCCUCCAGUUGGCCACUCUUACUUUCCUCCUUAUGGGAUGCCAGUCAUGAAUCCAGCAGUCUCAGGUUCUGCUGUGGAACAAAUGAACCAAUUUGCUGGACCUGGUUCCUAUGCCCAUAAUGGCCAGUUUUCUGGAGGUGGGGCAAACUUUAACAUGCAACAUCAAAAUUCAUGUAAUUUGCCUAGCGAGAAGAAUGGUGCUAUUUCGCAUGUCAUGAAGUUUCAGGCAUCGAAAGACACCGAACUACAAGGGAGUACAGCGAGCAGUCCUGGUGAGAGAGUGCAGAGAGAUGGGACCCGUAGUGCUGCUGAAGGAAAAAAUGCACUUCCGCUGUUUCGUACAGCUCCAACCAUUCUGGAGGGAGCCCCUCAACCUCACGAUAGUGAGCAGACGACAAGAGUGAUAAGGGUUGUGCCUCACAAUCCAAGAUCAGCCACUGAAUCAGCAGCUCGAAUUUUCCAAUCUAUACAGGAAGAGAGAAAACAAUAUGACUCAGUUUAGCUUGUUUAUAUCAAGCAAUCUAUUACUAGUAAAAUGAUCUGGGACUCAUCUAGCUAGGUGUGUUGCUUGGUCAUUUUCUCUGUACUUUUUGGUAAUGAUACUGUAACCUUUUCCUACUAAUUUUCUAUUUUACCGGUCUGGUUAUAGGUUAGUCAUAUGUAGAUAGGAGUUUACAAGUCAAUGUAACAUGUAUUUGUUAUCUCUUCAAUACUUUCUGAUUGAUGUUUCGGAGGAACAAGGAUAGUAAAUUCUGUGCUUGGAUACCCUUGACUGCAGGCUUAGUAAGAGCUUUACUUUCCUAUCAACAUCUACAAGAGUUUCUUUAGGAGUAACUUCUGCAUCGAUACUAAGGUACUAAAAUCAGAUAAAGCCGGUACCAAGAAAAGCCUAGAAAUCAGUUUUGCUCCUCAGCAAUGGGAACACGAAUCUAUCUGAAUGGUAAGACAGCAAUGGUAAUCUGAAUGGAAAUACUAAUCCAAAUUUCAUUUAUUUGUAUAAAUCCCUUAUCUGUCCCUUGGGUUCGGGUUUCUUUAACCUUUUUGCUAGUUACUGAUGAGUCUUUAAGAAGAGCUUGCUAGCAUAUCAUCCAUUCUGACUUCUGGAAAACAUAGAACGUACUCCUUUCACUUUUUAUUGGCACUAACCUCACUAUCCUAUAGAAAGAAAGAAGGAAAGAAAGAAAAUUAACAACAGUAACCAAUUACGGCAGCCAUUACUAGUCCUUAAGGGCACAUGAGAUUCCUGCCUGGGCCCCCAAAAUAGAAUUCAGGAUCUUCAAUGUAAUCUCCAACAUAUGUAGAACGAUAGCAGUUGUAUUCAUCCACUUGACUACCCACCCACUCUGGGAACUUCAAGUUAUAAGAGAUGUCAAGUACUCGCAUUCUUUUCACGAAUCCUGAAUUGCCAGUGAUAUAAUCAGGAAAUCUUCCAUUACCCAUGGCUGUUUUUGUAUGGGGAGAGUGCCUUAACUUGGAGCUGUAGACAUCGCCUCCCCACUCGGCGGAUUCUGCACCCUGACUCAAUCUUGUAAACAAGGUUCUUGGCCAAUACCCUAUGUUGGUUUUUUCCCCAUACUGCACCCAUAUAUUGCUUGUUUUGGGAUCCUGAGCUUGAAAACCAAGUAGAAGAUAAUCAGAAGAUUGAGGACUCAAAAAUGCAAGGCUCACAAACUAAUAUUUCAAUCCAUGCACCAGUCCAUGUUCUAGUGAUUUUGGUUCUGAUAAUUGAAUGAUAGUUCCAUCCUUAAGUUUUAUUGCUAGCAUUCUUAGUAUUAUCACUAUCAAGAAAACAGACACUACUACUUUUAGUAACCAAAGUUGAGCUCUAUAUUUCCUGACCUUAAACAUGAAGAGAGUUAUCUGAUAUGGGAGCCCGCCGAAGACUGAGAUAGGAUAAAUUGCUGCACCAAGAGCAAUUUUAUUGCUAAUUUGAACGAAGCCCGGACAAGUGAUAUCAAAACAACCUGUUGAGUUCGAUGCAUCAGCCUAUACAUGGAGAAAAAUAUUUGGUUAUUGAUCAGAUUUGUAUAGCACAGUGCAAGCAACAUGUUGACUAGAAAGAAUGCACGUGCAAUUGUCCCCCAGAAAGUUUUCUUUUAAAGCUUCAAGGCAAUCACUCAUGGUUAAAAUGUACUUACAGUCCAGUAAACAUAUAAUCGAGUUUGUCUGUCUCCGUAGACACUCGGGUUCACCUGAAAAGUUCAAAAAUCAAUCCUAGAUUAAUAACUAUCAGAUCUAAUAUGUAGAAUCUUAGCUAAGGGGAGUUCGUACUAACCGCCCAUCCAGAUUCAACGCACUCAAAAUCAAAGUAAGGGCCAUUUCUGAGGCUGAUUCUAGAAGUACUGUAUUCAUCAUCAGAUUCAACAUGAGGAUUCCAGACUUUGAUGUCUCCUUUGACUCCAGCAUAAUUAUACCCUGCUGUUAGCAAUAUUGCCUUCUGGUUCACAUAAAGUUGGGCCAGAAAUGCAAAUGUGCCAAUGAGAAAUAGCAGAUUUAUAAUAGUAAACUACUUGAACAACUGAAGUCUAGCACAGAAAGUGAUGGAUACCGAGUGAUUCAUUUGGUUUAUUUGUUGAAGGGAUAAUGGAGUCUCCUCAUUGCAGGGCUCUUUAACAGGAUUAUAAUAGCUUGGCUUUUUAUUCCAAUAGCCUUCUCCAGAGUUGGAUAAUAGCCCUUUAUUCCGGGUUCUGCGAACUGGGAUUGUUCCUUUUGGACAGCUUCCACUUUUCUGCCAUGGUUGAGAUGUCAUAAUCCUGGAAGAAUGCUCACUCGCUGGAGUUUCCUCCAUAGUUGGAUUAUAACUUGGUGUCAUCUAAAUGGAACGAACAAUAGUUUUGGUUACAAACAAUUCCGAUAGAAACAAAGUAUCAGAACAUCCAAGUAGCUAGAAAUAAAGCUAAACAAUUGAAUGUUGAUGUUCUAGCUGCAAUAAAAUGCAUACCUGAAUGAUGUGAUUCCUCAAAGCAGGAUGAUCCAACGCAGGCUGCUUGUAAAUGUCAAUGCAAUCUAUAAUGUCACCAUCUUCACUCUGCAGGCAAAAACAUAUCCUGCUUAAAUGCAUUGACUGGUUAAACAGGUUAUAUUAUUCAAGAAAUGAAGCAUGAAACGAAAUUCAGAUACUAUAACGUGGUCUUUUCACUGGCAGGCGACUUUCAAGGUUGCAGCUUUCAGAAGUGCUUCUUCUGAUAAUGAAUAUGAAGAGUAGUAGGAUAAAAGAAUCGAAAACCUAUACCUGAAUGGAUUUCACUGCAUGCCUUCCGUGGUUGCUUCCUUUUCUUCCUUCCAAAAUCUUCUGUCUAGCUAAGCCUAAGUCACCCUCCCCAAGCUCAUAACAAAGUGUUAGCCCCAAGAGAAUAACCAUGGCUUCAAAACUAGGAGAGUACAAAAAACCAGUUCUCAUUUGUUACUCUCAGUUUCCUCUCCCUGAAAGGUGUUUGUAUGUAAUCACAAGUUCUAAUGAUAUAAUUAUGAAGAUGGAAAACUCUUUGGAAUGCUGAUAUAGAUGCUCUUGAUGAUCAAAAUAGAGAUGUAAGCAGCAAUAUUUAUUUCAAGUCACACAAAAUUUGCAUGAUUCAACUUCUAAUCAUGCAUUUUCUAUUUACACUUUCAACAUUUGAAUCAUACUUGGAAACAAGAAACAAAAGUGAAUUUUUAGCCAUACUUUAGAACCACCAAAUAGAUAUAACAUAUUGUUAGUAUAUUGGAAAAAAAGUAAAAAAAAAAGAAACCUUCAAAGCGAAACAUUUAAACUUAAGUAGCCAUAGACAAAGAGGCACAAAAAGGGGAGCUAGAAGUUUUAAUAUUUGGAUUCUAACAUACAUAAUGAUGAAUAUAUAUAUAUAUCAUUUCAAUUCGCAAAGGGUAAACAAUUUAAAUUUUGCUUAAUAGCUUCAGUUCCUUCUUCUUGCUCAGUAAUAAUAAUAAAUUAAUUUUGAAUGGAGAAUAUUUUAAUAAUUUUAUUAAAUAAAAUUAAUCGUGUAAAUUUUUGUAAAAAUAAAAAAUUAAUUAAAUAAAAUUUUGUAUGGUGUUAAUUGAGGAAAAAAACAUAAAAUGUCGUGAAUAAAAUUGAAAUGACGAAAAUUGUAAGUGAAAUUUAUUCAAAAAGUAAUAUUUUGAUUUUAAAAAAAAUAUCUGACUGUUACUUAUAAUAAGAUACAAACAUAAAGUGAAUACUUUUGGGCCUUGGAAUAAUGGAAUUAAUCAAAUGAAAAUUAAAAAAAAAAAAGGAAAUUAGGGGAAAGGAUAAACAUUAAACCAUCUUUUGUUCUAAAUAAUUUCAUGUCAAAAGAAUCAUUUCCAAUAUUAAUGAAAAUGUUUGUUUGAAUAUUAUUUUACAUUUCCACGUGGCCACUCAAUACUGGCAUAUUCAGCCACGCUGGAGACGGAAUAUAUUCUAGAAGGAUCACACAAAAAAAAAAACAUCUAAAAUCCUUGGAAAAUGGAAAUCUAAAAGGAGUUGAAAAAUCCUCACAAAGGAUUUUCUAUUUGUCUCCGACAGCCACCUUUUCAUCCAGUGCACGGAGGAAGUGAGAGGGAGAGAGUGAAAGAGAAAGCUUGAGAUAGACGCCACUAAGCGAAAAUGGUGAACUUCAUGCUGAAGAUCGCUGCCGACCUUGAAAAUCUAACGAACCUCCAGCCUCAAGGCGGCUGCGACGAUCCCUCCUUCUCCUAUCUCUUCAAGGUCUCUCUCUCUGUGUCUGCUUUUGACUUUGCUUUUCUUUGCUUGAGCUGAGCUCAUUUCAUUCCGAUAUGGUUUCCGGGCUUCGAACUGUUUCUUUUUACUUCUCUAAACGCAGAUUACUACUCUUAUUGUUGCUUGAAUCCAGUAUGUUCUCCGUUUUAAUCCUUCUUUGUGGUCAAAUGCCGGAUUAUUAGUUGAAAUCUUCUUUUCUCAAAUUUUUAGCCCUUUUUUUGUUUUAAAAUAGUGAAUUAUUAUAAGUUACUAUAGUUGAUAAUUCUUGAGUUGAAUUUAUAAUAUUUUAUUCAUUUUGCUUCAGUUAUCGCAACUGCAAAUGCACGAAGAUUUACUUUAUCUGUCCGCUGCAAAUGCAUGUACCAUUGACUUUAUCUAUCCGUUUAUAUUUCUUCCUUCGAAAUUUGCUUCCAUUUUCUUAUUCUAUUUUUUUUAAUCUAUUUCUCGUUAUAUUUAUGUGAUUUUACGCCUUUUUUUUUUAUGGAUUGCGAUUAAAGAUUCAGUGAAAACUACAUAGAUCUUCGAUUUUUUCUAUUGUUUUUGGAUGGCUAUGCUUUUAAUAUUUCUUUAUUUGAUUCCUUUCAUAAUUUUCUUGCAAUCUCUUCCUUGCAGAUCUGAUUUCAUUUUAAUAGAUUUUACUUAACUUUCCUUAUUCUUCUUUCUCCUUACAUAGAUAAGGAUGAUGAUAAUUUAAUGUUAGCAUCUCUCUCAUAUCCUUGUUCUUUUUGUAUGUCCUGGCUUUACGAGGUUUCAUUUCACUAAUAUUUGAAAUCUUGUAUCUAUUUGCAUAUUUGGAGUUUCAGCUGAAAUGCGGUAGGUGUGGAGAGUUGAGUCAGAGGGAAACGUGUGUGAGCUUGGGCGAAUCCAUUCCUCUUCCUGUGGGCAAGGGAACCACCAAUCUCAUUCAGAAGGUAAUCUUGUAUACGUGUAUUCUCAGUAAAUGAAUUGAUUUCAAGUGAAAGGUCAUUGCAAUUGGUGGAUUUUAUGUCUGUUUGGUUGCUGAGAGCAAAGAAUGGACGAGAGAGACAAAUUUCUACUUCGUAUAAGUUGCAUCCUUACUUGGACUUAGUCAAUUUCACCUGGGCUACACGUGGUAAUACUAGUCUUGGUUUAUGUUAUUCCCCUUCUCAUUUCUCAAGCUAGCAGAUAUUUCUAGUUUAGUGUUCUUAGAUUAUGUCUAAUUGGAAGUUUUGUUUUGUGAAUUUAGUUGUAAAAUCACUGUGUUUUCUGAACUAAAAAAAAAAAAAAGGAAUCUCAUGCAUUAGAAUAAAUCCACAAAUCCAUGCUACAUGUUAAGAACCAAUAUUUAAGCAAUGUUUUUUGUAGUUGCGAGAUGCAUAAUUUUCUUUCCCCAUCCUGUGCUGUAUAAUUUAGAAGAAGCAUGAUGUGAUUCUAAACUCCAAUUGUAAGUCCGCAUGACUCCUUUCCAUUUCACAUGCUGUAUUGUUGGUUGAGUUUUUCUUUGAUUCAUUCCUUCUAAAAGUUGCUUGGGGUCAAGUAAGCUUUGAGACCAGUAUUUUUUUCUAGAUAACAUCUGUCUUAUAUCUAAUGGUUUCAGUAGCCUUAUGUAGAUAUUCUAUGUGUUUAUCUUGUAUACAAUCAAACUUCUGCAUUUUAUAUGGCAUGCUACUUGUAGUUGCUUUAACUGCAAAACUUCAAUUUACUAUACUGGGUUUUUCCUUUUUAUCUACCUAGCUAUUUACUUCCAGUGAUUAAUGGUAUUGUUAUGCCUUUUCUUUUUUACUUUAGUGCAAGUUUUGUUUGAGGGAAGGAACUAUAACAAUGAUCCCUGGCCAAGGUCGACCACUGACCCACAAAGACAGUGAAGCAGGAAGCUAUGCACCUUUGAUGCUAUUGGACUGUAGGGGUCAUGAGCCUGUGGGUUUUAUAUUCGGUGGUGGCUGGAAGGUUGAAUCUGUAAGUCUUUGUUCUUCAUCCCCCACCCUAGAUGAUCUUUUUAUUGGGUAGUGGAAAUUGUGAACAAAGCUUUAUUAUAGCAAGGGCUUCAGACUGUAAUGUCUUGGUAUAUAUUGAUUUUCCAAUACCAAUCAUAGCAAUAAUCAUUUAUGAGCUAUUAAAAUGAUAACACAUUCUUUGUUUUUUAUGACAAAAAUAACCAGAGUCAGAUGUAAAAGAUCAAGACUAAUCACUAUAUAGAAGUCCCUGCUUUAUAUUAUGCAUAUUAUGAUGUUUGAAGAUAUUGCAUUUGCUGUAUUUCCUAGCUGGGAAGUACCUAGUUUGAAUUUUUCCCACCCAUUUCAAAAAGUGUAUAAUAACUUAGUAAGCACCUUGCACCUAAAGCUAAGGGCAUUUAAACCACGUAUUCAAUCUUCAGCGGAAUUGGAUGGCAAGCCUGGCUAGAAGUUACAGUUAACGCUGCACUUACAUGUGAAUUUGUUUAUGUGAUGCUAGUAAUUGCAUAAUAUCCUGACCAUAGUUAGGCAUUGUUGUUGUCUGAUUUCUGGUAGUUACUGAAAUAUUCCCUCACCGUUGGGUUGUUGGGCAUUUACACGGUUACUUACUGCCAUCUAUAUAUUUGGUGAAUGUGUUUCCAUGUCAACUUACUGUAAUUUGUUUGUGUAGCUGGAAGGGACUAAAUUUGAAGAUGUUGACUUGUCUGGAGAUGACUUCGCUGAAUAUGAUGAGAAGGGAGAGUGCCCAGUGAUGAUAUCCAACCUUCGUGCUACUUUUGAUGUGGUGAAGUAGAGUAGUACUACUCCCCAACUUGCACAUGUCUUGGUAAAUAAGACUGAUGGUUCAUCAUGAAUGAGGUAGAAACCUGUGACUGUAAAACAUUUAAUGUAGGCAUGAAGCUAUAUCCAAUCGUGGUUUGAUGUGAAUUGUUCAGUUUGUAGUAUAUGCUAAUAGAUACAAUGGCAAUGGUUUGCACUGAUUAAUGAAUCACAUAAUGUUUGCGUGUUCAUUGUUUUCUUUAUUUUUUGAAUUAUGAAGAUAAUUACGCUGAAUGCAAAUAGCUUUCCCUUAAAGAAGUAAAGAAGUCCCCCAUGUUUGAGAAUGGAUUCUUUUUAGACCUGGGGAAGCUUCAUGGUUCUUGCUCUUCAUAGCAAGAGCCUGGAGUUGUUGGUGAGGCUGAAAUGUGCCAACUCGGAGUAGUGUCAAGAAACUUUUAUCUGGCCUAGAUUUUUUUAUAUUUUUCAGUUCACAUUCGUAUGUGGGAGCAUACUAACUGUUCUUCCAGUACUUGGGAAUGUUUCUGAUACACUUGAAGACGCAAGGCUGCUCCAUAAUUUGCUGGUGCUGUAGUGCAUCGCAUAUAUCAGGUAUUGUGAGAGAUUGCGUUUUUGUUGGCAGGAAACAGAUAUUAGUACUUUUACUUUGGAAACAGAUGCAACCGCCUUCUUACUACUACGUUUCUUUAUUUAUCUAGGAAACCAUCGCCUGAUCUGAAUGAAUUGGACAAAUUUGUUCCAUUGGGAGUAUACGUAAGAAUAUUUUGCGGGAUGUUUGAGGAAUUGUCCUUCACCUCGUUGCCAGCCAGCCUUCGUUGGAAACAGGAUAACGACUAGAAUCAACUUAGGUGGAAGCGGUCCGCACGUCUCAUGCAUAUGUUGGUGAGCAAUCUUAUAAAUGUAGCUCUAGGUGGGUCCGGAUCCGAGCUUCGUAUGAAAGUGGAAACUCCACCUCGAUGAAAAUUCGACAAAUUAGCUUUGCCAUUAAAUGUGUGAACCAUACAAUGGGUAAAUGUUAAUUCACUGCCCUUCCUGUUAAGAAUCAAAAUUCGACUAUUCUCUCCUUUAUUGCCUUCUACAGAAGGAGUUUGAAUUACCUAAAAUAGAUUGUGUAGUGAGAAUCCAGAGGGAUUUAUUUCGGGGGAGUUUCAGAUUUUUCAUUUUUUGUUUUUGAUAAUCCCAUUUUUGGAGGAAAAGAAAUCCUAACGGCAUUGAUCAUGCUUAAUAUCAAAUCCCACUUUCAGUGACGUGAGGGAAUUGUACUUCUAGCUGACUGCCUGGCCCCUCUAUUUGGGUCACCAUUAACCCCAGAAGUUUGAUCAUCAUGCCUCAUUCUCCUGGUGCCUUGUUAACAUCUUAAAUAUACAAAGAAGCCAUUUCCUCUUUUAAAAUUCCCAUUAUAUCCCUGCAUGUCAAACAGUAAACUGUAACUCCAUAGGACAAGACUGCCUUUUUAACUCACUCAAGGCUGCCCAAAAUCACAGGUGGGCAUAUCAUUUUUAAAUACCGUUCUUCACAUGGCAGCCAAGAAAAGGCAUCUCCCCGACAACUGCAAACGCCAACUCGCGAAAGGAAAAUAAAAAAAAACAGCACUCACUUCACACUCCCAGCCUUCCUUCCUUCCUUCCCUGAGUGAAGAAAGAGACACUGUUAUUAACUUGCCACAGAUUUCACAAAUCAUGCUCUUAGCACCACAAAAUCCAGAAAAACAUACUUAUUGACCAACCAACUUCACCACAUCUCUUUCUCUUGGCCUUCACCAAACUUUUCUGUCCUCCUCUGCCAAACCUUCUUUAAUCUUUAUUGUUUUCCCAUACUGACCUUAAUAAAUAGUCUGGGCGCAAUCCCAGCACCUCAUAUAGAAUUAGAAACCUCUUUAUCUCUAUAUCUUUCCGCACCCAAAAGUUUACAUGGUACGUUCACUGUCUUCUACUCUUUUUGUUUUCUUGUUAACGAAGACUUCUGUCAGCCUCGUUCUGGACUUUGAUCUUGGGUUAGAUUCUUGAUAGAACACUGUUUAUCCAAUACCCUUUUCCUUUAAACUCUUGAUUCUCACGUUAAAUUAGUUUAUAGUGAUUUUUUUUUUGGUCAGGUGGUAUAACUUGUAAACUCUGGAUCUGUUGUUCUAUUAUUGUUUCUAUUGCUAAAAGGGGCUGUAUUUUUUAAAGUUAGUUAGUUGCUAAAAAACCCCAAGGUAGUGGAAUUUAUUUCACUGAAUUAAUCGGUGGGGAUCUAAGAUGCGAGAGAUUUUAGUUUGCUUUUGAGUGGGAAAACAAAGAAAGGGGCGGUUUCUGGAUCUGACCCCGGAAGUUGAAUUCUGGUUUUUGAAUUUUCUUAAACGAUGCAAACAAGAGUUGGGUCGGCCGGGUCAUUGGAUGAAGUCAAGGAUCCUGUGGUUACUACUAGGACAAGUCAAUCUAAGACUUUGCCACUAAGGUUAUUACAGUUGUUUGGGUUGUUCCUUGCUCUCUGUAUCGCCUUUUCGAUCGUUAGUAUAUAUACAAUCCGGCGUUUUGGAAUUUAUAGUGUGGUUACUACAGUUAAGUCUAAUUUUGUACCGUGUGUUGAAGAACCAAAUAGUUUGAAUCGGUGGAUAAAGCCUCCAUCGAAUUUGCUUCACACGAUGAAUGAUAAAGAGUUAUUAUGGAGGGCAUCUUUCGUGCCUCGAAUAAAGAAGUAUCCAUUUAAUAGACUUCCGAAGAUUGCAUUUAUGUUCUUGACUAAGGGGCCGUUGCCGCUUUCUCCUCUUUGGGAGAGGUUCUUGAAGGGGCAUGAAGGCCUUUAUUCCAUCUAUAUUCAUUCACUGCCAUCAUACAAUGCCGAGUUUCCUCCUUCAUCAGUUUUUUACGGGAGGCAAAUCCCAAGUCAGGUAUGGUACUCAUAAUGUCCAUUUCUUUUAUAGGAGUUUUCAUUUGUUUCUGAAUUCUGUAUUUUUUUUAAUCGUCUUUGUUCUUUGUCAUGUUAUGAACCCUUCCAUCCUUAUUCCUCUGUAAUGCACUUUGUGUGUUCUUUUACAUGCUUAUGCACAACAUGGUAAGUUACUGUCCUUGAUAAUGCUAAUUCUGUUUAGAACCUUUCUUAUGUAGCGUUUUUGCUAAGUAGGUCUCCUGAGAAUCUUUGUCCAUAAGAGUGAUAGUAGCAUGCUUGUUAUCUAGGCAUUUCAUAACUGUUGCAGAAGUUAGCAUGCUAACUUAAGUUACAUUAGGAAAUUUGGUUUUUGGAGGUUAGACUUAGAACUGCUACCAUUCAUGGCCUCUCAUUCCCUUUUUUUUUUUUCAAUAAUGGGAUGUUAGUUUGUUCCUCUCCUUAUUUAUCUACUUAAAUUCAAGUUUUGAUUGGUUCUUGGUUAGCUGGAUAGAUGGUGAUCUGCCUGACCUUUAUAACCUCUUUGCCAGUGGAAAGGUUUUCUCAUGUUCAAUACAUUUUAGGCAUUCCACAAGUUUUUUGCAAACACACACAAAAUUGUGGUCACAAAUAGACAAAUAAUAUAUCACUUUGAUAAACAAAAAUAAAAAUGGCAUGAGAUGUAUUUGAUUGUUCAAACUUUAUGUGACCUUCAAUUUUUUAGAUCACCUAACCUGCAUGCAAGCUUGCAAUUUGAAAUCUGUCUAUUUUUACCAUCUGGAUUUAUCUUGUGCUUCAAACCACAGCACAGGUUUAAGACCCUCAUAGUAUAGCACACUAUAUCAGUGAUGCUUGUUGAAACUGGAGACAAAGUUAAUUCUGAACUAAUCAUGCAGAGUAACAUCAGGGUGACAGAGAAACUUUAUGAUUUAGACUUUAGAGACCUUUCAGGAAGUGAGUGUGGGGAAUAGGAACUUAUAGUGAGCUGAACAUUUGCUUUGGAACAGAUAGCUGUAUUGUUUUGGCUAACUUGUAGGAGAUGGCAAAUUAUUGUGAUUGAUUUGCCCGAAGAGAUUUCACUAGAUUUAUGGUUGUCUUUCUAGUCCUGGUGUUAAGUAGAAUAUUGUGUGUGCAAGAGAUGUGUUUUUGUUUGGGUCCCUGUAGGAAGAUAAAAGAAUCUGAUUGUUUACAUGUAAAUUGUCAGCUGUUGUAUUUGAAGGUAAAGGGGUAAACGUCUUCUACCCAGUAUCUGUCAUCUCUAUAUCAGCUCUUGUAGUGUUUUGCUGAAUUUCUUUCUUUCAGUUACACCAAAGUACCCUGUUGUGGUUUCUAUUUUUUUUUACUUCCCAUCAGUCAUGAUUUAUAGUAAUUGUUUGGCAUUUGUUCUUCAACAGUUCAGAUAGAUGUUUGUUAUUUAAAUGAGCAGCCUUUAUUUCUUCUCUUUUGGGGAUUGAGUUCCUGAUUUCUGUAUUUGCUCUCAUGCAGGUCUCUGAGUGGGGAAGGAUGAGUAUGUGUGAUGCUGAGAGAAGACUCCUUGCCAACGCCUUGCUUGACAUAUCAAAUGAAUGGUUUAUCCUCCUCUCUGAAUCUUGCAUACCUCUAUACAAUUUCAGUGUCAUCUACCACUACAUAAAGAAAUCCAAAUAUAGUUUCAUUGGUGCAUUUGAUGACCCUGGGCCAUAUGGUAGAGGACGUUACAAUGAGAACAUGGCUCCUGAAGUGAAUAUCACCCAGUGGCGUAAGGGGUCCCAAUGGUUCGAAAUUAACCGAAGGCUUGCACUCAACAUAGUGGAAGAUAGUACAUAUUACCCGAAGUUUGAACAGUUCUGUAGACCGGCAUGUUAUGUUGAUGAGCAUUAUUUCCCCACCAUGUUAACAAUCCAGGCAUCAAAUCUCAUAGCAAAUAGAAGCAUCACAUGGGUAGACUGGUCGAGAGGUGGGGCUCAUCCUGCUACAUUUGGUAGAGCAGACAUUACAGAAGAGUUGUUCAAGAGAAUUUUCGAAGAUCAUCAGUGCAGGUACAACGAUCAGCCAUCUUUGGUCUGUUUUCUUUUUGCCAGAAAAUUUGCACCAAGCGCAUUGGAGCCUUUGUUACAGAUAGCACCAAAGAUUUUGGGCUUCGGACUUUCUGAGUGAUGAAUGAACAUAAACCUUGCCACUGCCAGAUUUAGAUCCUGAAACAAAAUUUGAAGUGGAGAUGAGUCCAUGAGAGACUAUGGGAGCAUGCCAGGUCCAUUCUUUGAUCUCAUACAUAAAUGGGUCCUCUUUUUCCUUUCUUUCUUUUAUAAAAUUUAACCCUCGUCGGUGAUACGGUGUGGUUUUCUUACUUUGUACACUCUCCUAACUCUUUGGCACUCCCAACCCAAAAAACCAUUCUGUAUGUACAGAAAAUUCACAUUUUUGUAUUGAGGUUGAGAAUACUACUGUAUCAGGAUAUUUAGAUAGCACCAGUGUUUUUGUUUUGUGCAAUUUUCAAUACACCCCCCACCUCUCUCUCCCUCUCUCUUGAUAGUUUUGGCCAAUGAGUUUGAGCUUUGAAGUUUAAAAGAGCAGCAAGAGUAUCACGUUAAAACUUCAGGUAUUUGGUUCUGAUUGGUGUGGGAAGAGUGACGUAAUAAUGUGAGAAGAACAUUUUCUUGCUAAAGAUAAAAGAAGUAACUAAACUAAAAUGAGGUGGCAUUUGUUUGUCUUUUAGGGUAAAAGUAAGCGACCUUAAUCGUUGCUACUUAAGAAGCGUUGCUUUGUCAUUUUUGUCAAAAGAAAAAAACAAUGAGAAUCCCAUUCCUUAGUUCGUUUUUUGGUAGAAAAAUCCCAAUAAUAGCUUAUAUCAAACGCAAAUAGCUCCCCCCCCCCCCCCAAAUUACACGCAAAUUUAAAACCAAAAACGUUAGAUAGAUAUGAGCUUAAAUGCUUUCCCUUAAUUAACUUUGAGAGACACAAGUCAAAAGUAAAACAUUAAACAAUAACACGUGUUGGUCAUUCAAAAUCGUGUGUGCCUUUUGACACCAGUCAAGGGGAAACUUCUCGAAUUCAUACACCUGUCUUUCAUUCUUUGCUUUGAAUUUCAAAAACAAUAAACCCUGUUCCUUUUGGGCCCUCCACGUGUUCUUCCCCGGUUGGCCCAACCUCCGUCUCUACCAUGUGACGUUUUGUGGACCCACGUUGAAUCCGCAUCUUUGCAGUUGUUUCGCGACGAAAUCAGCGUGAUUACUUCCUCAAUUGCGGGCUGCCCAUCACUCCUUCCCUCUCCUCUCAUCUCCUCUGUUUUAACUUCGCUGCGAAUGUCUCAUGCGCGUGUCAACACGGGUGAAUACUGAACCUCAAUCUUAACCAGACCUAUUUAGAUAGCCACCAGAUGCGCGAGUAGAAUCACGCUCUUUAGCCCAGCGGUCCCACUACUCCCUUGAUUUGGCAAAGAAUCAAAUUCUAUUCCGAAAGAAGAAAAAACAAAGAUCCGCCCCUAACAAGCAUUAACAGCGUUAAAACGACCGCGUUUUCCAUUGCACUACUUGUCAUUAUCAAAAAAUACUGGGGGUAACGAACAAUUUACACGCGUAAAAUAAAAUUAAGGAAGCCCUUUGAAACGGGGACCCGCUGGAGUACCAGCUGCAGCAAUUGCAAUCUCCAGGCUGGAUAUCCGGGCAGCUGCCCAAAGUCUCUCUCCUUCUCUCUCUAUAUAUAGACCCCACCUAUCCCACCCAAAACCCUCAACACAUAUCCUCACUCUCUAAAGGGGAAAAAGGAACGGUCUUUUUAACGCUUAAGAAUUCCAACAAUGGCUCUCUCCAGGGCUUCUCUAAUGCUUGUUCUCGUCGCUGUUUGUGCUCUCAUGGCUUCGGCUCUCGCUGCUGAGGCCCCAGCUCCAAGCCCCACCUCGGGAGCUGGCUCUAUCUCUCUCUCAUUCGUCUCCGUUGUCGCCGCCGCCGCUAUGGCUCUCCUUUUCGGCUCUACUCUCAGGAUCUGAAGAUUUGUCACCUCUGGCGGUGGCGUCUCCUUGGAUUGAUGGCUAUGGAUGGUGUAGAGAGGGGGCUCGGAUUUUCAUUUUUAUAUAUUUUUUUUGUGUUUUAAAUUUGGUUUGGAAUUUUAGUACUAGUGGAUCUAGGGAGUGAGUAUAUAUAUAUUUGAGAGAGUGAGACGGGGAGAGGUAGCUGUGUUUUGUGUCUGCACAGAUUAUUGAUGUUGAUGUUUGGACUUAAUUAUUUCAGUAUCAUUUCUUAUGGAUUUAUAUCAUUUUUAUUAGUAUAAUGAGAGAUCUUUUAUUUUUUACAUACACUCCAUUUGUUUCUUAAUUUUUUCUGUUCAGUUAUUUCUUACGUUUUCUCUGCAGCCAAACAAUAGCCACAUAUUCUCUGCAAUUAUUUAUAUAUACAUUGGAAUUUUCUGGUUCAACUCCUAGCCUAGGUCUUGCUUUGCUCUUAAAGUUUUGCUAGGACUGUAGAGACAAAUUUACCCUUCAAUGGUCCACACUCUAACCGUACCACUACCAGUAAAGCAAAAAUUUUGCAGUAAUGCUGGCCUCCACUCGCUACCAUGUGACCUACAAAAUAUCCUUCUGUUCUCUUUACAUAAACGAAUGGCAGAAUGGGGUCCCUCAAAAAGCUUUAAAAAAAGGUUGGUAAGAAGAAAACUUCAGAAAACUUUGCUUUGAAGUUAGCCUUGGCAGCAGCUCGCUCUCAUUUUUUAUUUCUUUUCCUUUAUUCUUUUUCCCUUUUGCGGGUUCCAACUCCCAAUUGUGGAAGUUGUGCUGCGUGGGUACGCAAUUGCACAGAUUGCCAGUUCCUAGUCUCUUUACAACUAAUGAUUCCAUGUUCAAUGUUCUUGAACAAUUAUUAGUGGUUUAACAUGUUGAAUUUUCUUUUGUUUUCAAGAAUAUGCUUUAUUACAAAAAACGGGGUCUGAAUACGAAACUAAUAAGAGCACAUGCUGGUGGGUCUUCUUGAGUUUAUGGCACAGAUCAAUAAUUCAUUAGUGGUUAAUUGAAAUUAUUUUUGAAGUCAAUGAUUAAUGAUUAAUCCCACACGAUUCUUUUAAAUGCAAUUUGGGAAUCUGGAGCAUUAGUCUUAUUCUCCACUGAGAAUUUGAAAGUGCCCUUUUCUUCUUUCAGUUUUUCACCAAUCAGGUGGGCCGGUUUCUUCCAUUUUAAGUUUUUUAAUUCCGAUAAACUAAUCAUGAAUUGAAUUGAAUGUGAAUUAUGAAGUUAAAUUUUCAAAGAAAACUAGGUCAUAUGAGUUAGAUGUCAGCUUCUAGUGUGGGUAGGCUACAACGGCUUGUCCUGUUUGUAUUUUUUUUUCUUUAUUUAUAUAUUCUAUGAAGAGACGGGUCAAGAUCCUAUCAACACGCUUGAAGAAAUGGGCAGGACCUUGGGCACUUAGAAGUUAGAAGUCCGUGUGUGGUUAAGAAUGUCGAUGUCGUGGGGAAAAUCUUUCGCUGUUGAAUCAUUGAUUGCUACCGGGUUCCAUACACUACUAAAAGAAUGACUGGCAAGAUAAGUAUGUUGCAUCUUUAUAUUCUCUGAUUAUAUAUAUAUCUCUAAAUUAUAUUAGUUUUAUAGAUAAAGGAGAUAUAUAUAAGCUUAAUUUUAAUCUUAUUCGUUCUAACUAAUUAAUAGUAUUAUAGUGUAAUUUUAAUAAAAUAUUGUAAUUUAAUUAGAUAAUAAUAUUGUAUAAUAAUUUUAAUAUAAAUAUUUUAUGUAUUUAUCUUAACAUGUCAUGUGAUAAGAUAAAUUUCCAAAACCGCAAAAUUAACAAAGAAACAUGUGAGGGAUGCAAGAUUAGAUGUUCUCUUUUGAUUGGGCCAGCGGAUAUAGAAAGUUUUAAUAUGCUUGUAAUAGCGUUUUCCAGAUCAAUUCAUUUGCUUAAUCAGUUAAAACAAUGGCGCCAUUGUCGUACAAGCUUGGAAGAACCUAAGCAUCGGAAACUCGCAAGUAAAGCAAAGUCAGUCAAGUUUUUACCAAAUGAAAGAAAUCUGGGGUGUUUACACACUGUAAUCUCCUCGCAAGGAAUUUCAUUUUUGAUUCAAGCCCCUUUAACUUUGUGGAGUCAGGUGAACUUUACACUUUUUUGCUUUUCGGGCUAAGCAUUUAGUCCUAGUCAUAGACGCCCCAAUCACGAGAUCGUGGAAAACACGGUGAAGUUUUCAAUUCAUUGCUAGAGAAUUCCAGACCAGCGGCUGUACGGUAGACUGGAGUCAGUUACUGCGAAAAUUGUUUUUCCUCAAAGGUCGUAUAAUGGGUCAAGAAAACCUGCAUUUGUAAGCUUGUACGCAACAUUUGCACCAGUCCAUUAAGAAAAUUUAGACUUUAUUUUAUUUAUGCUUUUACUACUUGAUUUUCGUUUUUCAUUAUUUAUAAUUUUUAUAAAAGAAUAAUAAAAACAUUAAUACCCAAAAGUAAAAGGUUGAAGUAAACACCAAAAAUUUUGGCUUAAUUUAAUUCUUUCAUUAUCCCAAAGACCAAAGGUCAUCAUUUACACAGUUUACACCCUUUCUGUCAUCCUCCAAAACAAAAAGGCCUAGGUCUUCUGCCCAUCAACAUCUCAUCAUCAUCAUUCCAUAUUGCAAUGCAAAAACCAACACCUGGGCGGUUUUCUAUUCAGAAUCGGAUUCCAUAUUACCCAUUGCCUUCAAACCUCUUGGUCUCUGCGCAAGGAUUCACAUUAAAACGAUUUCAGCUUCGAAUAUAUAUUAGUUCUAUCUAGGAAUGAGAGAAAAAUCAAGAAAACAGAUGAAUGAUUUGAUACUGUAUUGGGACGGGUACCUUCUUUGAGAUCUUCUUCUCCCUGACCUCAUAUCGCUCAAGGGUUAAAUCGCAUAGCCAUGCCCCCGGGCUCACCAGCUGUACAACAAAUUUCCCGAAUUAGCUUUUGUUAAUCCUCCGAUUCACAAAGCUUCCAAACGUUGAAAUAAAUAGCGUAAGCAACAACCAGGAAAACAAAAGAAAAGAAUAAUAAUCAUUAUCACUUUUGUGUCGUUUUGGGAAGAGAAUCAUCCCAACCACCGCCUCAACAGUUGCAUUUAUUAUUCAAAAGUAACCCUACAAUCACAGCAUAUUUGCAGAAAUGCCCCCCCGACAAUGAUGGGUCGGGCCGAGCCACAUGCUCUCUGUCCUUUUUUUUGUCGGUUGCUCUUCAUUUACAAAACCAUUUCAUCAAGAAACUAUUUUUUGAAUCACACGUGUACGGCGGUGGGACCCACUCAUUUUGUCUCUGCGAAGACAUUCGACAUUCGGCCGCCCACUUUUUGGGAAAAUAUUUCCCCUUUAAUGAAGUGAAUAAAUUCCUAUAGUAGAUGAAAAUAAAAAAUCUUAAAUAAUACUUAGUAAUAAUUCACAAGUUUUUCAGAGCGAAUGGAAGAUAACAAAAAGCAAUAAAAAGCUGUCCACUUGAAAUAUUUAAUGGGAGGACAUUAAAUUCCCUAGAGUUGUACUUAUUUUAAAGCCUUUUCUCGGGAAAAGAAGAAUAAAAACAAUUAAAUAAUGUAUGAAAAAGAAUGUAGUUUAUUUCUUUUAUUAGUUAUUAUUUUAUAUGCCAAACUAUAUAUAUAUAUAUAUUCUAGAUGGUCGGCUGGCAUUACGCAUUACAGCGUAGCAAUAGCAGUACACAGACAAGGCAUAACGCACAACAUUAUCUAAACAAAUUAAAUUUGGAACUGGCUCACAGCCUCACAGUCACAGGCUUUCCAGUGGGCCGCUAACAAAUUUAGGUACUUUUAUUGGCUGCUCCUCCACAAUUUGGCUGACACGUCGACUUUUACGUAUCACUUACUAUCGCUUUGCCCGCUUCCCUUGGCCUAUUCUACUUUUUUACCUUUGUUCUUUUGAGUAGCAAAGUGGGCAUAAAAUAGAAAAAGCAAACCAAAAUCAUUAUUUCACGUAACUCACAAGUACUCUCCUGCUCUAAAAUGUUGUACCUCAUCUAUUAAUUUCCUAUACAAAUGGUAGUAAAUUAAUUUCGCUUUCAAAUCAAAGUCUGCUAUAGUGAGUAAAAUUUAAUUCGUCCCCAAUUUUAAAAUUUCGAAAUUACGUGCAAACGAAAACGAUAUUCAAAUGAAAUGAGGAAUCACUCAAGGAAAAAGUAAUGGGGAUGCUUACAUUGAGGGUACGUUGGAUAAACUUGGCUCGUUUUUUGGGUCUUUGUGGUAGCUUAGAUCCUUUAAUGGCCAGGAAAUCCUCUUCUUUCUCUUUAUUCGUUAAAGCAAUCACGAAUUUCGGUGGCCAAACGGGUGGAACUGCCUCACCGCUCCCGGAAGACGAGCCUCCCUUUUUGCUAUCGUGAGCCGUCUCCGAAGAUGCCGCUGAUUUGUUGUUGUGCUGGUGGUUGUUAUCAUUGUUGCUGUAGUGGUUGUUAUUGUUAUGGUUACCACCUCUCUUAUCGCGCGCACCCCUGUCCGGCGAAGCGAAUCCCCUUACACCACCGUUGCUUUGGCCUCUCAUAGCACUGGGAUUCUCAGAGUUCCUGAAAGAUUUCCAAAGAAAAAACAAAUUCGCAUCGCAAUAAUAAGAAUACCAGGGACAAAUAUCUUGAAAAGAAUAUGGUAAAAUAAUUAAAAUAAUUGGAGAAAGUAUCAAGUGGUGUGAGUUUUGGAAAAGUAAAAAAAAGGGUAAGUGGUAAACGUAGAAUUACCAAAAUAACCUUAAAAUGAUCUAGAACAGUGGGUGAAAGAGAGUGGAUAGAAUCUGGACAAGUUUUGCGUAGAAAAUGGGGGAUGGAUUUGUUUUUGGCUUCCUUAGGGGAGGGUUGGACUUUGGGGUUGGCUUUUAAAUAGGGAGUGGAUAAUUUCUUCCUUUCUUUCUUUUGAUGAAGAGCUUUAGAUAUUUGAGAAGAGAGGAAAGAGUGAUUCUAUCUCUAUCCAAGGUGCACAGCUGGUUUUUUCAGACGGUUUAAGGCCGUCGGAUUUUUAAGGCUUUCGCCUUUCUGGUGGAUUAAGGUAACGUGUUGAAACAUGGCUUGGUUUUGGGGGAUAACAGUGGACCAGAUUCCUAAAUCCAAUUUUCUGAUCGGACGGCUGACCAGGGCUGAGAUCAAAAUAGACUUUUCGUGGACACGUGGUGAGGUAACUGUCCAUUCCAUGUUUCCAACGGAGUCCAUGGGGUUAGGGCUAAUGCGCUAGGCAUUCCGGAUCAGAGCACCUGGGUCUAGGAUCAGGUGUGGUAAGGUGCAGUGUACCGUACAUAUAAAAUAUCUAAAACAGGUGCAAUUCCAUUAAAAACAAUACUAUUAUUAACAUAAAAGAAAGUAAUAAUAGCAAAUAUUAAUAGCCUGUUGCAAUUGCAAUCAGAUACCAUCAACAUACUAGUAACAGCAAUUAUCAAAUAAAAACAAAAGAUCAAACACUGAUUCUGACUAGGACAAGAGAUGAAAGAAAAUCUCAGCAAGCUUACAUGAUAAAAAUGAUUUAAUAUAGUAUAUUGAAUUGAAACUUGUUUCCAGCGAAGAUGGAGGGUUAUGUCAAGGAAGAGAGCUAAUUUGUUAUUUAGGCCAAAAAAGGAAUGCAAUCAAAUAGGAAAAAAUCCCUAAAAAGGUGGUCUCAAUAUAUCAUUCAUCUUCGCAAGAAAAGAAUCACUGCUAAGAAUAAUUUUCCCAAUUAUGUGGUUAUUGAAACACGUAACCAGCACAAAAUGAAGUAAAUACUUCACAAGAAAAGAACUUAAUAUAUCGAUUCAACCAGAACCUCCUUGACGCACGAGAUUUUUUUUAGACUAUAUUGAUCAUGCUAAAUAUAAACAUUAGAUAUGCAAAUUGUGCAAGUCAUUAGGAUUCCUCAUGUAAAAGCAAAAACUUGCUCUUAUGUCUAUUUAAAGAAAAUAAUCACUGAAUUAGCAUGAACAACCUGCUUUCACUCAGAGGUAAGACCCUAACAAAGAAGGCGCCUUGAUAAACUCACCAAGAGUUUCUCCUGAACCAUACACUGGCGCCCACCUGACCAAUUGGAGAGUGCACAAAUAUAAGCCUCAUAAAAAUAAAUUCAGCCUUGAUGCAUCAUAACAUUUUGAAAAAGCUAAAAACUCUUCUGACGGUUCCGGAUCCGACAAACCUUUACAACACUAAACAUAGCAAAUUCGAGGCUGAAAUGUUAUUUAUUUAUAUAUGAGACCCAUACAAUGCCAUCACCAACUAGUCAAAAGGCCCAUAUGGAAAUACCCAUCCAACUUUGUGUAGGUUAUAGGAGUGUCAAUGGCGCCAGCUGUGCAGCUUAUCCAUUCCUGGAACAGCCUUUCCACUACCAGAAGAAAAAAAAAAAAAAAAGAAAAAGGACGAUUGUCAAUCAAACAGGUCAAUUAUCAUAUUAUCACCAGAGCACUUGUGCCUCACAAAAUUUGAGGAUCUUUCUGCCAUGACUGCGAAGGCUUUCCUCUAGACCAAGUAGAUGCCAAAUUCUAUUGCCCCUAAAAGUAAAACUAUGAAAACGAGAAAAAAAAUCAUGCAAAAUCAAAAUAUGAAUUGAAACAACACAAAUUUUCUUCAGAAAAUGAUUACCAAUACUUUCAUCACAGCAUGCAAUAACUACAUUAAUUUUUCUUUUUCUUUUCACUUUCCAUUAUAUGUGAAAACCAUAAAUUUUAUGACCCUGUUCGACUGGGAAAAUAAUGACCUCAGAAAACUAAACUCAUUAAACGUCAUGUAUGGAAUAGUCAAAUCGGCUAAUCCAGCGGUAAUCUCUGCUAUUUUUAGAGGAGAAAAAUAAAAGAAAAGGUACGAGUAUUUCAGACUUAUAAGGAAGUGGGACCCAGAAAUGACGGAUCUAAGUUUCAUAAUCAUUUUACUCGUGCUCAACACCCAGACGAAAGGCAAAUAAAAAAACUUGUGGAGUACUAAAUGAGUUGAUAUACACUAUACAGUACCUGAGAACGCGCUGAGGUGGCGGAGCUUGAGGAGAAGGAGGCCUUUGACGGAGGUUAAAACAUCCAUUCCCGUGAUUAUUAUUGCUUGGCUGACUGGAAGAGUCUUUAUCGGCCCUCACGACCCGGCGAUCAACUCGAACCGUGGUUCGAUGAACCGGGCCGGACUGAUCGUCUUUGACCUGGAUCUUCAUACACCUGAGGCGCUUCCGGUUUCCCCACUGCAAAACAAAAUCAGACGACGACGGCGUUUGCUUCGCCGGAUCUGAGCUGGAUCUUAACAAUCCCCCGUCGCUUCCGGUUCUGUCUCUGCAGUGGUUGGUGUUAUUACCAUUGUUGUUGGUCCUUAAUGAGUCCUUUUCCAUCCUUCUUUGCACACCUGUCCCAUCAUGAGAGUAAAAAAUUGAAAAUUAAAAAUACGAUUCGGGUUAAGCUUUCAAUUAGUAGUGGGUUCAACUUCAGAAUUAAAGUGGGAGCGCCGAAAGGAUAAGAAAAGGAGGAGAUUAGGAGGUUUUAGAUGUGGCUUCGCCUUCUCUUAAAACGUCCACGCAAUUUCAAACAAAAGUUGUCUCACUCAGCUUUAUCAUCAUGUCCAUCGGACGGUUAGGAAUUUCCGCCGAAACUUUGAAAAGAAAAAAAUAAAAAUCCGAGGGAAAGAAGGCGGCCUAAGCGUGAAGAAAAGUUGAAGAUGGGAAGAAAAAGGCAAGCAUCGAACGGUCUUUGCAUCUUCGAGUAAAGAAAAAGGAUUAACGGAAUGUCAGCACUGAAAUUGAGCGAUUUUUAUAAGAUAAUCAAAUGGAUUAACGAGAGAAAACAGAGAUGAUGAGAAUUUUAGGUGGGAUUGAGAAAAUUCAGACAAGAAUAGCCGCACUAAUUUGAAAAAUAGUUAAGUCAGAAAAGGAACACAGUUGAAACUUGAAAAGAAACAGAGAAUGGGAAGAUGUCUUUGGUCUUAGUUUAAAAUGUAAGGAACAGGGACAAUGAUAGAUUCGAAAACACAGAGAGAGAUAACUAAUCACUCCAUUACAAGUUUCGAGGUUUUUUUUCUCUUGGUUUCCCGGUAACCAAACGGAAGUCAUUGGGUAAGCAGGAACGGGAAGAUAAGGAAAAAAAAAAGACAGACAUGGAAAGAAACUUCAACAAAAUCCGGAAAAACAUCACAGAAAAAGAUGAAAAACGUUUCUCAGCGGGGAUUUAAGGAAGCGAAAAUUAAAGACAGAGACAGAAUAAAGCGAAAUCAAAACCAAGAUGCAAUCGGGAGGAAAAAUCUUCGCGGAAAAGGUCAAGUUCUUCCUUAAACUGUUCGAGAAAAGCCAUUGAAUGAAGGAUUAGAAAGAAACUUGUGACUAAAAUCCUGAGAGAAAAAAAAAAACACUACCAAAAUGAAAUAAAAAUAUGAAAAUACGGACUCCUAAUGCUCUCCAGAGAGAUUGAGUGAAAGUCGCUUGCGAAAGAAAAUCAACAUUCUCGAAAAAAUGCGACUCUGUUAAAGAAAUCUUUUGUUCUCAAUCAAAUCCAAACUAGAGAAAACCGAUUACUAAAACACUGAGCGUGGUCCAAAAAAUCAAAAGAAAGAACAAGACGAUGGGGAGAAGAAAAAUAUAACACUGUUUUAACAAAAAGCUUGGUGUAUCAAUGGCGAGUCAAAAUCUUUAGGCAGAUUUAAAAUCAGUACUCAGAUAGUCAGAUUUCUGAUCUUAUCGUGAGAUAAUGGCUCUCAUACCUGAAUUACUCAGGCUCUGCCUUUCCAACUAAUUCACCAAAAGCUUUGCUUCUUUUAGUCCUUUUGGUAGAAACACAAAUCUACUUUGGAUUUUCAACGAAAUAUUGACAUUUGAAGCCUGUUCUUUCGACUCUCAUGUGAUGUAAGAUUCUAAUCUUUUGAUAUGUCAGCAAUUGAUCUGCCCAUUUGCAGAUAUAUUCAGUCCAAAUUUCUUCAGAAAGCAGCUCCGGUCUCUUUGGAAUGUAUCUGUCAAACCAAAAAUUCCAACAGAAACAAAAUCAUUUCCAAAGAACGAAUCAAACACAGUCGUUGUUGCAAAUCUCCAGAACUUGUACUUCGUAUACCUUUUCUUCUUACAGAUUCUCAAAUUUCCAACAGAACAUAAGCAAUCUUCACGAUCAGGUAAUAGAACCAGCAAAAAAACUUUCCUCCAAUCUCUCCAAAUGUAUCUGCAGAAACCAGGAAAAAAAAUGGAGCAUGAAUAAUUAACAGUUUCCUAUUGAAAAUAGACAAAGAAAAAUCAUCAUAGUAAAUGAAAAUAUAAUCAAUCUCUGCUCUCAAUAACACACCUAACAAUUCUCAGAUUCUUCUCUCUCUCUGUCUCCCUCGCUUGGUUUAGAAUUUAGAUCCUCAACGUUUAUUUAUCAAAUUAUCAUCAGUUUUAGUUUUUCCUCGGGAAUUCUCUGUUAGGUUCUCGAGAAAGAAGAAGAAAGAAGAAGCAAAUUAGCAGAGAACAAGAAGAAAAUGAAAAACAAAGAAAGAGUAACAGGGAGGCUGUUUCUUCUUCUGAUAAAACGAAAUGCUCUCUCUCCCUUUCAAAACCAAUUUUUAUACCUCCUCUCACCCUCCGUUACACAACAAAGGUUAAGCACCGAGAAUUAUUGACCGUUGGUCAUUAAUCCAACGUCUCCUAUCGCCUUCUCUUUCGACCGUCAACUCCGUCUAUGUGCACUCCCCGUUACGGGAUUUUCAUGUGCCUGACCACCGUUAUUUUAACUAACGGCGUUAAUAGAUCUAGCGGAAUCUACAAACGACGCUGAAAUAAAAAAUAAAAAAAGCUAUUCUAAAAUUAAAAAAUAUUGUGUAUAUUUUUAUUAUUCAUAUUUUAUUAAUUUUGUUUUGUUUUAAUUUUUCUCGCCCACGGGGUGAGGUGGUGCUGAGCGCAACAAGUUAACUAUUGUUGGUUUGUAACUCUGGUGAACUAACCAUGGUUAAUUUCAACUGGUUUCCCGAAUCUCAUAUUGGAGGACAUUUUGGUAAUUCUCGGCUGACUUUGGAUUAAAGGGUAAUUGGCCUUUUCCAACGUCAGUUGUCAUUAUAUAUAUACUAGGAUGGUGCCCUAGUUAUACUACGAAAAAUAUUACAAAAAAUAUUGAUUAUAUUAGAGUUGAUUUUAAUUUGACACUUUUAAAAGAGUUUGUAGAGAAAACAAUAUUGUAUUAGUUAAUUGUAUGAAUGUCUGAUUUUUACUGAUAAAGAAAAAAAUAAACUGAUAUUAAUUGAAAAUAAUUAUUUGUUCUGGUUUCAAUUAUCGAAAACUUGUACCUACAUAUAUGAUUAUAAAACAAUAGAAUAUUAAGAAAUGAGAGAGUAUAUAACAUGUAUUAUUGACAGAUUAAGAUAAACAAUUGUAUAAUAUAAGGCAACCAUAUAAUAUAAAGAUCCUAUCAAUAUAAAAUAGUUACUAAUUUAUAAUAAUAUAUAUUUUAUAUAUAAAUGAAUGGCUAAAUAUUGUCAAAUUUAAUUGAUUUAUUUAUUCAAUGACGACUAUGUACUAUGUAUAUUAAGAAAUGAAUAAACCUUUUUAAUUUUUUUAUUUUGUUCAAUGAAUUUGAUAAAUGUUUAUUAGAAUUUAAACAUUCAUAUACAAAAAAUGUCUAUAUACUAUAAAUUUAGGUUGAUGCAGAAUAAGAAAAUAUAGAUAAAAAAUAAUAUUAAAUUGUAAUUGAUAAAUAUUAAAUGAAUCUAUCUUAUAAACAUUAAAAGUUGAAAAUUAUUAUUUUUAAAUAUUUUUUACUAAAAUAAAUAAAAGUAAAAAAAAAACCCUUCAAAUGUCAAAAACAUUGUAGUUUUAACAUAAGGUGUAAAAAAAAUUAAUUUAAUUAUGAAUGACAAAUGUCAAUUAAUUGAUCCAAUCAAUUAUCCUACUUUUAUAUAAUAAAUUGGAUGANAAUGAUGACUAUGUGCUAUUUAUAUUAAGAAAUGAAUAAACCUUCUUGACUUUUUUAUUUUGUUUAAUGAAUUGGAUGAAUAUUUAUUAAAAAUUAAACAUUUAAGUGUAAAAGAUAUAUUUAUAUACUAUAGAUUCAAGUUCAUGUAGAAUAAGAGGAUAUAAACAUAAAAUAAUAUUAAAUUAUAAUUUAUAAACAUUAAAUGAAUCUGUCUUCUAAGCAUUAAGAAAUUAUUAUUUUUUAAGUUUUUUUUAUUAAAAUAAAUAAAAGUAAAAAAGAAAAAAAAUCCUUCAAAUGUCAAAAACAACUUCUUUUUGACAUAAGGUGUAAAAAAAAUUAAUUCAAUAGAAAACGAAAGAUCAAAAAAAUAAAAAGGAAUUAUAAUUGAAUGACACUUGUCAUUCAAUUGAAGACUCAAUUGAAAAAAAUUGAAACAUCUUACUUUUAUAUAUAUUAUAGAUAUACACAGAGAGUAAAGUUUAUCAAAAUGUCUUGAGAAAGUUCAAGGAAAUUAAAUCCUCUGUUCCAAAAACAUAAAUUUUGUUUUAGUAUUUUUAAAUUAUUUUUUCAUUUUUUUGACAUUGAUAACAUUUAAUUUAUAGUUUUUUCAUUAAUUCUCAUAACAUUCAAAACAAAAAAAUAGUAUGAUAAAGAAAUGUUUAAAUGUCGAAUUAUAAGUGCAUAAACAAAAAUUAAAAUAUGAUUAUAAUAUUUGAUUCAUUAGUUGGUGUAUAAUUUUCUGUUUAAACAAUAUUUAAAAUUUUUUAAUUAAAAAACUUAAGAAUAUUAUUUUAAAAUUUUAAUCAAAUAACACAUUUUUUGUAAGUUUUUUGGAAAAAAAUCGCUUGACCAAUGUUAAUAACCACUGUUAGCAUUUUAAACAUGUGGAAUCACAGGACAAGAGUCUUAAAUAUAUACAUAAAUAAACAGUACUUUUUUCAUUGAUGUAAAAUGAUGAUGUGAAGCAAGACAUACCUUGCAAUGCCAUGCUACGUCACUCAUCAACAAAUACAAGUAGCCAUAUAUAUUCCAUCUUCUUCUAUCGAAUUUCACUUUUUGUUGAAACAGCCAUUAAUAAUUUGAUAAUUGAAGUUGUUGACAAUGUUCCUAAUUUCAUAUGUAUAUCGUCAAUGCAAAAUUUAAAAUAUAAGCCUCUCAACAAUAUGAGUAAAGACAUUAUAGAGAAAAUUGUAAGAAAUGACCUUCAUAGAAAGGUAACUUAAAAAAUGAUCAUCUCUAUAAUUUAAACUGUAUUUAACCAGUUUUUUGUAUUACUUAACAAUAAUACUCUUUAAAUAAUUUCAGACAAAUUAAAAUGGUUUCAAUUUUCUCUCUCCUGCCAUCCAAAUAAAAAUUUUAAAAUUAAAUAUCGAUUUCUCUUUUUGCUAAAAUAUGUUUAUUUCAUCAUUCAAUUCGCAGAUAUAACAUCAAACUCUUUCUUAUUUUGUUUUAUUUUUUUAGAUGGUGGAUCUUGGGGUUCUUAAGGGCGAUGAACAACGAUUUUGCUUUUUGCAAGUAGCGAUUUUGCUCAGGGAAAAAAAACAGUUAAAGUAUGUUUGAUGGGUUUUAUGGUGAUUCACGGUUUUGUUGUGUCUGAGAUUGGGAUGAUUGUUAAGCAUGUUUGUUAGGAAUUUUGAUUUUUUUUAUAAGAUUUUGAGUUGAAAUUGUUCAAAGAAUAUUUUGUAAAUAGGGUAUAUUUUAUUUUUGUAUAAGGGGAGUGAGCAAGAGCUUUCGAUAAGGAUAUAUUUUCUCUUGCUUUGGAGGUUAUGGAGUUUUGUAGCCUAUCUUUUAUGAAAUGCACAAUUUCGUGGCUUAGCAAAAAAAAAUAUGUGUUUUAGGUUAUUGAGUUUGUUGGUUUAUUUAUAGAACCCCAAAAUUGAGUUUACUGGUUUUUAGGUAUUGCGUGACUUAAUUAUCGUGUGACUAGUUUUUAGUCAUUACGUGAUUAAUUUUAGGCAUUACGUGACUAGUUUUUAUACAUUGCAUGACUGAUUUUUAAGCAAUGCAUAAGUCAUACAAUGCCUUACGAACUAGUCACGCAAUGCCUUACUAAAAAGUCACGCAAUACUUUACUAACAAGUCACGUAAUGCCUACUAACUAGUCACGCAAUGCCUACUAACUAGUCACGCAAUGCCUUAUCAGAAACUAGUCAUGGAAUGCCUUAUCAAAAACUAGUCAUGCAAUGCCCAAAGUCAGUCACGCAAUGUCUAUUAACUAGUCACGCAAUAACUUAUCAGAAACUAGUUAUGCAAUGUCUUAUCAAAAAUCAGUCACGUAAUGCUCAAAGUCAGUCACGCAAUACUUAAAAACUAGUCACAUAAUUCAUAAAAAUUAUAAAAACUAUGGAAUUCUAUUUAAUAAGAUCAAUAACUUCAAACGAUACACCAUAUUCUAUUUAAAAAUAUAAUAAACAAAUAUGAAUGCUCAAAAUGUUCGAAAGUUUUUUUUAUAUAUAAAAAAUCACUCUAAAAUGUUUAAAAAUGCUCACAAGUUUUUUUCGUGUAUUAAUAAUUACUAAAAAAUGUUCAAAAUACUUAAACGUUUUUUUUUCUGGUAAGAAAUACUCAAGAGAUAAAUAGUCUGUUGAGAAAAGCUAAAAAAAUGAGUUAGUUUGAGGCGUAAACCUAAACAUACUUGACCUGUUAAUAGAUUUCGGGUUGAGGCGCGGAACCUAGUUAAUGAGUCAGUUUCAUUAAAGAUAAUUUUGUUUAAUUUUUUUUUCUUGGCUAAAAAUAAAUAAAAUUAUAAGGAAAAUUAUUCUUAAAAACGCCUUAUACUUCAGGCCCAUUUAUAAAAAACACUUGAAAUUAUAUGUAUGCAUUUUAAUAUGGAAUUGAAGCAAUUUAUGUAUUUCGAAUUUUAUGUAAAGAAAUAAAUACGAAAGAAUAAAAAUUAAGAGAAAGUUGGUCAAAUUUUAUGUGGACUUUGCAUAAGGACAAAGAAAAACUACUUUAUAGAUGUUGCUUGGAUAAACUUGAAUAGAAAGAAAGAAAAAAUCAUUGAGCUUCCUAUUAAUGCAAGUGGCAAAAAAAUACUUGACAAACUUAACUUUAAUACAUAUCAUUGGCUUUAACGAGACCAAAUUAAAAUAAGAUUGAAUCAGAUAGAUGCCUUUAGGAAAAGCUAUUUAUGGCUGUAUUUGUUCGUUUUGGGAUUUCGUAAGUCAUGUGAUCGACCAAUAUGUAUAACAUAAAAUGUCCUUUCCUAAGGAAAUUCUAAUGCUCGGAGUCCAUCGGGGGCACAAGCGGCAAUGUAGAAUCUUUUGAACAUGCAAGUCUAUGAAAAGUAUUCUCAUAAUUAACCAAGAUAGCAAAUUAAAUUUAUUUAAUUUUCUUAUUAUUAAUAUAAAAAGUUGACAAGAAAGACGGGAAUGUUUUGUAAAAACACAAAAUGUUUUUAUUUAUUUAUUCUUUAUGUAAUAUUUAUAAAAUAUCGUUAAACAAUUUUUUGCAAAACAAAAUCUUUAAUCUAUUCCAAACAAUUGAAUUACAAAAUAAUAUGGCAUGCAAUAAUGCAUUAAUCAAAAUAAAAAUAUACCACGUGCUUAAUUUUUUUUUUUUUUUUGAAGAAUUACUAAUUGUCAAAGAUGUGAAAAAUAAAAAAUUGGCUCCACACUCCAAAGCUAAUAGCCGUGUUUAGACAGAUUAGGGUCCGGACCCCAGAGCAGCAGAGCUCGCCAUUCGCGCCAGUCCUGGCAAAAGCCCUGAGUGUUGAUUAAGACAGAAAUACCCAUCACAUUUAGGAGGGUUGGGUAUUGGACGUGGAGGCUUGUUUUUUGUCCACAAUCCAGAUAAAAUUAUUUUUUUUCCUUUCCUUUUUUUUUGUUACUUUUAAUAGAGAGAGCAAUUGCCUCUUGUCCCUUUCCCUAUCCCGUCCAAAGUCGGUUGCACGAAAAGAACAAGGCGAAGGAAAUUCCCGAUUCUCUAAAAUAGAAACAAGCAGGCAAGUUGCGUUUUAUUUUCUUGAAAAAAAUCUCAGUCUCCUGAAUUUCUAUGAAGCCAAAUGUGAAUUUUCAGUUCUUAGUGAUACGGUAAUUUUAUUUUAUCUUCAUCUCUGUUUUUAUUUAUUUUUUUUGAAAAAUACUGUUUUUUAUAUAUAAAACUGUAGCACUGUUGGUUUUUUUUCCCUUGAAGUUGGUGAAUUUCGAUCUGUUUGAUUCGACAGUGUGGACCAGCGAGCAAGCAAGAGAUGGAUAACGGAAUAGGAUUACAAACCCCACAAGCGUCCGGGACAAGUGGGUACAUCCAGACCAACAAGUUCUCUGUCUAGCCAAAGCCGGCCCGGAUGGCUGAAAAUGCCAGCCGAUUGGGGGCGGAUCAGUGUACAAUCAGCUGGAAGCCCGAUAAGGAUUUGCUUGAGCAUGAUCGCGAACGUUGGAUUGAGGUGAAGCUCGUGAUGCUUGAAGACGAGCUUGUUGAUCAAGCUUACCCUAGCUGUGAAGUUGGAGGAGGCCAGGAAGGCUUUGGAAGCCAAGGAAAAUGGCGAAUAGGAAGUUUUGAACAACAGGCUUCAGUAGCUUACUCGGGGUUUUUAGAUGUAGAGAUGACUGAUAAGAGAAAAGAAAACUGAUAGAAGCAUUUAGAUGUAUGUAAUCGGAGUAAUGGCUUUGACCUUCGUGAACAAAGUGCUCUAGCUAGAGAGGAAUGAAAGAAAUGGAAAAUAAAAAUGGUCAUAUAUAGUCUCGUAGACCUAGUGUUUGGUUUAAUUUUUUUUAAUUAAUUUAUUUUUUUUAAGUAAAAGUUAAAUUAAAUAUGAUAUUUUAAAUUUUUUUUUAAAAAAGUAAAAUUUUUUAAAAAUAAAAUUAAAAAAAGCUUAAAAGAAGAGUUUUUUUUUUAAUAUAAGAAAUUUUUAUUUUUAUUUUAAAAAUAUCUUUAUUUAUUAAAAAUAAUUACAAUAAUAACUUCUAUGAAAAUAAGAGAGAAAAGGAUUUGUCUAGUACAGCUGGAAGUUGAAGAAAUAUAGAAGAAGAGAAAGUAGUGGUAGCAAGUGAAGUAUAACAAUGAUUUCAACACUUCAAGACAUGGGGACUACGGUAAGGGUAUGGAACAGGAGGAAAGGAGCCAAGUCAAGAAGUCUGUCAGAUUAGAUACUGACUGUAAAAUCUGAAAUGGAUGGUAAAUCAUAUAGGAUGAAGAAUGACUGGGGUAAUAGAAUCAUUCUUAACAUUCAGCUGAUGUUACAUCGAGGAUGUUGAAUGUGAAGGCAGAUUUCACACAGAUAAGAAAGUAUGUCUUAGAGACUUUGCAAGUCAUGCAAGCCGUGGAAAGAUGAAGGGAAGCUUUUGAUGCCAGUUUAAUGAGUUAAAUCAUCUUCGCUUCUAUUAACACAUUCGAUCUUGUUUUGUGAUCUGAUGCAAAGUCAUGGAAGCUUGCUUGAACUCUGAAUUAAAUGAUUCCGAAGUCUUUCAUCCUUUGGGCCGCAGACGAAAUGGUCAUUUCGUGCUUUCUUUCUUUUCAUCCACCUUUUCGUUUUGUUUUGCGAGCCGUUUAAAGUGGAACGUAGGUCCUGUCCGUGUUGGUGGUCUUCGUUUUUUUGCCUGGCAUAUUGAAUGGCGGUUGCCAUAAUUUUUUUUUAUUGGUGGGAGAGCCGACCAAUUGUUUACGAGGCAGAUGGCAGAAAAGUUCACAAAUUGGGGGGAAAAAAAAUCAACUGUGUAACAGGGAAUGAAAGUGUCGCUGAAACCCUCUGUGAUGUUGCUCGAGCCCUUUUCUCAACAAAUCUCUGAAUCUCGAGUACAAACGUGGAAUUAGAGUAUUUUUAAGAGAGGUUAAAUAAAAAAAUUAAUAAAUUAAAAAGAAUUUUAUAUAUAAUUUAAUUAUUAUUUAUUUAAAAAAUUAAAUAAAAUUUAAAAAUAUAAAAAAUAUACAUUAAUAAUAAUGAUGAUGUCAUUUAUAUAUAUAUAUAUAUAUGAUUAAAUGAAUUAUAAAAAUAAUUUUUCUCAUUCUUUGAGUACUAGAGUUCAAAAAAAAUACAAAUUUUCAAACUAAAAUGAAUUAUCUUUUUACUUUUUGUGUCUUUAACUCUUUUUUUAUUUUUUAUUUACUUUUUAAAUUAUUAAUUAAUAUAUUAAGUUAUUGAAUUGAACUAUUGAGAUUUAAUACUUAAUGAGUUUGGAUUAGUAGAUUCACUUUUAUUUUUUAAAAUUUGCNAUAUGCUAAUCAUAAUGAUUCUAAUUUUAUCAAACAAUUUGUAGAAUAAAACAAAUAUAAAAAAUUAUUUUGAGAGUUAUUAUAAAUAAAUAUAAUAAAUAAAAUUAUAUUAAAAGAAAUACAAUUAUUUCAUUCUAUCAAUUUAUAUGUAUAUCCUUACUGCUUAAAGUUUGCAACAUACAUAUUAGAAUGCAUUGGUUAUUUUAAAUAAAAAAUAAUAUAUUGAUAAAAUUAUAAAAAAAUAGUGUAACCUUGUAACUUAUAUUUGAGAGUUAUAUAAUAAAUUAUUUAUUUUUAAAGAUUAAAAUUAUAAAAAAUAAAAUUCACUAACAGAAAAACAAAAAAAGUAAAAGAUAAAAUCCAUAUAUGACUUAAUAAAAAAUAAAAAAUAUAUAAUUGAUGGUUUGUAGAAAUUUGUAAAAAGAAAUCUAUAGAUAUUUAGAAUAUAUAAAUAAAUAGAAUAAAAAUAAACUUAAAAAAAAACUUUAAAAUUGAAUCAAAUAUAUAAAAUUAUUUUAUUAUUUAUAUUAAUUAUUAAAUAAUAUAUCAUUUUGAGAAGAUCAUUAAAAAAAUUUAUAUAGUAUGUAAAAAGAUUUUAAAAUUUUAGAGGGCAUGAUCCCGCAAGAAGGCUCCGCCCCUGCUUGAGCAGUGACCCAGUCACCAUUCCAGGUAGUAUUUUUUACGAUGGAUGGUGAUGGCAUCUAUUUUAUUCUCUUUCCAUCUCCUGGGUUCACUCUGUGCGGACGUUUAUGGAAACCUGAUAAUGAAUUACGUUACCGAUUAUGGAUUAAAACUUGGAAAGCAGGACUGAGUACUGACGCAAUCACAAAAUUCACAGUCUGGAUUAUGCAUGUGUCAAUAGAUAUGAUCAUAAGUGAAAGUGAGAUAUGACCCAGCAUUGCUCACCCGUCACCUCUGAAAUCACUUCAGGACAUAAUCUUCAAGCACAACAGGUGCAACAAUUUCGUUGUUCGCGCAUCCCCUGUAUUGCUUACUGGGGUCUACCAUCUACCCCAAAGACUGCUUACUCCCCUCUGGAUGGUGGGUAAUAGCAUAUGCCAAAACGGCAAUUACCAAUUUGCUAUCAGCUAAAGCUUGCAAAAAAGAUGACAGAGACAAAGGUUAUUGCCACCUUUGUCUUGAUCGGAAACCAGUGACAUGGAGAGGGCCCCUUUGAGAUUUUCACCAGUAAGCAGAAGUUAAAACAUUCUAUCCAUUUGUUUCUAAAACUUAGGAACUUUUGUCUUAUCCAUUCAACACAUAUGGGAAAAGAUUCAUACAAUCAGAUACACACACUUACAUCUGAUGCAUAUACUUAAAUUAAGCAGUCUGGUACAGAGUUGCUCCUAAAUAAUUUUUACACACAAGCAAUCACAUUAACUAUCAUAUAAAUGCAGCGUUUGGACAAUCUGUAUGAUAGGAAACCACAUUGUGGAGUACAACAUAAUCCAAGGUUUGGCCUUUAAUAUUGCCUAUUCUGCUGUAUUUAUGCACUGAACCCUUUCUGAACAGAGCUCCAAUGACCAGAAGGAAUGCUGACACAAGCUUGAGCUGAUGCCUCAGCCAUCUGCUCUGUCUGAAUUCCAGCAUUGCAGAUGUUUGCAAGGGAACGCAUGUGUUUCAUCCCAUACUGGGCUAGCGAUCCACAGUGUGUCUCAAAAGUUCUCACCUGUGUAGAUGAACAGAGCAUCUUCUUAAGUAGCAAGACAAAACAAAGCAAUGAAAGAGAGGCCAAGAAUCAAGAGUAUUACCAUUUUCUUAAGGCAUUUCCAGUCAUCAACAAGAGGUUGCCCAGCUGGCCGAACAGUCUUCAUAACUUCUGGGCCUUUUUCAAUUCCAAAUAAGAGCUUGCCAAUGAGUUUCAUACUGUUAUCUAUAUGCAUUCUAUGAGACAUAGCUUCAACAAACUGCUUUUGGGCUUCAAGCUUCCUAACAGAGCCAUCAGGUGCCUUGCGAUACUGCAAAGUAAAUAGGGAGAAAGCUCGAGUGAGAUGGGCUCUAGCACUAGCACGGUGGGUGCUUUCAUACAUAUAUGAAGUGUCACUAUCAAGUAAUUGACAACUUACAUUCAUUUAAAAUAACAGCAUUAUAGAGAAAGAAAAACCUAUAAUUAUUGACACCAAAGCAUCGAUUCCGAAGUCCCUCAUAUACUUUCUACAGUUGCAACCAUCUUGUGUUUUUCUUCAAAGUAUUUACACAAACAUAACUCCAGGCUCCUGCCUUUUUGCACCCCAUAAGAUUUGUAGGAUGUCCAUCUAAAUAUUCAAUCUAAGAAGAAGUCCCGUUCUUUAUACUUUCAGUAUUCCAAUUACUCUACUCAUUGGAUUUCCUCCUCACAGCUUUAGGUAUUACUAGAACAUGGUAAGGAAAUGCUUCCAUAAAACACCAAAUAGCACAAUAUCUUAUUUACAACACCCAUUAAAUGAGUUCAGAUAAUAGUGUCAUCUCCCAAUUACAGAUUGUAUAGUUAGUUAUACCAACGCCCAGGAACAGAUAGCUAACUUUUAACUACCAAAUUAAUGCCCAUUUCUGAAUGUCUCAUAUAUGCACUGAUGCCUCAUUCUAUUAAAAGAAUUGAUGCGAAAAAGCAAAUUCUUGAGUUUAAUAUAUACUGUGUAAUUUAAAAGAAAUAAGACACAAACCUUAUCCCAGAAAUGGACAAGAUCAGCAUCACGCUGGUUGACAGCUUUUGUAGGCGGCUGCAGGGAGUUCUCAUCAACAAAUGUGAAGUUAUCAUUUGCAGGAUUUGUACCCAAGUACACAAAGACAAUGUCCUUGCUAAGCCCUAUAUCACCAUAUUGCAUGACAUGAGAGCCAUAUGCAGAAUUACCAUUUAUCGUCCUCCUUUUCACCUGCAAAAGCCAGCAAAAUGAAAUUGCAUAUCAGAUCUAAACAGCAAACUAGAAGGUUUUUGGAACAUUAUAGUAAUGAAUAAAUGAGCACUUGAAUCUGAUGUCAGAGUAAUUUAGACCAUUGUCUGGAUAUAGUUUCGUACUUCUUAGAUCUCGAUGGUAAUAAAUAACUACUAUAGGCAAAAUGUAAUUGAAGUUUUCCAUUUUUCCCAGAAAGGAAAGGAAAAGGUUCAGGAAAAUAUGCUUUUUAAAAACCUUACCAGUUCAUACUGCUGGUGCAAAGUCUCUGUCUGCAAAUUAUGUAUGUCACUGCUCACAGAAACAUAAUAUUAAAAUUCACAGCAAGAGAGGUAAUUCGACAAAACGAAAAGUUUAUAAGCUGAUUCAGCUUGAAAAAUCUCUUAAAUUAGUCCAGAUCAUUACUAAGAGAAUUAAAAUUGCAUGUGUAUCACCCACAUCACCUCUGAUUUAGUUAUAUGAUUAGCAUGCUUUAAUCCAUACCUAUCCUCCAUCCAAGCAACACUGUACAAGUCUCCCAAGCAGGUUUCAUACUCUGGGGGAGGACUUGGGUACUCUCCAGGACAAUAGGUCCCCCAACUACUCUCUUCUGCGUUUGAUGCUGUGGUCGCAUAGAUAUUCAAACCCUCAGGAAGAAGACCCUCGAAGAUACUUCCUGACUCACAAGCUUCAAGAUAGAAUACCUACAAAGUUACAUGUAAACCAGAAAUUAAAAUGCCACUAAAGAGAUGGAGAACGCAUCCAGAAAUAAAAAGUUAAAACAACAGUUUACCAAGCUUUUAUAGGUCCCUGAAGCAUGCUUUUUCUUGAAAACUUCAAUCAGGUCAUCAGCAUAAAGAUAAGGAAAGGUAGGCAUCCCUGGAUUAACAACAAAUGAAUCAUUAGCAGCUUCAUAAACUAGUAUUAAGUUUCAAGCUGAAACCAUACUAGACUCAACUAUAAGCAAUUAAGUUAAGGUGCAAGGUACUCUGAAAGCCAUAAGACAUAAGUGCUAAUAAGAUACUACUAACCAAGCACUCCAGGACCCCCAUGGUCAGUGUAGUAUAUGAAGAUAUGAUCAUUGGGGCCACUAUCCACAACCUUUCCGCUACCCCCGGUCAGAGCAGUUUUGUUCCCGAGGAUGGCAGCCAAGAGGUUGUUAACCGUAACAUCUUCUCCAGUAUAAUCCUGCACCAAUUAGGGAACGGUGAGAAUCAGAAAUUGUACAAUCAACAAUUUUUCUCUCGAAAACAGUAACCAGGAAAAAAAACGAACAGACCUUUGGAACUCCCUCAUAAACAUCAUCGCCAUGAGGACUGUUAAUGAUGAUUCCAGGCCUGGGGUUUUCUUCAUUGAAAGCAAUGUCAUCAUACAUGAAGACAAUGAUAUUUUCGUCUUUGAGACCACCCUUUUUUAGGAGUUGAUAAGCAUGACAAACAUCAGCCUGAAACAAAUAUAAAUAUCCUUAGCAAAAAGUAAGACCCGUCAAUCGAUUAUCAAUCAACUAAUAAAUUCAGCAUAAAAUCUGAAAAAAAAAACUUAACACUCUUUUGAAGUGAAGUGGACAUUAAAAAAUGAUCACAAAACUUUUAAAAGAUCAUGCCAAACACGAAAUUUAGAAAUUGGGGAAGACUUUAUGACCUGGUGCCUGUAGUUCCAGUAGCCAUUAGAUCCAGCAAUCAGGACCGCCCAUCUCGUGCCCUCGACUUCAUCAUCGUUGCUCCCACGGAAGAACUUAGAAGCUUCCGAUGGUAACCGAAGGACGUCUCCGGUGAUAUCUCUACCGGCAGAGACGAUUCCAGUCAGAGACAAUAGGAGAAGAAUCACACCGGACACGAGACGGGUCAUGAUUUGGCCAACCUUUAAUCAAUUGGAAUUAGGAAAGAAAACUGAUUUUGAUGAUUAUGCAAAAAUUCAAGGCUUUGCAGCUAAGAUAUAAGUAGAAAUUUUGAAUAUAGUGAUUCUAUGUGGAGGGCCCCAGAGAAAUGUAUUUCAUGACCUUUUUUAUUGUAACGUGUGAUUGCAUCUGUGGCCGUCGACGAUGGGACCCGUUUCUAAUCGACGGCUUUGAUGAGAGUGAGGAAAAAAUGGGGUAGGAGAGAAGUUGAAUUUCGUGGGCUCUGUGGGGGCCACGGAGUCGACCAUUUUAUUACGUAAUUGUGUCCUAUUGGCUGGUUAUUCCCGGAGAAAGAAAACUCAAAAACUCCAAUUUUCUUGCCAAAAGGAUUAAGGAUUUUUGUUAAUAAUAGUUGUAAAUUAUAGUUAAUUUAAUUUUUAUAUUUUUUUCAAAUAAUUUUUUAUAAAGAAAAUAAUUAAAUUAUUAUUAAUUAAAAUAUCAUGUAUUAUUUUAUAUUCACAUGAUAUUAAUAUAUAAAAAUGUUAUCAUAUAAAAUUAUAUCAUAUAGUUAUGUUAUCAUAUAAUAUUAUCAUAUCACAUAUUAUUUAUUAUAACAUAUUUAUAUACUAUGUCAAUGUUAUGUGAUUUUGCAAUACAAGUGAUUUUUUAAUUAAUAUCAAUUAAUCAAUUAUUAAUUAUAAUAAUUUAUUUAAUUUAAAAUAAAAAUAUAAUAAUUUGAUUAAAUAUAAUAAAAUAAUACAAAUUUGUUAAAAUAUUUUUGAAUAAUUAAGUGACAUUUUUAUAUAUUAUAUCAAAUAUAUUUGUAUUAAAUAUUAUAAUUUAUAUUAAUAAAAUUAAAUUAUUUUUGUUACUUAAUAUUUAAAUGGUAGUUUUAGGACAAUAGUAAACAAAAUCCAAAUAAUUAGGACUCUUUUUUAGAUUAUUUUAAGUCACUACUUAUUCGGUUCUCCUUUUGCUUAUCCCCAUCGGGGAAUCUCUCCCCCCCUUAUCUUGAAACGAAGGCAUGGACUUGAAUCUUUGGGAAUCAAUUAAUAGUGACAUAAAGUAGGAAUCCGUGCCGUACACUCUUCCUCCACUAGGGUUCAUUUCUCUUGCACAUGGAGGAUUGAUUUAGACAGCCCCCUUGUAUUUAUUAUUGAAUUAUAUCGGUACAAAGCCCAUGCAGAGCUAAUCAGAGUGUUAGUGAUGGAUCGUUUCAUGAAUGAUGAUGGUUAAGUAUACGUUUUAUUUGAGUAAUAUAUAAUUCAAAGCCAAUUACCAACGGCUGUCAUUGUCGCCAAACUUCAUUGCUUUUGUUUUCGAAGCCAUUAUUAUACCUUCUUUUUUUGGGGUGGGGGUGGGAAUGAAAGCCAUUAUCAUACUUUAAUAUCAGACAUGGGUGAAGUUCCAAGUCGGGCCAAGGGGUAGUUUCGUUGAUGAUAAUUCCAAAUCAAGGUUCAUUUUCAUGGCUAGCUAGCACUUGAUUGCACAAAAGGAUCAUGUUAUCCGUUACGGAGUAGCAAUUGGUGUAGUACAGUGUCAGCUUCCAAGGAUUUGCAAUGGGUAUAAAUCGAUAUGAAUUGUACUCGUAAGAUUGAUUCUUAAAGAAAUAAAGAUAAGAAUAACGUGGCCGCGACACGCUUUAUUUUCUAAAGAAAGGAAAAGAAUUUGUUGGGAGUAAAAUAAUGUUUGGAGGGCUACUCCAUCGCUAUUUACGCAAUAACAUAAUGUCAAAUUUGUGGAAAAAUGCGGGUAUUACUAUUAUUUGCAUGAUGCAAGUUCGAUGAGUAAAGAAUUCCUCUCUAUGGUGUCUUGUGUGCACAAUAUUAAUAUAUUAUUAUUGUUAUAAAAUAUAAUUUGAAAAAAUAAUUAUAAGAGAAAAAAUUAAUAAAAUAAAAAAUUUAGAAAUAAAGUGAGGAGUCUAUUUAUAAGUUAAUAACUUUUUAAAUUAAUUCAAUUUAUAUCUAAAUCUAGAUAUAUAUAGUCAAAUUUAAAUAUUUAAAUUGGAUUAUACUUAUUAUGAAAGUUUGAUACUGUUUAACUUUUUUUUUUUAUAAUUAAGAAAGGGAAUUCGAACCUUACUCUUUAAGCAGGAAAAUUAUACACUAACCAGAUAAAUACUCAGGUGCCAUAACUUGAUUUAGACUUAUUGGAUUAUAAGAUAAUGGAUAUUUAUAUAUAUAUAUUUUAUAACAAUUACUCAAUUAUAAAUUAUUUUAAUUUUUUAAAUAAUUUUUUUAAAAUUUAUAAAUAUUUAUUUUAAAAAAGUUUUUAACUUUUAAAUUUAUUAAUUAAAUAAUAUUGACAAAAUAUCAAGUAGGAACUUUAUAAAAAAAAUGGACUUAUAAACAUAGCCCAAGCGUGGCCCAGAGCCUUUUUCUCAUAUUUUAUUCAUUUGGGCUAAAUCGACAUUAUUCCGACAAAAGAAUGGUCCUUAGUUGAACUAAUUACGCUUGCCCGGUUAAUGCCCCCGAAUGACAAAAUCUAUCCAUCCAGCCCAAUAUAACCGCCUCUUGAGCUCUCUCGCCACAGAGCAAAACUCAAACGACCACACCAUCACUGAAAGCUCGCCGACGAGCUUUUGAUUUUACAUUUAAAGGUUUAUGAAGUAAGGUUUUGGGAUUUGUUUCUUUAGAUUUUUUUGAUGGAGGAAGGAGAGAGCAUAUUGGAAGCGAUUUACGAAGAGGACGGUUUAGGGGAUGGCGAAGAUGUUGAGAUGCUUGAUGUAGAAGAAGGAGAGCUCGUGGAUAAUAACUCGGGAAAUUAUCGGGAAAAAGGCGGCGUUGCAGAUGCAAACAUUGAAAGCGAAGGGUCCCAAAGUAAAAACAAAAAGCGCAGAGCAAAUAAGAAGAAGAACAGGAAAAAGAAGGGUGGUUCGGGGCCUAAAGCUUUUGAUAUAAACAGGUAAUAUCUGUGAAGAUUAAUUUUUCAUUGCAUCAAUAAAUAAACUAAAUAAACAGAAUAUAUAUUUGGGUAAGUUUGGUUUUUGAGAAGUUGUUAAAUAUGGGGAUUUGCAGGUUUGUGUUGGAUACUUGUAGACGGUUAAAAGAGAGGAAGUCGUAUAUGGUAUACACUGCUGUGGGAUGUUUGGGGGUUUCUGCAUUAAGUGAUCUUGUUAGAGAGGUAUUUUUGAUUUUAUCCCUUUCAAGCUAUUUAUUUAUUUUAUUUAAUUUUUUGUGUGCUUAAUGUAUAAUUCAAUGUUGGCUUCACCAUAAAUAAAUUGUUUAAUUUAUAAAAAUUACUAGUGAAAAUUUAUAUGUGCUUUGAAGUUCUGAGAUGUUUGAAACUUGUUGAGAUUAUGCUGUUGUUUCUUCAGAAAAUCUGUAUGAAUAAUGAUAGAUAAUUUGGUUAGGCUGUGUUAAUGUUGCCUGUUCUAUAAUGCUCUGACAAGCUUAGUUGAGUUUGGUUCAUGUCACAUUCUCUAGUUGGGAUUAUGGUGCAUUAGUAACUUCUCUUUCAGAAGUUAAUAAGUUUGUGCUUGGUAACAUUUCUGCCUUGCACCUUUUUGAGAGCUCCUCAGCUAAUUUCGGUCUUGCCUGUUGCUGUCAUCUUUGUGGGUACCUCUAAAUUCUGAGUAACCUAAGCUUACCCCUUUUACAUUGGCCUCUAUUUUUUUCCCAAUAAGAUCAGUGCUUUUAAAAAUAAAUCACUGCCAGUAGUGAACGAGAAAAUAUUCAUUUCGUUGUUAAGGAAAGGUGAGAAUGUGGGUUGCACUUCAUUUUGAGUCUGCCUAGGCUGCCGAUGCUUGACUACUCUUUUUAAAAACAAUUCCACGCUUAACAUCUGAUGGUCUACAAUGUUUUCCCUACCAUUGCUGAUUUUUUUUACAGAUGUCAUUUGCUACUUCAAAACCUGUGCUCUGAGCUGAGAUACUUAAUAAGUUCCUUUUGAUAUAGGUUGUUACCAAUUUUUCUUUCUUCGACUUGCACAACUCAGCGUUGAUGUAAAAUAUUUUAUCAAGUAGGUUUUCAGAUAUCAAACAGCCAACUAUAAGAAUGGAUAUGUUCAAAAUAAAAGACAGCCCUUCAUGUCUAAUUAUCCAGAUGGUAGGAUCAUGAGAAAAUAUUGAAGCUUCAUGUCUAAUUCAUUUUUCCAUGCCACAUAAGAAGUGAUAUGUUAAAAGUCUUCGCCUUGGCUAUUAUUGCUUGACCUGUAUACGAGGAAUAAUUGGUAGAAAUUCUUGAGUUGUUCUUCGUUUUGUCCUUUUACAUCUAUGGCAACCCUACGCUUUUUGUUGUAUGUUCAGUAAUUGCUUAAUGUUACAAUGAUGAUUUUUGUAGUUUAAGCUUUGAGCUAACAAUAUUUUCAUAUCUGCUACUGUGCUAUCCACCCCCUUACUUUGUUCCUUUUUUUCCUUCAUUCUUUUUCUUUCCACACCCAAGAUCUUUUGCAUUUCCUUUUCCCUGCUAUUGUUCCUACUGGGAUGUCUAUGAUGAAACAUAAAAUUCUCAGGUGGAUGCAAUUCAAUCUUGUGGAGGUCAGAUGACUGCUGAUGGAAGACGUUGUCGGACAGGUGGUGGGAUAUUAUGGAAUAUCAUAAAAGCACGGGAACCGGCUGCUUAUUGUGAGAUAAUGAAAAAAGCCAAGGACUUUGAGGUUCGUACUUAUGGGCACAUAAAGUGCUAUUCUUUUCCUUUUGGUCAGUUGAAAGUAUACAUGUCUGCAUGAGAACUUUCAAUGAUCACCUAUCAAUUGGAUGUCUAAAUAAUGUUGUUAGGAGCCAGUUGGUUGGUUCUUCGUAAGCUCAGCUUAUAUAGAAUCUAUUUCUUUGAUCAACACUCAAUAGUCUGUGACAGUUUUAUGUGGCUUGGUAGUUUUGCUUAGAAAUCUGAUUGCAGUAGUGAUAAGUUCUUUUUUAUGUGAGAAUUUAGUAUGAUUCAAGCAACUCUUGUAUUUGAUGUAAUAGUCUUUGAACUGGAUUCAUGAUGCCAUUCCAAUGCAAUUCAUAAGCCUCUUGGUUCUUGUAUAAUGUUAUGGCCCAUUCGAUUCUUUUUAUUCUUCAAAUAGUAUUCUAAAAUAUGUGAGUAAUGGUAUUUAUGUUUUUGCAGAAGCAAUUUAAGCAACAAAAUGUCAGCCAAGUACUGGCACAGAACAGAGAGAGCUCUUGUCAAGGAACGGCCUGUACACUCACUAAUGGAACUUCAGCAAGCGUUCCAGAAGAUUCUCAACUAAUACCUCAAAACCUGAAAGAGCAGUUCAGUGCUGAAGGAACACGCAAAUCUGUUCAUGAGAGGAUUAGGGUCCCUGUUUCUUAUGAUGACCUUCUAGGAGAGGAACAAAAAGAAGAGAAAUAUAAUCAUUGAAAAAUUGGAAAUUUUGCAAAUUUUGCUUGGCAUCAAUUUUGCAUGCAUAGAUUUAUUGAUACAAGGGAUUUUAUAUUGUUUGGGAGGCUACAGAUGAGAUCUUUUUCCCCACUUAAUGAGAGAAUUACCCAGUUCAAUAGUUGUUCUUGAAUCAAAAUGCCAUUUUAGAAGUAAAAAUUUACGAUUACUCUUAUUCAAUAUCCUUUUUCUGGGUCAUCUUAUUGGUACUUGUUUCUCAUCUUCUCUUUGCUUCAAAUGGAGGUCGGAUUUAGAUUAUGGGUCCAGUAGAGAGUUCCAUCGGAAGAUAUUGCUUUGAACUUUAAAAUCUGAAACUAACCAAAUACUGGCUGGGAGGGGAUCAGUGGUUUUGAGCGUUGGCUGGUAUAAACAGGAUGUUUGUGUUGACAUUUUCCUAGGUGUUUUACAAGUAAAAGAGGAAAACAUUGAUUGAUGUCACUCUAAGCUUAGAUAGUCUCAUGUUUGUGGUAUGUCUGUCGAUAGUCGCUAAAGCAGUCCAUGUCGCUAUUAGCCAAACCCAAAACAAAACGAUGAGUACUUUGGAUCUUCCAUCAUUGAAGGAAUCUGGUUUUAUCAUUAAAACCUCUUCUCACCUCCAUUCCUGUACCGUACAUGACUUUGAGUCAGCCAUUAGUUUUAGAUCAUUGAUCAAAUAUGAAACUUACUGUUCCAUACAUUUUGUUUUCUUGGCAAAGUAAUGGAUACAACGUGGCUACAAUCGUUAGGACCAAGACCUUAAUCUUAGAAUAGUUAACGGUGGCUAACAAAGUCACAAGAGUAUCUAAAAACUUCUGCGACAAAGGUCAUCACAAAAUUAACAGAGGAGGCCGACCAACUAGUUAAGUCUCCGCAGGCAAGAAACUUGGAUGUUGCUUCUUUUGGAGGAAGAGGCAAACCACGGUACAGUCAUCUACUUUUGAAGAUGGAAACUUCUUCUUCCAUGAGGCGGUAGCUGCCUCCACCACUGCUCUUGCGGCUGCCUGCUCACUCUCUGCCUCCAUCACUAUGGAGGCAACUUGGCUGUUGUUUAGCACAUCCCAUACCUAAAGAAAACAGGCCAAAAACAAAUGUUCAGGUUCAUUCUUAUAGUGGAAACUUUCUACAAAGCAUUAUUAUUUCAGUGAAAUGGGCUGUACCCCAUCUGUUGCAAGAACAAUGAAUUGAUCGUUUGGAGUAAGGUGGUGAUAGAAGACGUCAGGGAUUGCGAUUAUUCCAUGGUUCUUGAGUAGGAAGUCUCCAAAAGCUCGAGACAUGGCCAGGCCUGGAGAAUCUUCAUGGGGCAGCCACACACGCUGGAUAUGCGAUUCUUCCUUUAAAGCAAGUACCCUUCCAUUGCAACUCCUGAUUCGUUCGGCUUCACCUGUAUCAAAAUAAUUGAUCAACCACUACAAACAAAAAGGAUGGCUUGAAGAAAAAAAUAAUACACCUAUAGUAUAUGCUCUUCAGUCCUGCUAGGAAAACUUUAUUUUGACGGUCUGUCCUUCGGAAUGACUUGUAGCAAGAAAGAUGCUGUGAGCUGUGAUUGCUCAAUAUACCUUAGAAUACAUGUUGUUUUUCUUCCUGGGGUAUACUAAGAGUUGGCAAAGAAUUUAGUCGUAUAAGAAGAACAAAUAUUUUUCAGAAGAUUCAGAGGAAGGGCUAUUUUUUUGCUUUACCAGAAAGGAAAAGGGUCUUACUGGGUAAACCAGGCUUCAAAUCAGUAGAUAAUUGAACAGCCUUGAUACCAUUUGCUGUUGUUGUUCCUAGAAUCGCCCUUGAAUCGCCAAGGUUUGCAAUCAUAAGAUCUUCACCCUUUGAAAAACCAAUAGGAAAUAAUAAAUAAAGAUGGGACUUCGAUUUCCAAACAGUUUCUACAAAUCACGAACGCUAGCUUUCUUACCUGUCUCACAACAACAACAGCAGUGGUUCCACUGGUAGAGCAGUCCAAAUUCUCUUGAAGCUUAAUCUCCUUGUCCAUCACCUUGAAGGCACUGAUGCAAGCCUCUUGCCAUUUAAGCAAAUCCUUGCUUAGUACCGAUCCACUCUUUAAAUCUGCUACUUGAUCCUGGAAAUUCUUGUGAUCUGCUGAUGUCUUCAUCGUUGCUAGAGCAUUCUUUUGGCUUAGCAAGAGUGAUGGCAACCGGUUUCUCACCUUAUUGCUCACUAUGUGACCAUUCUUUCCAUGACCAUCAAAAACUCCACAAAGAGCUCCACCUUCCAUUCCAUAGUCCUUUAAGAACACAAACACAUUAUAUACUCAGUUUGAUCCCAUCUCAAUUCGACCUAUUAAUUCCUUUUUGAUUAACAAAAUAAACCAACUAUCAUGUUUAAAACUGCCAUAAUAUAACUAAGGAGUAGCAGUGGCAAACCUGAUAAAGGAUGGCAGCAUCCUGUUUCAGUCCUUUGCUUCCCUGCCUAGAGUAAAGAGAGCCAAGUCCCUGAAUUCCUAUAGAAGCAAUGUUUUCUGCCAAGUAGACAACAUUUUCCUGGCAGUCUUCAGCCUCAUGAAUCUCUGAAGAUGCAACGGAUAUGCAGAUUCCCAUCUCAAACUGAAUACAAAGAAUUUUCUUAUUCUCCACCCAGAGUCACCGCCACCUUAUUAAAUUCCGAUGACUUGUGGAAACAGUCCCCUCAAUCAUGUAUUUAAGGACUCCUACAAUGCGCAUGUUAGCAAGAUAAUAAUUAUAUAUAGCGGCACAAGUGGCUCCCAGUGACCUGAAAGCACACUCCAAUUCAUUAAUAAAUUGUUUCUUAAUUAAUUGUUGAGUAUUAUUAUAGGCUACCCCAAGAUUCACUUAAAGAGGCAUAUGAGGUGUGUUCUUGCAAAGAUUAGUAUCUUGACAAGACAUUCAAACUCUAGCCUCUCACGUACACAAGGAAAUUUCCUCCUCCUUGCCUCAAAUACUUUGUAAAUAGCUCUUAGACAUAUUUGUGGAAUACAUAUCACAUGAUUUACAAGCCCCUAAGGUUACAUUUCAUGAAAUCCCAAUGAACAAUGGAUGAACUGUGUGACCCAGAGGGCUCAUGGAAGCCUAUGUUUAUAAAAAUCAAAGGUAAAAUGGACGGUUGGUCCCUUCCAUAAAGUAAAAAAGGAAGGGAUGGUUGACACUUGACCAAGCAUAUGUACUUUACAGGGGAAAAAGACUGUAUCCAUGGCCAAAGGAAUCAGUUUUAACAUUAACUCAACAGCUUUCAGACAGAAUUAUAAAAAGAUGCAUCAAAAUGUUGGUCAACUCUUAAAAAGAAAAAACAAAUAAUUAAGCUAUUGAAAGAAGUUUAAUGCUACCCUCAAGAGCGCGUAAUCAUGGUUCAUUAAAGUCUGCCAAGCAUGCACAAGUUAAGGGAAAGGACUUGUUUGAGGUACGUCAGGCUGAUUCAUUGCUUAGUCUGAUAGAGUUGAUCAUAAGAUCAUAACCGUACAAACUGUGGACUUUUCUUGCAGAUAGUUUAAAACUUGGUUGAUUAUCCAAGUUGACUUUUUAUUAACAGACAAUUAUUCAAAUGGAUGGGUCCCUUUCCGAAUUGGUUGGAUUUUGUUUAUGCUAUGCCAUUGGAAACCCACGCAGGGAUCUCAAUGAGCAAACAUGCCGUGUAGUUUUGGCAGAAGCAGCUGGAAUUGAAAAAGAAACAGUCUUUUUAUUAUUUUAUAAAGUCACAAAUAAGAAUUGAAACUAGAAAACUUAGAAGUUUGAUUAGUGGCAACAAGAUAAUAAUAAUAAAAUUCUAAUAACAUUUGCUCUAUUAAUUUUUUUCACAUAAUACUUGACAAAAUUUAAAUAAAUUUUUAUUUUUUUAUGAUAUUCAAUCAAAUUUUCAUUUUUAUAUUAAAUUAAGACCUAUAUGACUAAUAAUUGAUUAAUUAUUAUUAAUUAAAAUAUCAUUUGUUAUUUUAUACACAUGUGAUACUAAUAUGAUGUUGAUGUGGAUGGUGAAAUAUCACAUAAUUAUAUUAUCAUGUUAUAUCAUCAUCUAACAUAUUAUUAUGCCAUGUCAAUGUUAUGUAGUAAAAAAUAACAAGUGACAUCUUGAUUAACAUCCGUUAAUCAAUUAUUAAUUAUAAAAAUUUAUUUGAUUUAAAUUAAAAAGUAUAAAGAUUUGAUUAAAUAUAAAAUAAAAUAAAAGUUUAUAUAAAUUUUCUUAAAUGAUGCAUAAAUUUUUUAAAGUAUUUUACCUUCCUUUAAAAAAAAAAAAAAGAACAAAUAUCCUUACACAAAUGGUAAAGGUUGAUUGGCUAUGUGUUAUUUUUGUCCUUUAGAUUUCUCCAAUUCAUUAAAUCAAAGGGAUGAGAAGAGUAAUAGCUUCUUAUAAUUUCAGAUUGUUUAGUUGUUUACAUGAAGGAUGAAAUCUACUAGAAUAGAGUAAUCAGAUAAUGAUGCCGACUCCCCUUCCUCCAAGGAACCAUUGACUGCAUUUUAACAAUUAUUAGCGUUGAAUCUAUCUGAUUCUUAUUCUUUAAAGAUCAAUAAUUGAUUCCAAGUUAGUAUUCGAAUUACAUAGAGAAACAAAAGCCCACCAGAUUUCUACUACUUUGAGUUUUUCAUUUUUUGUUGGCCGAAACUGAAUAAUCUAUGCCCUGAUUGGCAAAUGUAGCAGACUGGAAGCCUAUGAACACGCGUUAAUGAUGACACGGGUGAACAUAAUCCCAACAUUUUGAUCCAAGCCAUACACUUUUAUAAGCACGCUUCGUUCUUUGUCUAGUCAAAUAAACCCAUCCUUCUCCCAAACUCCGUACAGGUCAGACUUCCAUUUUUCCUUUUCCCCAAUGUUUUGCAUCAGUGGUUUGGAUAGCCCAGGAAUCUUAUCAGAUAAGAAACUUUUAUACAAUAACAUUAUACUAAUUCUUUAAUGGAAAAACAUUUGUUAUCAAAUGAAAUGCUUGGAAACCUUGAACUUUCCAGAUAAGAUUCCUUCUACAAUCAAAACCAAUGUAUUAGGAUUAGGCAUGCUAGAAUAAUAGAACACUUGGCAUGCAUUAAAUCAAUGGUUAUAAGCUUAUGCACCCCUUACGUGGACCAGUUAAUGUGCAGUUUGCAGCCAAAUGUUGGAUCAAAGGUCUUUGCAUCUGGUGCUCUUGGACAAGCCUUGUCUGGUGUGCCUGUGUAAGUAAAGGAUCAAGGAGAGUUUAUUACUAAAAAAAUGCUAAAAGAAAUGCUCCUGCGGCUGCCUCUGACAUGUUAAGAAAAUUCGCAUUGUCAUAUACAUUGAUCCAUAACAAUAACAAGUAUGAUUGAUGAACAUAGCGGUCGAUAUGACAAGGAAGCAUCUUCCUUCAAGAAGCUGAAAUAUAAAAAGUUUAACAUAUCCCCCAGAUUGGAUGGAUGACCAUUUACUGUGUAGGUGUAAGAUAAUGAUAUACUGAAUCAUAUAUUAAAUGAAACAGUUUCAAAAACACACACAGAAAGGGUUUAAUCUGUACAGAAUGUUUACAGAAGAUAAAUAGGUCAUCUAGUCCAUGUAUCUUAUUUCCAGCACAUCCAGAAAUCAUACUGGUAAAACCCAAGGAUCGAAGCAGCAUCGAAAUUCGGUGGUUAAUAUUCUCACUGGCUGGUGGAUAUAAGAACACUAUCUUCACCAUUUCCUGAUUCAGCUGACUUCUUCAUAAGAGGCUUGGGAAUAUCACAGUCGUCUUGAGGGCAACGCUGUUGAGGGUGAGACAACAACAUAGACAUGAAACGGAAGAGAGUACGCGGUAGACCAUGUCCACUCUCAUGGAUGUAUCCUUCAUACUCGCUGACAUGUUCAAGCGCAUCAACAAGUGCAUCAUAGACCACCUGGGGACAGUUAUCUGGUCCAGGCUUGUCGUGGAGGUACAUCACAUCCAAAGUGAAGAGUUUCUGGUUAACAGGCCAUUGAUGCUGGGGCCGUAUCGAUGAUCUGCAGUAUAUAAGAAUCUAAGAGACCAGCAAAAUAUCACACCAUGUGUCAGAAUUACUAAGGAAGAAUGAGGAAAAAGAAACAUUAAUAUAUUUCAACUCUAGGAUGCACAUACCAAAGGUUCAUAACUUAAUCUUUACAAGAAAUGGGAAUCAUUCCUAGAAAUUCAUUAAACAAAGGAUGCCUUGAAAACAAAAACAACAUCUAAGCAGGUGUAGAUAAUGAAUUCUACCAAUAAUUAUCAAAGAUAAAUUACUGAGGCAUAACCUAAUUGGUAGCGACACUUAGAAAAGGAGGUCCCGAGUUCCAAUCCUUUCCCCAACUUAACCAUAAUAACAAUGAUAAAGAGGAAAAGAAAUGGAUACUGACCACUCUUAAAAUCCGGUUCUGUGCACGAGAUUUCUUUGCUUCAUGAGCUGCUAAGCGGAAUAAAUUGGUGAGAUCAGCUUGGCCAGAAGAGACGGUAGUAGCCGAGAGUGCCCGAACAGCAGCAAUGGUAGACUCAACAUCACUGCUGAACUCUUUUCUAAGCUGAAAAAUCACAGGUAAUCAAAAAGAAAUAAAAAUUUAUAAAUAAAUAACUUUCAAGUCCUUUUUCGAAUUCAUGAAAUGCUAGACUACUUCCUUCUGUUUCCCACAUUUCCAAUCAAUCUUAAAAUAAAAUUAAAGACAACAAAAGGAGAAAGGGAAAAAUACCCAAGAGGCGGAUUUGGACAGUGUGGCGAAAGCGAAGCGGUGAUCGGGGUUGAUAGAGAGUUUGGAGUUGACGAAGAGAAGGAUGGCCUGCCUUAUGGAAUCCAAUCUGGUGAUUCCCGCUGUUUUCAUCUCAACAAGCGACUCUGCGUCCACGUCCACGCAAAAUAUUAUGUCCUCGUUGCUUUUUCGUGUUGGUUUCAGAGUGUAACGCCCUGUUCCACCCACCGAGGCGUCUCCUUCGACUCCUUCCAUUUUCAUUUUCCCUCGAUUUCCUUCCUUCGGGAGAGAAGACAUAGCAACCUACCAAGGGGCGGGACGGAGGGGAAGAGAAGAGGAAAGGAAAUUGCCAUAUAGACCAUCGAAACGGUGCGUUUUUACUCUAACAACUUCAACGGCGUCGUUCUAGGGUGGACAAAAAAGGAAAGUAAAGGUCGGAGAAACGGUGCGUUUUUGCAGCAUGUUUUCGUUCCUGUUUGGCUGCUUCUCGAGUGUUCCCGUUUUGUUUCUUUUUGGUUUUUGCUUCUUGGCUUCGUUUGGCUGCGAAAGUGAGAGAGAUCGGAGAGAAGGCGAAAAUGGCGUGUACGCAUGACCACAGCUGCGAAGAUCACGAUUGUUCUUCUAAUUGGUCUCUUUACAAGCACAUCGACCUUUCCAAGGUUGUUUCUCCUUUUUUUUUUGAAAUAUAUUGAAGAUUCAACCUAUUCAUUACUGAUUUUUCUUGUGUUUUUUCAUAAGUGGAUUUUGGUUUUCCCUGAUUGAAUGUUUAAGUAUAAUUUCUAUUCAUUUUUCCACUCUCCAAUUUUAAUGAAUUGACAUGGAGUAUUACUUUCGUUUCUUGGAAUUUUGGUUACCGUUAAGGUGACUGCUCUAAAUGAGGCUAAUCCAGGAAGUGUUAAAUCGGUGUUUAAAGCUUGGGAGGAGCGAUUGAAUUCUUCUGGGGUAAAUUUUUAUUAUUUUUUAAUUAAAUGUACUUUUAUCUUUCUUAUAUCAUGCAUCAGUUCUUUUCUUUGUUGAAACAAAUGAAUAUAUAUAUUGUUCAUGUUUGUGUUAGCAUGCUUUUGGGAGAAUUUUGAAUUUUGCAUCGAAGUAUUUGUCAAGUUCAUGGUAUGUGAAGCUUAAUGUGUGGUUUUUAAUCGUGGCAGGAACACUUGGAAAGCAAUGAGGGUGAUCCUGAGCUACUUGUUUACAUCCCGUAUGUGCCUGUUUCUAGUUGUUUAGUGGUUUACCUGAAAGUUUGCUUUGAAUGUUCAUGCCUUUACUUGCUUGAAUUUACAAACCACCAUCUAUGUCUGUGGUCUUGUUGAUAUGACAAGUGACUACCUUAAAUUUUUUGUGCUUGAGCUAAGUGAAGGAAGCAUGCUGGUUUGAAUAUCAAGGAUGACAAAUUCAUAAUUUGUAUUAUAUUGAUAAAUAGUAUUCCAUUUUAUUUUUACCCAGUGUACUGGUCUCAUUUUUCUGCUUUGUUAUACAUUAUUAUAGCUAUAUUCCUUGCUUGCUAACUCAAGGUAUGCUUGAAAUGUAUAUCAUGAAUCAAGUGGUCGACUCUAUUUGUUCAUUUUCUUGGUUUGGAAUUUUAAUGUUCCAGAAGUGCUUGUCUAACUUGUCAUGUACUUAUUGGGUUUGUUCUAAUAGAUUUACAUCAGAUGUGAAGAUCAAGAGCAUAUCAGUUGUUGGUGGUGCUGAUGGAACAAGUCCUUCUAAGAUGAGAGUGUAAGUUCUUGUGACUGACCUAGUGGUUUCAUUGCUUCUGAAAUGGUUAAUCUGCAGUUAGAAAGUGAAGGUUAAUAUUCAACGUUAAUUGCAGUGAUGAUAUUUUAACUGCUUUCACACUGUAGAUAUCUUUGAUUUUGGUGUUUCCAAAGAACAUAAGAUUGUAGUGUUUUGAAAGGGGCGUCUGCUGUCCAUAUUGCUUUCUUCUUAGUUAUUUUCUUUUGCAAUUCUUCCUAAUAAAAGGUUUUUUUUUUUUUUCAAUUUGUCUUGAUUAGGUUUAUCAAUCGAGAAGUCAUUGACUUCUCUGAUGCUCAAGGCAUGCAACCUGUGCAGGUAUUGGUUGUCUUGCCUUGCCAUGGAGUAUACUGAUAAAUUGAGCUAAGUUGACCUAAAACGUGUAUGUUUUCUUUGAAGGAGUGGGAUUUGGUUGAAAAUUUGCAAGGAGUGUUAGAAUAUCAGACAAGGUAGGUACUUAUCCCUCCAAACAGUGUUAUCUUUGUUUUAAGAACACUUCUCAUCCAUUUGUGAGCAGUUAACUUGCUUAAUUUGUCGUGCAUGAAUACUUGUUCCACAUAGCCCUGAUCCACUGACAAUGUUGAGUUGAUGCUAAUAAAAGAAUUCAUAAAAUAGCAUACCUCUGUCUCAUCUUCUCUGUUAUCUAGUUUCUUUCUUUCUGAUGUUUAUUAACAUGUAUAUCUAGGUAUUCAAAAUUUCAAAGUGUGGCAAGUAUUACGUUGCAUUUCCCUGAGAGUUUUGGUGGUGACACUACUCAAAUUCACUACAUUGGUUUCAAAGGUGAAGCCACACAGGUACUUCCCUUGACAAAGCUCGGACCCACUGGUGGUGUUGAUUCUUUUCUGUUCCCUGUAAAAAUUGGGUGCUUCAAAUGAUCUAGUUUCCUGAAUUUGACUAACAGUUGAAGAGGGAUGUUGUUGCAACAAUUGUUUAUGAAAUUACACCCAAUCCGUCCGAUCACAAGUAAGUGGUUGCUCUUUCUAAAUGGUUAUGUACUGGGAUAGACCUUGAAUUAAGCAUUUUAAUGUGGCCUGCAUUCUUGUUGAAUCUUGAAUUAUUCUGUUAUUGAUUGAUAUGUGUUGUAAAUCUUGAUCAUGCAUUAUAUAGUAGGCAACAUUGGGACAGCUGACAUUGAUAGAUAUCUACAAAGCCUUUUCCAAGUUCAUGCAGUAAAAACUACUCCUCUUAUUUUGAUUAAGUUUCAAGAUGUCCAUGCAUUAGUUUUCGUUCAAUUGGUAUUUUAAUAUAUAACUUAAUUUAAUUUAUAAAAAAUGAUUACUCGUGCAGGACCCGGGCUGAAACUGGUGGGGGCUUUUCUCAAGUGGAGUAAAGAAACUGUCCUACCUCUGGGUGUUCUUGUGAAGAAUCUGACCACUCCUUAUAUACAUUCUAUGAUGAAAAUUACACAAAUGUUAAUAUAGCUGAUGCAGAAUCCCCCUACCCAUCGGUUUCUUCUUUUCUUUUAUUUCCAUCAUGUUAUCAAAGAUUUUAUGCUUCAUAUACUGUGGGAAGGUUGAAAUAGUUAAUAUUUGAAGUUUGAACUGAGAAGAGUCAAAUUGUGCAAGCAACUUUGCAUCUGCUAUUUCCAUUUGGUAUCACACUGGGUUUCAGUUUGAAGUUACUGUUGCAUUAUUUCUCAUAUUACUCAUCAGUUUCACGCAAGGUAAAGCAUAAUGAAGUUGGUAAAAACACUAGGCAGGUAAUACUAAAAACAGAUGCUACCUAUAUUAGCACUUUACAUUUCAUAUUUUAUAAGCUAAAAUCCAUCCAAGCUAGGGAAGACAAUUCAUCACGUUUUCUUGUUCUAAAUUCUAAUAUAUGAUCACAAAAGGAACUGUCCUCUAAUAUAAAAUGACAAAGCACUAUUUCCUUUCAUAGUAUAUUAUAAAUCUAAUAAAAUCCUGCAAGUUUUUAAAAGGAAAAAAAAUGGAAUGCCAGGCAUGUAUGUCAUUUUUUUCCCCUUUUUGGCCGUAACGUUGGUCAUCCUAACCUGAUGAAGGCCAAGUGGCAACAUCAGAGUCGAGUCAUCGGAGGAGACACGAUAGACCAACCCCCAGAGGACUUUUUGCCCUCGACAAGGAUUUUUCCCAAUUUUCCUCCUCACUUCUGAGUUCCGAGUUCUGACAUCCGAGUCUCUGCUAUCCAGCCGCUUGGCUUUUCCAAUUUUUUUUUCUUUAUUAUUUUCUUUGUCUUUAAAGCGCGGCUCAAUAAUUUUAAUAGAGUAUUAGGGUUUUAGCCACGCACUUGCUUCACUCCAUCUCAAUAACGUUGCACUCCGAAAAAGAAAAAAGAAAACUCUUCCGAAAAAUAGGCUCUCUUCUCUGUAUUCGUUGAAUCAUUCACUUUUUUUUUUCUUUUAAAUCCGUUAUCCUCUCUGAUUUUCAUUUCCAGUUAUUGGAUUUUAUGUUUGAGCCAUACUUCUUGGUCUUGGCCAGGGCUUUUUUCACCCACUAAUUCGUUCUAUUAGAUUUUAUCAGGUACUAUUAUUUACGAUUCUACAGAGUCAAAAGUUUACUUAUUUUUCCCAUUUUUUUAGGAAAAAAUUGUAGUAUAUGCUGUAAUUCUUGAGCUAUAUAUGUUUUAUCGUGGUCUCAGGAAUUUGUAAGUGUCAGCUUUUUAUCAGUCUCCUGCGAGAACUUCACUUUGCAAAUCAAAAUUUCAUUUUUUUCUUUUUCUUUUUCUUUUGCUUAUGGGAGAAAGUCAUAAAAAGCUUUUCAUUUUAACAAAGGAGAAGUUUGCGAAUUAAUUGGUGUUGGGUUGAAUUUUUCAUUUUAAUUCUCUGUUUUGUCCGUAAAUUCGUAGGAAAUUUGUGAGGAAUACUAGCGGAAAGCCAGAAUGCAGGCUUGUAGCGGAGCUGCAAUGAUGGGUUCUGUGCAACAACCCAUGAGGGUCAAUAGACCAGCAUUUCCUUUAAAAGGGUCUGGUAUUAGUGGAUUUCCGCACCAGAUUAAGCUUAACUCAGUGAAACCCUGUAGAGCUCAACUUGAAGGGAGCUUAGUCACUGGGAGGCCUCCCUCUUCAGUCUCUGUCCCUGUGCUCGAAAGCAGUUUUGUGGACCAUGGCCUCAGCGAAGCUGAUCCUGAGGUUCGUGCAAUUAUUAGCAAGGAGAAGGAGAGGCAGUUUAAAAGCCUUGAGCUUAUUGCCUCGGAGAACUUUACAUCCCGUGCAGUGAUGGAGGCAGUUGGCUCAUGUCUCACAAACAAGUAUUCUGAAGGACUGCCUGGUAAAAGGUCGUCUAUCUAAUUAAGCAAAGUGCAUAGAGAUUUAAUUUUUUGUUAAGUUUUGAUUUAAAUCUGUGCAGCUAAUGAUCUUAUUGUUUGUUGCAGGUACUAUGGUGGCAAUGAGUACAUUGAUGAACUUGAAAUACUUUGCCAGAAGAGGGCUGUGGCAGCGUUUCAUUUGGAUGAAAAGAAAUGGGGCGUUAAUGUUCAACCAUUGUCUGGUUCCCCUGCUAAUUUUGAGGUUUAUACAGCAAUUCUUAAUCCACAUGAUCGAAUAAUGGUAAGAUGCUUCUGCCUGUUUUAAUAAUUUAAUUUUUUGUCUUUGAUAAGAUACGAAUUAAUAAUUUCUUCAUGUAACUGGCAUAGGGUCUGGACUUACCUCAUGGGGGACAUUUGUCACAUGGAUUCAUGACUCCUAAAAGACGAGUAUCUGGCACAUCAAUCUAUUUCGAGUCCAUGCCUUAUAGACUUGAUGAAUCUACAGGUUAUGCAUCCUUAUUAUUAGACUUGCUAAGGUUUAGUGGUUGGUACUGGCUUGGUGGUUAAUUCAAUUUGUCUGAAAUUUGGAACAGGCCUUGUUGAUUAUGUCAUGCUUGAGAAGACAGCUACUCUCUUUCGACCAAAACUCAUAAUUGCUGGUGCCAGUGCAUAUCCUCGAGAUUUUGACUAUCCUCGUAUGAGGAAGGUAAGGACUAACGUGCUUGCUGAUUGUGCUGUAAAGCGUGCCACCAUUUACUUACCAUGUAGUGAUUCUUUUAUUAAGCAUUUUGGAUAUUUUCCUUAUCUUUGCAAAUAACUUAUUGGAAUUGAUAUUUGUUUGAAGAUCGCAGAUGCUGUUGGUGCAUUUCUCAUGAUGGAUAUGGCUCAUAUAAGUGGACUUGUUGCUGCUUCUGUAGUUGCUGACCCCUUCGAGUAUUGUGAUAUUGUGACAACUACUACACACAAGGUUUAGGAUUAAUGCUUACAAUUUCUGUGUUGAACUCUGUGUAUGUUAAUUCACUUGACAUGCUGCUUUAGAGUAUUAGUGUUGCUUGUCCAAAUAUUGAUAUUUAGUAAGGGUACCUGAAAAGUUUUACUUCUAGCAUGACUAAUGUCACUUGAUCUUUUCCAGUUCUGCACUUUGUUUGUCAUAUGUAUUAGAAAGUUCUGUUCUGCCCAUUAAUUUGCCAAUAGUGUUGUAUCUUCCAAAUACUAUAUACUUCCUUUGCAUUAAUGUCCACAAUAAACUCAAUUUUCUCAUUUAUUUCCAGUCUUUGAGAGGUCCAAGAGGUGGCAUGAUCUUCUUCAAGAAGGAUCCUGUUCUUGGAGUUGACUUAGAAUCUGCCAUUAACAAUGCUGUUUUUCCUGGUUUGCAGGUUAGUUUGACUUGUCUCCUUUGGUCCUAUUACUAAUCUGAAUUCCCCUAUUCCAACCUUCUACUGACUUUCAAACUGAGGUUUUUUAGUUAUGAAAUUAAUUAUAGAUAUGAGAGGCAUUUAUAGACAUGAGAGGUAUGAUGUUGUCUGUGCAGGGUGGUCCUCACAACCACACAAUUGGUGGACUAGCAGUUUGCUUGAAACAUGCACAGUCACAAGAGUUCAAGGCUUACCAAAACCAGGUACUGCCCUUUGAAGAUAUAAAUUCAGUCCAAGUUAUGUUUUGAUGAUCUUAAUCUAAUAUGUGUACUUCAUCCUGCAGGUAGUGUCUAAUUGUAGAGCUCUUGCAAGCCGAUUGGUUGAACUUGGCUAUAAACUGGUUUCUGGUGGCAGUGACAAUCACCUUGUACUUGUGGAUCUGAGGCCAUUGGUAAGUUACUAUCUCCACAAGACAUGCAGACAUGUGCCCUCUUUAUCUUCAAAUCUUGAGUAGCAUUGGAAGUAUUUUUGUGAUUCUUUUAUAGAUGCCCUAUGCUCCCUUCCCCCUUUUUUUUUUUUCUAAUUUUUUUAUUUCUAUUAUCAACUUCUCCUUCAACAGGGUAUUGAUGGGGCUCGGGUGGAGAAAAUACUUGACAUGGCCUCUAUCACCUUGAACAAAAAUUCAGUGCCUGGUGAAUUAUGCCUUAUUUUCUUUCUUUUUUUAAUUCAUUAAAAAAUUUCCUUAUUACAAAACAGGUACUAACACAUCUCGAAUUUUGCAGGGGAUAAGAGUGCACUCGUGCCAGGUGGCAUCCGCAUUGGAUCACCUGCUAUGACCACUAGAGGAUUCACAGAAAAGGAAUUCACAGCUAUUGCUGACUUCAUCCAUGAGGGUGUGCAAAUAACUGUUGAUGCUAAAGGAUUAGUGUCUGGAUCAAAGCCACAAGAGUUCUUGAAGUUUGUGGUGUCUCCCGAUUUUCCUUUGACUGAUAAGGUGGCAAAUCUCCGGAGUAGAGUUGAAGCACUGACAACCCAGUUUCCCAUUCCUGGGGUAUGAAUGGUGUCGAUGCACUCUACUAAGUAAUAAUGAGAAGUUGAGAACAUCAUGAAAUUCAACACAGGUUUUAGGGAUCAAAUUUGAAUGUAUUCAUAAAGUUAUGAAAAUUUUGAAGUGUUUGAGAUCUUGUAUUGAAAAUUAUGGAUUUCACUUGGUAUAGAUCUCAUCAGUAACCACUUAUUAGUACUCCAUUGGUAGAUAGGAAAAAUUAAACCAUUGGUCAUGUGAUCAACUUUCCAUCGUCAUUUCCCAGCAUCUACGGUGUUAAGAGUUGAAUUCUACGGAUUAUUUUAACUAUUAUUAAUUUUAGUUUUUAAAAUCUUAAUGAUAACACAUUAACAACAUACAACCUGGUAGGGUCCAAUUCCUGGAUUCCUCUCCGGCCAAUCCAGAAAUUCUUAUGAAGAGGGUAUUGCUUUUGUUCUACGCUAAUAAUUUCCAAGGAAACGAAAAAGAUUCUAAAGAAUAAAUGGAUGCGUUAAAAUGGGAAAAGAAAGCUAUCCCUAGCUUUAUUCCACAACUUCUUUGGGUGCAAAUAAAGGUUGGUAGUUAACUAUCUGCACCAGUUAAUCCAUUACAAUCCUCGAAAGGAAAAUAAUCCAGUAUGGCAAUUAAUUCAAUGCUAUAUAAAUGGUCCCAAAAGGCCCAAAAUGAGUUCAAAGGCAGCCCAAAGAGUAGAAAAAGCUUCUGUCCAAAACAAACUAAGGAACUCCUCUCCCUCCGUUUUAGGGUUUUUCGACAAAAGAUACUUGUCAGUUUCACACUAUUGUUCCUUCUCUUCUCCGUCUGCACUUCUCUUCAACAGGGACGACACCCAUCUCCUGGUUUUCUUUUGGGUCUACUGUGAGGUAAGAGGCAAUGCUUAUUACCAUUAGAUUGAUAGAGAGCUGUUUGCAACUAUGGGUUUUCUUUUUUUUCGAAGUUUCAAUCCUUUUAUUUGCCGAAAAUUCCCUUGAAGGAUUCGUUUUUUGACAGUGUUGUGAAUGAUGAGGCGAUUCAAUAUUAUUACAGUUAUCCCUGUCUGAUUACUGUUGCUGAUAAUUUGUUUUCUGACACAACACUUUGUUAUCAUUAAGAACGAUUUUUCUUUCCAAUUUGCUUUUUUUUUUUUUGUUCUUUUCAUUAAUCUUUGCGGGUUUUGAAGUUUUGGAUUUUCUGACAUGCAGAUUCAGCUAAUGCCUAAGAAGAGUUCAUCCAAAACGCCUUCAAAAAAGGCAGAAAAGGAAGAAGUAGAAGAACCUGUUCUGGGACAGAAGAAAUCGUCUUCAACUCCUAAGAAGGCUGGUAAUGAGAUUGAUGAGAUAUUUGCUGGUAAAAAGAGGAAGAAACCUGAACAAAAGAAGGCUGAUAAGCCAAAUGGUGAUGAAAUCUCGAAACCGAAACCACUGAUGAAGAAGAAGAAUAAAAAGAGUGAAGAAACCAAAGAGGAAGGAUCCCAGGAACCUUCUUCUCGGCCUCGCAAGAGAACUGCAGAUGGGUUUGCUAUUUACACCGAAGAAGAAUUGGGUAUUAAUAAAUCGGAUGUCGGAAGUACGCCGCUUUGUCCAUUUGAUUGUGAUUGUUGUUUUUGAUAGCGUUGGUUGAUUCAUUUUGCAACUUUGACAAAUCAGUUUGCAGAAAUUGAAAUAGGGUCUAGGCUUUUCUGCUUCUUGUACACAAGGAAUGAAUUUCACAUGAAAUGCAAUUUUGAUACUUUGUUAUUCUUGCAGAGAAUUCUGAGCUAAUUCUUCGUUUACUUUUGCAUGAUAAUUGAAUAGAUUAUAGUGAUGUUAAUCACUUCUGUUGAUCAUGGUAUGCAAUCAGAGAUAUUCAGACCAAUAAUUACAAGCAAUUAUCUUUUGCUUUUUUGGAAUUUCAAUGGAUGAUAAUCUUUUAACCACCUUAACAGUUGCAUUCUGUGCUCAAUCAGAUGACUUGUGCUGGUGCUUUUCACUCCUAAUUCUGGUUUAGAUUUGCCAUUCAUAACCACAAACAAAACUAGAGCUUCAUCAGGGGAAUGCAGUCGUGCACAGCCCUGGAGACUUGGAUUGAGAAAGGGUAGCCUCUACCCUUUUCUUACACUGCGGAUUUUAGUCUAUAACAUGGCCACAAAGGGUUCUUAGCAAAAUUUGCAGAUGUUCUUGUCUGGGAUAAGUUUGUGAUGGCUUCACAAGUAGGUUUCAUUCAUAAAGAGAUUACUGCAUAACAGAUUAUAUUUACAACACUUGUGGUGCAGACAAAUAGUCUAGUUAUACAAUAUUAUUUCAAGUAGGGGACAAAUUUUCUUUAUAGAGGCAGAAGGCCAAACUAAAAUGGCCACAAUUGGUGAUAGCAAUGCAAUAUAUUUGUGGCUAGUGUGCUAAAUUGCUGAUAUGCCUAAACAUUGGUGAUCAGUGAAUCUCUGUAAGUAGCUGAGAAAGAAAUCUCAGCUUCCAUUUAACCCAAAAGGCUAAGCUGAGAUUUUCUUUUCGAGGAUUAUAAUGAAUUAACUGGUGCAGAUAGUUAACUACCGACCUUUAUUUGCACCCAAAGAAGUUGUGGAAUAAAGCAAGGGAUAGUUUUCUUUUCCCAUUUUAACGCAUCCAUUUAUUCUUUCGUUUCCUUGGAAAUUAUUAGCUUAGAACAAAAGCUAUACCCUCUUCAUAAGAAUUUCUGGAUUGGUUGGAGAGAAUCCAGGAGUUGGGCCCUUCCAGGUUGUAUGUUGUUAAUGUGUUAUCAUUAAGAUUUUAAAAACUAAAAUUAACUAUAAUUAAAAUAAUCCGUAAAAUUCAACUCUUAACACCAUAGAUGCUGAGAAAUGAUGAUGGAAAGUUGAUCACAUGACCAAUGGUUUAAUUUUUCCUGUCUACCGAUGGAGUACUAAUAAGUGGUUACUAAUGAGAUAUAUACUAAGUGAAAUCCAUAAUGUUCAAUAGAAGAUCUCAAACACUUCCAAAUUUUCAUAACUUUAUGAAUAUAUUCAAAUUUGAUCCCUAAAACCUGUGUUGGAUUUCACCUUGUUCUGAUGUUCUCAAUUUCUCUCCAAGUACUUUUUCACAACUUUAUGGAUACAUUCAAAUUCGAUCCCUAAAACCUUUGUUGAAUUUCAUGAUGUUCUCAAUUUCUCAUUAUUACUUAGUAGAGUGCAUCGAUACCAUUCAUACCCCAGGAAUGGGAAACUGGGUUGUCAGUGCUUCAACUCUACUCCAGAGACUUGCCACCUUAUCAGUCAAAGGAAAAUCGAGAGACACCACAAACUUCAAGAACUCUUGUAGCUUUGAUCCAGACACCAAUCCUUUAGCAUUGACAGUUAUUUGCACACCCUCAUGGAUGAAGUCAGCAAUAGCUGUGAAUUCCUUUUCUGUGAAUCCUCUAGUGGUCAUAGCAGGUGAUCCAAUGCGGAUGCCACCUGGCACGAGUGCACUCUUAUCCCCUGCAAAAUUCGAGAUGUGUUAGUACCUGUUUUGUAAUAAGGAAAUUUUUUAAUGAAUUAAACAAAGAAAGAAAAUAAGGCAUAAUUCACCAGGCACUGAAUUUUUGUGCAAGGUGAUAGAAGCCAUGUCAAGUAUUUUCUCCAACCGAGCCCCAUCAAUACCCUGUUGAAGGAGAAGUUGAUAAUAUAAGUAAAAAAAUUAGAAAAAAAAAAGGGGGGGGAAGGGAGCAUAGGGCAUCUAUAAAAGAAUCACAAAAAUACUUCCAAUGCUACUCAAGAUUUGAAGAUAAAGAGGGCACAUGUCUGCAUGUCUUGUGGAGAUAGUAACUUACCAAUGGCCUCAGAUCCACAAGUACAAGGUGAUUGUCACUGCCACCAGAAACCAGUUGAUAGCCAAGUUCAACCAAUCGGCUUGCAAGAGCUCUACAAUUAGACACUACCCGCAGGAUGAAGUACACAUAUUAGAUAAGAUCAUCAAAACAUAACUUGGACUGAAUUUAUACCUCCCUAGAAUUUUUAUCAAAUAAAAUAAUACAAAUAUAUACAAUUAUAUUUAACUCGAUCGAAUAUAAAUACAAUCAUUAAUCCAAGAAAUUCAAACUUAAGAAAUGUAACUUGAAAUAUUAAUAAAAUGAAAACAUAAAAGAUAAAUAAAAAAUUAAAAAGGUGGAGUAGCUCAGAUUCUAUGGGUGUAAUAAAAAGUCUGUCAUGCCCAAAUUGAGCAAAUCAGAACGAGGAAUUAUUUUUAUAAUCAUUGCUAACUCCAUACCUCCAUUCUUCAUUUAAAAAAAAAACUUAAAAAAAUAAAAUAAAAAAUAAUAAGGCUCAGACACGCACAAACGCUGUCAUCAAAAAGCUAUUUGGUCCUUAAAUUAAAUGAAUUUAAGAAAAAAUCCAAAUCAGAAUCGAGAAACAUAAAUUUGUCAUCAUUGCCUUUUGUAAUAAUUAGUUGAUGAAUUAAAUUUCUAAUGAGAAAAACUGACAAAAAAACUUAAAGAGACCAACAACAAGAGUAUCUAUUGCCUUUUAUAACCAUGAAAAAGAAAUCCUAAUUUUGAGCGUUUUUAAAAUUGUGUAAAUAUUGAUGCUAUGCUUCUAUGAAUAUAUCUAAGAUAAAAUAUUAAAAUUUUAUUUUAUAAAAGGAAAAUUCAAAUUUAAUUUUUAUAAAGAAAAAAAAUAAUUAUAAUAUCCAUUUAAUUCAUAUAGUUACAUUUUUUUUUAAUUUAACCUUUUUACUUAAAAUAGUGACAAUUUAAUCCAUUGAUUUUAAAAAUUAUUUCAAUUUAAUCCCUUCAACAAAAUGCUAACAUGGUAUAUGAGGUGAGCUCGAAUUACUAACGUGGUGUUGCCACGUUAUCAUAUCAAGGUGUCACAUUAUACACUCUUUGACGUUCUUGCCACCAUAGCUAAACUCUUGCUUUUGUUAAAAAGGUUACUGUGCUUAAACCUAAGUUCCAACCUCAACAUGAAGGUAUCAUAUUUUAGACAAAAUAAAGAAGAGAAAAAGAGAACGUCCACAAUUUAGACGAAAAAUGUUAAAUGGAAUUAGAGGACAAUAAAAGGAUUGGGAUCAGGUGUAAGACAAUACCAAAAUGAUCAUAAAUUUAGCUGCUUUAAAUUUGAAGGAAACCAUGGAGAGGCAAAGGCUCCCUCCAAUCGUGUAAGUAGCUCGCUUUAGGCACCAUGCAAAAGGUGGAUUGCUACUGUAAACAACAAACACCCGUGUCUGACUGAGUGCCCGUCAACUAUUGAGCUCCUAAAAUGUACUUCAAUUCAACCCACAUUUCUUUUGGAAAAACACAUUUAAAAUAACUGAACAAGACCUAGAAAGAAAUCAGACAAUAGGAAAUGUAAACGGGCUAUUGUGUCAUGAAACAACGGUGAGUUUCAUGGGUCUUCUCCCGUUUAACUAAAUCUUGGCUCCAAGCGGCAGUCAGGUCGCCAUGGAUCGGCACCUGCUGUUGACUCUAUUUGUGGAGCCAGGAUCCUAGUAUCACACUUCAUCGGAGAAUCCCCAGUUUGCAAACAAAACAACUAUCCAAUUUAAUAGUAGAGCAACUUCGGGAAUCAAGAAAGAAGAAAAUCUCCAGUACCUGAAAGAAUCGAGCACUCAGUUGACUGAUAAUUUCUUCUUCGUGGCAGCAGCACCCACCGAGGUAGCAAGAAAAUCAUUAUUCUUUGAUGCUACAUGUCAACUGUCAAAUGGUAAUUUCGCUCACUAUUAGCUACCCAAGUGAUCAGAUAAGAAAAAUAACAGUACCUCAAAAAGAUAAAGGUAUGAAGUAUUUACCUUGCUGCCAGAGUAUCUGCAUAAGAUCCAAUCGUGCAGACUGCAGCUGCAUUGGAUAUUACAAGACUGAUGGCAAAACAUGAAGGAUUCCUGAUGGAAAGACCAUCAGCUGUGAACAUUCUGGUAUAGAAUCUAAGUUAUGAAAGACAAUAAGGGAUGGGAAGCAAAGUGAGAGAAACAGGGGCACUUGAGUGUUGAGAUGAGGAGGCUGGAUGUUGCUCAAGAGCUUAAAGCAUAUGCUUUUAUAGAGUGGUAUCUCCAAAACCCUAAAAACACUUGGGCUUGUAAAAUUACUUAAAUAGACAAUGAUUUAACUUUAUUUACUCGACUCUUUUUUUUUUGGCAAUAUCACUAAAUUUUUACUUAAUACUAUAUUCAAUCCGCUUAUCAUGCGCGUGAGUAGGUAAAAGUUAUUUAUUAAUACUAUAUUAUACCUUAAAAUUUAGGUUAAGGCAAAAGUCUUUGAUUAAAUGAGAAAGAAAGGAAAACGAUUUCUGUACUAGGCAUCAUCUAAAUCAUACAUGCACUUUUUGUAUAUAUUUAUUAGGCAUGAUUUUUUGUUUUACUUAGUCAAGAUCUUUUACAUAUAUAUAUAUAUAUAAUUAAUUAAAAAAACUUAUAAUUUAAAAUAAAUAGUAGUUUGAUUAAAUAUAUCAAUAUAAGGAAAAAAUUAUGAUUACAAAUCUACUAUUAGUUAAAAAAAUUAACAUUAUUUGUUUUAAUAUCAUUAAUUUUAUCUUUUUUAGGUCAAUUACUAUUUAAGUGAUAAAGAAUUGAAAAUUUAAUAUAUGAAGUUACAAAUUCACAAUCAUAAUAAUAAUUAAUUCAGUAUAAAGCCAAAUAUUUUUUUUUUUUGUGAAAGUUUCAAAGUUAUAAUUUAAAUUGUUGACUAAUGUGUUAUUUAGUUGGUGUACUCAAUUAGUCACUUUGGUGGUGUGGAAGGCUUUAAGUCGUACGAGACGGUGUCGUAUUACCUUGCAAGUAGUUAAUCUUUCGUUGACAAUUAGAAUAGAAGUAGAACUAUUCAAGUUUGGUUGCCGAGAAAGACUUGACAAGAAAAUAAAGGUAGACGAAGAAAAAAAGGAAAAAAAAAAAGGUAUAACGAGACGCACCGUCUUAAUUCCUAGCUUCUUGGAAGCUUCUGCAUAAGGUUUAGGCAGCCAUCAACGUCUCCCUUUGAAUGAAAAUACUGUAGCUUUAAUAAUACGUUUACGCAGUUUUUAUUUGACUUUCCGAUCUCCAACUAUUUUCGCCAUUUUCUUCUCAACCAACUCGUACAAAAACCUCUACCAAAGCCACCAAAAACCCAGAUUCCAUUUUUAAUUUUAGUUUCCCACUUUUCUAUUCUCCAGCUUCAUAGUUUCUAUUAUACUUUCAAUUGAAAGAAGAUUGUUUCGAUCAGAACCAUGGAGGCAGCAUCUUUAUCUGGAGUUCUUUCCCACACCAACCUUUCUGGUUCCAACCUUAGGAAUUCUGAUUAUAGAUUUUCAAGGUGAGACUUUUGUCCCAGAAAUUUGGGAUUUUUAUCAAAUAUUUAUGUUUAUGAGUUAAUGUUAGAUCCCAACUUUUGUCUAGAAGGUACAAAGAUUUGCUUGGUGAACAAAAGAUGAAAUUUUUGGACCAAAAUGAUUCCCAAAUUUACGUCUUUGUCAAUUUCUUUUCUUUUCUUUGUUUUUCAGGUCGAUUCGUAGGGGCAGAUGUGUUGCCUCUGUCUCACGCCAUUCCUCUGAGGGAUCAAAUGAUGUUGAUAAACCUUCGUCUAAAGCCCUUGUCAUCUCAAGUUCUGACUCGAAUACUAAAAAUUACAGCGCUCUCAAAGGAUCCAAUCUCAGCGGUGGCUCAAAUCAGAAAAGGAAUCUGAACUUGCAAACGAAUUGUGCGGUGGGGUUUUGCACUUUUGGUGAAAAUGUUGUAGAAUCUCAUGCACAUGCUGCAGAGGAGAAGCUUGGGGUCCUGCUUUUGAAUCUUGGAGGGCCCGAGACUCUUAACGAUGUUCAACCGUUUCUGUAUAACUUGUUUGCUGAUCCUGUAUGUUAGAUUUCUUGGGCAUUUUUUAAUGUACUUUAUAUAACCAUUUUUGGGUUUUAAGGUUCAGUAGUGUGCUGAUGGUGAUAUUGUUUUUGUUGUAGGAUAUAAUACGGCUGCCUAGGCUGUUUAAGUUUCUUCAACGACCUUUGGCAAAGUUAAUUUCUGUUCUUCGGGCUCCCAAAAGUAAAGAAGGGUAUGCUGCCAUUGGUGGUGGCUCACCUUUGCGUAAAAUAACUGAUGAACAGGUAAAUUCCUUAAUUGUAGAAAUUGAAAUAUUACUUUGUGCUUGUGUUGUGUUAAAGUGAAUUUGUAUGGAUAUUUUUUUCAAUUGAACCAUGUUAAAUGUGUUAGACGCUUUUAAAAGUUGUCCUCAUGUUGAUGGUAAAACUUGUGGUUUGAAUGUUAUUAUUGUAUUUAUAGCCUGAAGAAUUUGCUGCAGGCGGAUGCUCUUAGAAUGGCUUUGGAGGCAAAGAAUGUAUGUGCCAAUAUAUAUGUUGGAAUGCGAUAUUGGUACCCAUUCACUGAGGAGGCAAUUGAGCAGGUGGGUCUUCUAAUAGUCAAACAAAUUUGUGUGGGUUUUAAGUUUCUUCAUAUAUCGUUGGUGAAGUUAUGAACUUGUGUGAUACCAUAUCGAGGAGUUGCUAUUUUUGUUUAGGUGAUAUUAAGAGUUUAUUGUUAAGUGCAUCAAAUCCUUACAGAAGGGAUAAAUAUAGGGAGUUGGAAGAAAAAUAAAGACUUCCCAUGCCUUCCUGCAAGUUCUCCUUUUAUAUGACUUGAAAUUAUAUCUUAUAUUUUAAUAAGGAAUUAUCUGUUUAACAUUGAAUUAUCUAUCUUCAAAGUACGUUGAGUCUACGUUGCUAAGCAUUUACGUUAUGCUACAGAUUAAGCGGGACAGGAUAACAAAACUUGUUGUGCUGCCACUAUAUCCUCAGUUCUCCAUCUCCACAACUGGAUCAAGCGUCCGAGUUCUCCAGAGUAUAUUCAGGUGGGUGUUUGAUAAUUUGUGCUGCACCUUAUCUGCUUGAAAUCAUCUAUAACACCCCUUAGGAAAUGGCUCUGAAUGUGAGUUAUAUUUCAGGGAAGAUGCAUAUCUAUCAAGACUACCUGUUUCUGUCAUUCUUUCAUGGUAUCAACGACAAGGUUAUAUUAGGUCUAUGGCUGACUUGAUUGAGAAAGAGUUGGGGAGAUUUCCAAAGCCUGAAGAGGUUUGUUUGGUUGCUGCUUAUACUACUUGUGUGUACAUUUUUAAGCAUAAAGUCAGAAGUUGAUAUGUCGAACUUGUGGUCUUUUGAGAUUGACUUCAUUACAACUCUUUCUAAUAUUCUUCUGAACUUCAGGUCAUGAUAUUCUUUAGUGCUCAUGGGGUGCCCGUCAGUUAUGUUGAGGAUGCUGGAGAUCCGUACAAAGAUCAAAUGGAGGAGUGCAUCUGCUUAAUUAUGCAAGAGUUGAAAGCUAGAGGAAUUGGAAAUGAUCAUAAACUUGCUUACCAGGUUGGUUUUAGAACUCAAGUUUCUGCUUUCACUUGAAAAAUGAAAAACUGUUAUGCUCAACUUCUUCUUCAUGCUAUUCCUCUAGAGUCGAGUUGGGCCUGUGCAAUGGCUGAAGCCCUACACUGAUGAAGUUCUUGUUGAGCUUGGCCAGAAAGGUGUGAAGAGUCUUCUAGCUGUUCCCAUAAGGUACAUGACUCUUAGUUUUAAGUAGCUGUUCUUGAUGUGUGCUUUGAAAUGCCAGAUUAUGAACUGAAAACUAAUUCUACUUCCAUCCAAAAUUGUAGCUUUGUAAGUGAGCACAUAGAGACUCUUGAAGAGAUUGACAUGGAAUAUAAGGACUUAGCUCUUGAAUCUGGUAUCGAGAAUUGGGGUCGUGUGCCUGCUCUUGGUUGCACCUCUUCAUUCAUCACAGAUCUAGCAGAUGCUGUAGUUGAAGCUCUACCAUCAGCAAAAGCCAUGUCAACCUCAAGGGACACCGCUGAAGAAGCUGAAUAUGACCCCUUGAACUACCUUGUCAAACUGUUCCGCGGUUCAAUCUUGGCAUUCAUUUUGCUAUUGACACCAAAGGUGUUACUUGCAUUUAGAAACCAUCUCUUUUAAUGAUGAUUAAAGAAAGCUAACGUUCAUAGAGAAGACAGAGUUAUAUAUAUUAAAGGAGUUGUCCUCCAUUUAGACCUGAAUCUUAGAGACUUGUUUGGGGAUGUGCCCCAAUUCCGGCAUAUAGAAAGCAAAGAUGGGAUUUUUGCAUAAGUGUAACCUUUUGGAACCAAGAUUUUUUUUUUUCUUGGUGGUUUUGCUUAAGUGUAACCAGGGAUAUUUGCUUCCAGUGAAAUAAUAAACUUAAAAUGCAUACUUCGUCGCUGUCGAUUGUUCUAUUUUUGGUCACUAUGAGGCUCGGUGAGAAUGCCUUUGAAAGAUGUUCAAUUCCCGAGAAUUCCUGUUCUUUUUUCUUGUAACUUCCCCAAUGCUUUCUACAGGCUGUUACCUUGUAGCAGAAUUCCUACUUAUUUUUGGUUGAAUCAAAAAAAAAUCAUUAAUCUCAAAAGAGAAACUAUCCAAAUGUUAGCAACAGUUUGGGUUUUAAACACAUUAUCAUAAUCAUUGCAUGAAAUAAACGAAAGAAUUCCGAAGAGUUACCAAAUUAAGUCCUUGAUUACAACCAGCAAAAUGUAAAACUUGGUAUGCUUCAAUGCUUCGUUCACGCUAGCAGACUCAGCAUGAGGAAAGAGGACUUCAUAUUUAUUCUCAAAGAGGUGCAGAUAAGGCUGUUUACAGCCACAUGUUUUAGAUAUAUCUGCCACUAUCCUCGAGAGAAAGAUAUAUCCGGUAUUAUUUUUAUUUAAAAAAGCCCAAGUAGAUUAAGCCUAUAAAGAGUGUGAUUCAGGACGAUUACUCAAGUCUGUAACAUCUUUUAUGCUGGAUAUUAGUAGGGAAAUUAACAGCCAAAAUGCCUGGUUACUCUCAGCAACCUCUUCCUUAAUAGGAAUACCUUCAAUUGAUAGAAUUGCAAUAGAGAAUGGUGUACCUUUUUUGUGCAAGCAGGAAAAUGGAAUUAGAGAUAUGUUGAUACGAAUGGGUUGUUGCUAAUCAAGUUUAAUUUUUCUUGCAGAACGGCAACUUGUAUGUUAUGAUGACAAAAAGAUCUUGAAAAAAUAUAUAUAUGGUGAAAGCUUUGAUCAGUUCAAAUUCAGAAGCUGUUCUUGUUGAAUCACUUAAACAUAGUAACCAGUUAAGGUGAAUCCUCGACCAACAAUCUCUCCAGCGCAGAACCAGGCAAAACACUCUAACCCAAAUAGAGCAGCAAUGCCAGCAUCCUCAAUCUUCAAUUCCUUCCUGUUCUUCCACAUAUGCUUGGCAUAAUCCAUCUCCUUCCAGAAUGUCUCAUAGCGGCCGGGAAUACUGCCUCAAAUUCAGAAGAUUAACUCAGUGGGAGGGUAGAAAAGUUUGACUGAUGCAGAUAAUAGCCAAAGAGGUAAUGCAUUUCUAGAAAAAGAAAACAAAAUCACAAUCAAACAACAUUAGGCCUUCUUACUUGUAGAUGUUUCCAAUGUCAGCAAUAGCAAAUGACUAAAAGACUAGAAGGGAGAACUGAUGAUAACAGAAGUAACAAAUUCAAUGGAUCAGCAUGAAGGUUUGAUCAACGCAGGGAGCAUGAUGGCAGCUGACAGAUGUUCAAGGAAGAGGGAAAAAGGAAUAUAUGAUGUAGGGAGAAGUCUAGGCUGGCAUUUAAUACUAAAAUGCAGCCCACGCCUUUUAUUUCAACCCGCUGCCAUGCUUGAGCAUAACAUGAUUGUUGUAGGAGAGGUUGCGAGAGUCGCAAUGCAAUGACUAGAAACAAGGACAGGGGCCCUCUCCCUUUCCCUUUAACUCGACACCCAUCACUACCAGCAUAAGCUUCCUGCUCAGACCUUUUACUUUUCAGCCAUCAUAUCCAUGUCAAUACAAAUAACACAAAAGAUUAACAAAAGAAAAUCACCGCAAGUCACAGCAUAGAUUCAUUUGAGUCUGAAACCUUUGAGAUUACCCUAAAAUGCUGAAAGGAAAAGCAGAAGAACGAAUGGGGUAAAAGGGGUAACCUGGCUAGACGAGUGUAAAACAAUUGCUUUGACAAAAGGUUACAUUUCUCAACCGUAGGUGGCUCUUGAAUGUAGUGCUUAUUCUGCUCCAGUAGCUGCUUGUAGUAGGCAGAACCAUGCUUUGCUACAAAUUGGGAUGCCUGAGUUGCCUUGGACUGCAACUGAGCUAACUUCGGUGCCAACCCCAUCGGCUUCACAAACAAACAAAACCACCAGGAUAGAAUCGUAAUACGUUAGAUAAACAGAAAUUUCAUCAGAAAUCAGCCAAAAAAGUUUCAACUCGGCAGACUUGUUUGGGCAAUUUGUCCAUUUUCCAUCAAAUAAUCCCAGAAUUACGAGCUCUUGAAUUCAUAAUACUAUACCUUAAUUCCCACGCUAUUGAUCUAAAUAUCAAUUUUAAAAACACAAGAGAAUCGAUUAGAAAGGAUCAAACAGAAAAAGAAACGUUUACUUAAGCAGCAUUAAAGUAAUUAAUCCCACUGAAGUCCAAAUUCACUGGAAAAAAGAGAGAGGGGGAUGAAAAGAAAAAGUACAACAUGUUGUGGAAAACAAUAAGAGCUCCAUUGCAGAAUCCAAGAAUAAACCGAAUCGAUAAGCCAAAAACCAGAUUUCUAAAAGUUUCAAAGAAUUAGUAAGAGUCAACAACAUUUGACGAUAUAUGGUAAGUUUGGAGAGCUAAAGAUGCAGAGUUGGAUAAGUAAAAUAAGGAAAGAUGAAGAGAAAAAUGCAGCAUUACAAUCUGAGGGAACGAACCUACCUAUAUCUGUUUUUGGCGAUAGGAGAGAGAGAAGGAGCGGUACAGAGCAGAGGGAGAAGUAGGGUUUUAUUUCCUCGUGUAAUAUUUAUAUAUCCUGGUAAUUUUUGCUUAUGUUCCGCUGCGGUGAGUCCUCGUCAGUAUCCUGCACUGAAUGCAAAUAAUCUUACCAUGUGUCCAGAAGGAUUCAAAUAUACGAGACACAUUAUUUAUUAUUAUUAUUAUUAUUAUUAUUUGACAACUUCAAAUUUCAACUACAAAGGGAAUAACAUACGUAACAACGUAUUUAGAAUCUACUCUCUUUUUUUUGGCCGCAGUUUUUUUGAUUUUACAAUAUUAUCACUUUUACUACCAGUUAAUUUUUUUCAAUUUUGAAUUAAAGAGUACCAUUAGCAUAUAUUGAUAUAUAUAUAUAUAUAAUCCGGUUUAGAAGACCCAAGAACAUGAUCUAACCAUUUUUGCAUUGGUUGACUUCACGAGUUGACACAGGACAGCCAGUAUCCGGAUGAUCUCAAUUGAAGAUGGUCAUGGAUUAUUACCAUGAGCAUUAACUCCUACAACAUAAGUUGUUCAACCUUUUCUCUUUUUCUUUUUUUCUUUUUUUUUUUUUUGUGCUAGACAUUUCCCGCAUGGUGAUUAUUACCCUAUUGCACGAGUGUCAUACUCAAGUAUUAACUAUCACAACCAUUGUUCUGGUUAGGUCAGGCUGAACCCAUUUGCCGACAAGAAUGCAACUACUUUUGGACUGAAUUUACAAAAACGUAUGUUUACAGCUCACAGCCAAAAUGCUGAAAAUCCUUCGUUCCCCAGCAACAACAGGAAUCGGCUUAUGAUCCAGCCUUCAAAAAAGGAAAUCGAAUACAGUAGCACUUGCAACCUUUAACAAGGUCAACUAGGAGAUAAAUGUAGCUUCCGCCUUCUGUAAUAUGACAACUUCCCUGGGUUUAGACAACCGUACCAAUGCCCCUCAAUAUUAAGUGAUUUUGACAUUCUUCAGGAAUAUACAUACAUACAUAUAUAUAUAUAUAUAUAUAUAUAUAUAUAUAUAUAACUUGAACAAAACGAGAUGAUAAUAACAUUAGAAAAUCAGUAUUUAGAAUAGGCAAGUAUAAACCUUCGACCAUAGCAUAAAGCGGGAAAAUUAAAGCAUCCAAAACCACUGCCUCAUAAUAUUGAAGUAAAACACUAGCACUGUCUUUGAAUACUGCCAAAACUAACUUGACCUAAUUGAAAUACAAUAAACCAUCUGCAUCAACAGUACCAAAAUAUAAAUGUCUUCAACAAACUCACCACAAAUCAACUUUGGGGUGAUGCCUUGGCAACUCCACUUUGUUGAACAGUUUGAGAGGCUGUUGGUGCUGCAUCAUACGUCCCACGAGUGCUCCCACUUGCAUUGCUGUCAGCAGGAUAUGCUGGAGGCUGUGAGUAACUACCACCAUAAGAGGUGUUAUAUGGUGGUGCUCCAUAACCAGGCUGGCUGGCUGGUGCUGCUCCAUAAGGUGGUGCUCCAUAUCCUGGCUGCGCGGGUGCAGCACCAUAACUAGAUGAUUGAGCACGUUGUGAACCUGAUUCUGGUUGAGCAUAGCCAGAUGGCGGUGGCUGUGAAUGAUAUCCUGGCUGGCCAUAGCUUCCUGGGGUGCUAGGCGACUGCUGCGUCUGCCCAUAGACAGGGGGAUUGGCCAAAGGUUUCUGUGCUUGUGGUGGUCCAUAUCCAGGCCCAUAGCCAGACUGAGCUGGUGGUUGACUCCCAUAGCCAGCCUGGGAAGUUGGAGGCACUCCAUAACCAGGUUGAGUACUUCCUUGAGGUGGAUAACUUCCAGGAUUUUGGCUAGGCUGCUGACUAGUAUUGUACCCUUGCUGGCCCAUCGCAGAUGGUUGGGUAGAUGUAGGUGCUUGACCUGAAUCCCCUUGACCACCAUAGGAGGGUGUGUGACCCUCUUGAGUUGGGUUCGUUGCAUUACCAUAGCUAUGUGCAGACCCAUAACCUUGUUGUUGAUCAUAUGAUGAUGGUUGUCCAUAACCUGAUUGCGGAGGUGCAGGGUAUCCACCAUAGCCAUCCUGAGGAUAACCUUGUCCUGGUUGCAUGUAGCUAGAAGCUGGUGGUUGACUGUAAUUGUAACCACUGUUAUCAGCUGGAGCUGCUGAACCACCAGGGGUUUGCUGCUGCUGUGAAGAAGGCUGUUGAUUAUAGUAAUCAUAACCACCUGCUGCAGAGCUUUGCUGGUUUGGUGGUACAGCUGACUGGUCCCAACCAGAGGCAUAGCUGCCAGAUGUUGGUUGCGAAGGAUAGCCCCCAUAAGGCGGCUGAGACAUGUUAUACUGAGGUGAUGGGCCAGGAUAUGCCCCAGGCUGCAUAUAACCAUAACCAGGUUGCUGCAUUGGAGGAGCCCCUUGGCCCCAGCUUGUAGGCGGUCGUGCUUGGUAACCUUGCUGUGUAUAGCCUCCAGCCAUUGCUGGAUUUCUCAGACGAUUCUGCACAAAAUUGUUCCCUCAAAUAACCAAAGUGGACUUUCCAAUGACGCUGGCACAUAAACACAUACAGCAAAACAGAAUAUGCAUCUACACAAAUAGGCAUAUACAAAAACUGAAUAGCAAUUAUCAAAAUCAGUAUGUCCACAGUGGCAUUAACGGAGUUUGUACUGUAGUACGAAGGUUAUAAAUGCCUACAUACCGUAUGGUCGGAGGGAUUAUUGAGUUUACUCCAGCAGAAGCCCAUCCUCUCCCUAUUUGAAGUGAAUGGGUGCAAAAAGAAAAAAAAAUAUAGAACCCCACAAAUACUAAUAGAACCUUUUACAUCAAAGCACAAGGAACCAUGAACCCCAUUGCCAACAGGCAAGAAACUCAUAGUUAAAAGCAUACUAUAUAUCAUCUAUCCAACAAUCCAAUUGAUGCAUUUAACACACAGAAGCAUCAAAUAAGGAAUGACAAUAUCCUAGAAGAUCAAUCAACAUGCAUUAAGCAAAUGAUAUCUCUUAGAACAGACCUAAAUUUCUCUAAACAAAAGAAAGGAAAAAAUGAAUUGUAGAUCUAACACUUAUACAAGAUUGAUUAUCUGCAUUUAGAAAAGAUAAUUGACUUGUAUCACCAAAAUAAAGGAUUUUGCUUAACAUAUGAACCCUAACCGCAUAGGGCAAACAUCUGAUAAGAAAUACCAUAGACCAGAGCUAACCUAAUCAUAGACAAAAGUUUUCUGGAAUAAAUUCAAUCUAAAUUACAACUUUCAAUAAAACAACUUCAACACAAGAAUAAAAAAGAUAUGCAAGACAAAACAAAAUUACAUCAAAUAUGUAUCCUCAUACUUGAGGCUUUCCGAAAAAGAACAUGCAACUCGACCAAUGAACAAAGUGAAAUCCAUAAAGAAUAAAACUCGUUAAGUUAAUGUUUAAAAAAAAAAAUCCCACAACAUGUUACUGAUAAAAAUACAAGCUUAAAGAUUGCUUAAAGAUGACAUUUAGAAAUACAGGAAAGCUCAAAUACUAACGCAGUCAAAAACAAUCUUUAAGCAACUAAAAAAAAUUUAAUUUACAAGGCUGGAAGAAAAGACAUCUCAGUAUGAAAUAUCCACAAAUUUAGAAUUAUGUAAAUUUGUCAACAACCAGCCAACACUAUUAAAUGAUGGUGACAGAAAAAAUCAGGGGCAAUGUAAGGAAGAAAAAUUGGACUGAAUGGUUUAAGCAUUCAAAUAAUAAACCAAAUUAAGAACCAAAAGCUAUACCAUCCUUGUUUAACCAAAAGAGAAGAUUAAUAGAAAUAGGAACAUUCUUGUGAUACACGUUAAAAUGAACAAAUCCUGUGGUGCCAGAAUGAUAAAAGAAUCUAGUAUUUAGCAAUCUUAUAUAUCCAACAAUAACUUUCAGCCUCUCUCCAGUAUAAGAUUACUAAAUAUCAGAAAUAGGAUCUGAAACCAUACCAGGGCAAUGCAGAGGAAACACCAACAGAAAGAAAUCAAUGUUGGUGUCACCAAUUGUCCAACAGACUAAUCCUACAAUAGUUCCCAAUGACAAUAUCAGUCUCAUCAUUUACAAUUAAUAAGCACAUUCGGUGGCUAAACAUGCCUAAUCCCAACGACAAUAUCAGUCUCAUCAUUUACAAUUAAUAAGCACAGUUGGUAGCUAAACAUGCCUAAUCCCAACAAGUCACUUAGCCAUAAAACCAAAGAACGACGAAAUUCGACUUCUAUCACCAGAAUGAAGGAAGUCCUUGUUUAUACUUUAUACCACAAUAUCCUAACAUAAAAUGAGUGGGUAAGACCUGCCUUGCAAACUAAGCAUCAAAAUAUCAAGCACAAAACUUAAGGAAAACUAGAGGGCAAUAACCAUCACUCUUCACAAAACUUUGGCAAUUGAAACUAUCAAGUUUGACCUCUGUCCAAUUCCCAACACACAAUUUACCUUAAUUAAUACAUAAGAAACCGACUGCAGAUAGAGACCUUGACAGUUUGAACUUAACAUGUAAAAGUAUUAACUCCACCCACAAGAUUUCGAGAGGAUACCAAGCAGUGCAAAUUACCACGUUAUCCAGCUCCUAAUGACACUAGAACCAGAAAAUUUUGAUACAAAAUAGCCAUGAAUCUCUUACAAAGUAGAGGAGCUGCUCAUCUUGCACUGGUCAUUUUGACACAUACAAAACAGCUGUCAUAGCGACAAGGAUCACCAGCAAAAGAUGUCUGCAACUCUCAAGAUUUUACAAGUGCAACAAACGGAAGAAAAGAAAUCGAUGAUAAUAUAAAAUCCAAUCUAUAUCUCAAAGUGACUGAAUAACUACAUCAAGAAAUGAGGAUGCAAAAGCAAGUCUAGGAAAAAUUAUUCAGCACAAUACUUAGCAGAAAAAUUAUAACCUGAGUGGGAAAAUCAUCUACUUCCUCAACAGGUAUAUGGAAGUAUAAGAAAAUGUAAGAAUUUGUUAGAUAAAAAGAGAGACUUCCAGAACAUUGACCAGAGACAACAAUUGACAGAUCAUAAUGACACAAUAUCUAUGUAGGAAGAAAUAAACACAAAAUAAAGUAGCAAUUUAGUCCCUACUUUACCCAAAUGAACAAAACUGUUUUUAACCUGCAAUUGAGAAUAUAAGAAUACCUCUAGAAAAUCUGAACAAGGAAAUUUCUUAAGCAAUGUUAAUGAGAUGUCUCAAUAAAACUAAAAUUUUGAAGAGUCCAAUCUUUACUAAUGUUGUACAGACUAGAGUGAUGCUCCAGAAGAUCACCUAAAAUCAACAUUCAGAAUAGAACUAAACAGGUCCUACAGGAGUAGGCAUACAAAAUAAAGGUACAAAACAAUCACAAGCGAUUCAUGUAAAAAACUAGAGACAGAAAUAGGUUAAACUGAAGAAAAGCUUUCCUCCCAACAUUCACAUCCAAACAUACCUCGCUUAUGACCUCAUCAACCAAUUCUCUAGCAUUUUUAAUCUGUUCACUUGUCCCAUCUAUGUGUAAUGACCUUUCUGUUGAUGGAUCACCAGGAGGCAAGUGCAAUGGUAUCACCUGCACCAGAUUAAAAGAGAUACUGUUGUCAGAAACCGUAGUUGUAGAUGCAACUACUGCAAGAUUUAAAAGACCAUAUCGAAGAAACUGAUUAAAAAAUGAAUCUGGUCCUAAGGUAGCUGUUUUACAAUUCAAACAAAUACAUUAAUUGUCAGCGAAUAUGAAGCUAAAGCAACAAUAGAGGACUUCCAAAUAAGAAUGACACUUAAGAUUCAAACCUGAAUACGAGCUCCAGUUCUGGCUUGCAUAUUUUUAAUUGUUUCACCACCUUUACCAAUCACCAGACCAACCUGAAAUCAUGCUCACAUUACAUAUUAUCUUGAACCAAAGUCAAUGAACAAAGUUGACUAAUGCUUUUACACUGGUCUACCUUGUUAUUUGGAAUCUUCAUUUCAAAAUGUUCACUUCCAGCUUGUCCUGUCAAUCUUCGAGAAACUAUGCCAGAGCCCCCUGCUUCAGCCUGGCCAGAGCAUUAAUUGGUAUAAUCAUAUUUCAUACUUACUAUAACUAAUAUUGCAAGACUCCAAAAUGAUAAAAUUAGAUUAAUAUUCUGCAUAAAGGCAAUGCAUCAAUUUCACAUAAAUAGAAGGGCGGGAUGAAUUACCUCAGCAAGAACAUCGUUUAUCAACUGCUCUGCCUUGGCAAUUUGUUCAGCAGUACCCAUGAGCUCUACAGGCCUAGUCACAGAAUUUGGGUCUGCAUCCAUAUCUCGCUGAACCUGAAUCUUUGCCCCAGAUUGUAGUUGAAGAUAUUUGAUGGUUUCUCCGGCUUUCCCAAUUAUAACACCAACCCUGAUUUGUGGAAUGUCAAUCUUUUUGCUAGUACCAUGGUAGCUACCAUAAGAAACUGGUAUAGAUGAAGGAGCAGAGUUCGACAUAGGCUUCAUAUCUGUAUUCAUUAAAGCUAUUCAUUACGCUUUGCGUCAACUUUCAAAAAUCAGAUCUACAAUUUAGCAUCUUGCAAACAGCAGCAACCAAAAGAUUGUAUUCAAAAGUUCGAAACCGUAAAUACAAAACCCUAGAUGCAACAAUCUACUCAAAACACUGAAAGCAUUUACUAUCAAAGAACACGUGUCACAGGCAGGAAAAAUGAAGAAAGAAAGAGAGACAAUACCAGGAGGUGCGGAGCUAAAUCCCUUGUCGUUAUCAAAACCACCUCCAGAGCCGUUUUCGACGCGAGGGCGCUUGGCCUCAGCGCCGGCGGAUGCAGCAGAGAGAGUAAGGCGAGCAGCAAUCUCUUGAGCUCGCUGCUUGGCCAUCUCGAUGCCGUCAAGCGGUGGCGGGACGCUGUUGUAAGAAGGAGGAGCCGAAUCUGGGGAGGAAAACCCUGUCGGCCUCCUGCCACCGGAAGAAGGCGGCGUCUGGUCAUCGUAUUUGCGCUUGUUGCUGCCGGCGUCUGGACCUGAAGAGUACUGCGCUUCGUCUGUCAUUGUGCGAGAGACCAAAAGACAGACAGCGAGAGAGAAACCCUAGAGGGAUAGAGAGAGAGAGGAGGGUGUGGGACGAAUAGCUAAGAAAUAAAAUCACGUGGGGUAUUUUAUUUAUUUAUAUAUGUCGUGAGUUUAAAUUGCUUUUUUUUUUCUUUUUUUUUUGGGUUCCCUUUGUUGUGCAUGUGAAUUGGAUUUUUAUUCUAUUUUCGGCUUUAGAAUUCGAUCUUUUUGGUUUACAUACGGUAAAAAGCAUCUACUGCUUUUAACUAAACGGGAGGAGUGGUUUGCUUAUAGACUUCUGCUUACGGUCAAGUUCUCAUUUUUAGUAGCUUUUUCAUAUUAUUUUAGCCAUGGUCAACGUCAAGAUAUAACUCAUUUUAAAGUAAAUUUAAUUAAAAAAAAUCCACUGCCCUCCGUGGGUAAAUUAUGAUGAUUGAUAGAUACUAUAAAGCAUGACGAGUUAUUAAUAACACAAGCUAUGUUAUAAUAACUCCAUUUUGAUUGGUCGGAAUAAUUUACAAUUGUAUUUAAUUACCAAGAAAAGUUCCUUGGUCCAAAAAAUUAUCUUAGUUCUCUGUCCCACCCAAUGAGCCCAAUUCGCCAUAUCUUUGAGCUAAAAACCACCUUUGAGUAAUAUGUUUCUAUAUUAUGUUUUACAUUAUUGUUAUUGAUAUAGCAAGUGAAGUCUCUCAGUCUCAGACCUGGCAAACUACUGUAAUCAACAUGCACAAACUUGACUGCACGAGUCAAGUCCCCCAACCCAGAUUUCCAACUUACCAUGGCAAUGGAAAACCCAAAUCCUGCCCUUAGAAAUUCAUCCCAUAGGCAUAAGGGCAUUGACGAUCACCAUUAUGUUGACAGACUGUUCCGGAUAUGAAUAAAAUACUCCUCAGAACUGCCUUCGAAGUUCAAACCAUCAAAUCGAGAUACCACAGAAAAAAAAAAACAAUGAAUUUAUUCAUACCCUUGUAAAACGACAAAAUAAACAUCCUUAGAACAACAGCACAGGUAGGUAAAAAGAAAACUAAAGCCGGUGCAAAUUGAAAUUCCAAGUAAUACAGGAAGUACAAUCACCAUACAUGUAACCGAAACUUGAUUUGUAAAGCUCAUGGACUUUAUGUUCAAAACCAUUUUAAUAAUCUAUCUCUACAUGGCAUUUCACCAGCGAACUGAUUUAUUUUACCUUAACACUGCACCCAAAAUAGCCCAGGAGCAACUUGUGAUAUCCUUACUUGUUCCACCAAUGGAGGAAAUCCUUGCGCCUGUUGAUCUUUUUCUGCAACUGAAGAACUCCAUAUAGUAGAGCCUCAGCAGUGGGUGGGCAACCAGGUACGUAGAUGUCAACAGGGACAAUUCUAUCACAACCUCUAACAACAGAGUAUGAGUAAUGAUAGUAUCCACCACCAUUCGCACAACUUCCCAUAGAAAUGACCCACCUAGGCUCCGGCAUUUGGUCAUAAACCCUGCAAAAAUUCAACAUGAAGGUAAAAUUACCAAACCUCGAGCAAAUUUCUACAACUGUAGUACAGAAGGAAGAAGAAGAAGAUAGCCAAUGACUUGGUUCUUUGCCAAGUCAUUCACACAAAUUCCAUGGAAUCCCUUCUCUCAAACAAAAAAUUUAGAGAAUCCCUCAAGCCUAGAGUAACAAAAUUCAAAAUGAAGAAGAUGCUAUACAUCAUCAAGAAAAUAAAGAAUGGCAACAAAAUUUGGGGAAUGCUACUAAAAAUUGUAAAACUUGGCAAAGAGUAUGAAACCACCAGCAGAGGUAAAACUUUAAGGUUGCAUCUAUUUGCACGACUCUGAGAAAUAAAUCUAAAUGUCAAAUCACCAUUGAAACACCAAACAUUUUUAUGCACAUCGCACUCCAAAUUCACCAUCAUAACAUAGCCUAUAGCCCUAAUCCACGCAAAUAAUCCAAUUAAGCCAGCUUCAGCAGACCCUUAUCAGACUGUAUAACAAGCAAAACAAGCCAGCUCAGCCUAGGUUGGGUAGUUUUCUAUAUGUAGAUGCCAUAAACCAGUUACACAAAUGUCAAGUUGAACAACCAUCGACAUAUAGUAAUAUGUUACUAGUUCUGAUUAUAGGUUAUUGACCAAAAACCUAAUUACUAACUUACCAAGCCAGAUCACACAAACUUAUCCAGGACCAUUCCAGCUAGACCUAAGUUGAGCUCCAGGUUGACAGCUGUAAAAUCCAUGUUCAGCCAACCAAGCUAAGGCCUUGAAAGAUUACAGAUAGCAAAAUCUUGUUCCAUAGUUUUUUAUCUUCAUAUCUCUUCAACAAUUCCGCCAAAAUCAGGAAGAAACAAAAGACAAAUUGAAAGUUGAUUUAACCUUCUUUAGGGAUGCACCAAUCACAAUGCCUCAUACAAGGGAGCACGGAAAAAUCAUUUUGUUACACUGAACGAGAAACAACCUCGGGUAGCUUUCACCUUUCAGAUCAUUUACUUUAGCUACCCUAUUCCCCAAACAAAAAUCCGUAAAUUUCACAGAAAUUGUCAUCUUCAUUAUUUGAAAUAUGCUCCCAACUUAUAUAAAAGCAAAGAUCCUACAGCAUUACAGGAAUUCAGUCACAAAUCAAAUGAUAAUUUUAAUCCUAUAAGAAAAAAAAAGAUUUUCUAAAUAAUCCUUGACACAAAGCAAAUAGAGGAUUUAGGAAUUCAAUUUUGCAACUAUGCCUAUCGUUAAUUCAAACCUAGCAUAGCUAAAAAGAAUGUUGGGACUGCCAAAAUUCACAUUCUCAUUCGCCCCAAAAUUUAAAUAUAAAGAUAAAUAAAGGAGUAUUAAAUUAGUAUAAAAUAAAACCCUAAGAAAUGAGAUUAAAACAUAGUAUAAAAUAAAACCCUAAGAAAUGAGAUUAAAACAUACUUGCGGAGAGCAGGGGCCAUUUUGUUUGUGAGAGUGCCAGCGACAAUCAUGCAAUCGGAUUGGCGAGGGCUAGGCCUGAAAAUGAUACCGAAGCGAUCGAAAUCAUAGCGAGCGGCACCGGUGUGCAUCAUUUCAACAGCACAGCAAGCGAGGCCGAAGGUCAUAGGCCAGAUGGACCCACGACGGGCCCAGUUCAUGAGGUCAUCGACCUUUGAGAUCACAUAUUCGGCAGUCUUGGAGAGCCCAGCGGGAGGGCCGGACGUGGAGGGAGGAGAAGGACGAGCGUAAGUGGUGGGGAAGGAGGAGGAGGAGAGAGAAGGAAGGGUGGUGUGCAGAGAGAGAGCCCGCUGUGCGGAGAGGAGGUGUGGGAGGCGAUUGGCGGUGUUUCGGCUGAUGAGAGCCAUGGCUCGGUGGUUUCUGUGAAGAGAGAGAAAUGACCUUUCCCUUUGGAGAUGGCGAGAGAUUUGGAAGUAUUGAUUCGGUGAGGACUCCCAGACUAUUGGUUAUGCGCCAUGGAGUUAUUAACUGGGUUCAUUUUGGAGAUGACAGAUCUGUACGGGCCUUGUAAAAUAACUCAGAAAGGAAUGAGUUGGAUUUUUUUUUAAAAAAAAUCUUCUAAUUAAAUUACGUGUAUAUAUUUAAUUUUGAUUUAUAAAAAAUUAUUAAUUUAUAUAUUAAAUAAAAUAUAUUUUUUGAAUAUAUUAUUUUAUAAAUUUAAUAAAUUAUUAAUUUAUUAAGUCGAUUACAACAGAAAGGAUAAUACUAACUAUAUGCAUUUGAUUAAAUACAGGCAACUAGUCUCAGAUAUUUCUUUAAUUUGUGAUCAUAAAAAGCUUUGAUUGAUAGUUUUUUGUUAAAUUAAUUGAUUGACCUAAUAAUCACGCAGGCCAAAUUUCGAGGGUAUUAUUUUGCCUCUUUUGUCAUUUCAUUUCCAUUAGAAAUGAAGUACAAUUGGCUCUUCCACUACAAAAAUCUAGGGAAUACUUGUAUAAAUAGAUUUGGUAUUAAUUUAACGCAAGUUACUAUCAAAGUAUAAAGUAAUAAUAAUAAAAAUAAUGGAGGGUCAGAAGAUUGAUUUAAAGGAGGGGUUCUACUUCAUCCCAAAACCAACACAAGGGAAUUCUGUGGAGGAGGAGGAGAAAGAAUAGUUAGAAAUUAAAUAACAAUAAUCGUAAUGGAAUAUAACAAGUAUUAAUCUAAAGUUGAAAAUGGUACAAGAUUAAAGCACAAGGCCUCAGAGCUGCCUGUAUCAAUGAGAAUUGAUGCACCACAUAAGUCCUUUUCCCUCAGAUUUUUGGUUAAGAUCCCAUCAGUCUCAAACCCAGCAACAUUGCAGCCCAAUUAGAAGCGAGUUUGUUUUCAGUAGUUGGGAGUGCUAUCAUCAUACUUUUUCUUCGACCUAAACAAAACCAAAAUAGGGAGAGCACUGUGUCUAUCCCUACAAAGAAUAUUAAAUCAGGGGGCAUGACCUGCCUGGAAGCAUUAAAGUCAAUGUACUACGUUGACAAAUCAACAACAGCAACAUUGAACCCUGGUGUUGGAAGACAUGAUAGAAUUUCAAUGAACCACCCAGAGUCUGGUAAAUUGGUGCAGCUUCCGCAUCAUUAAUUAGGGAACAAGGCAAAGCAAAUCUCUCCAAAAGCAAGCGAGAAAAGCUUUGCCCAGCAAAAUAAUCACGAGCCUUGUCGGAUCAUCUUCAUGCAUAAUACAUGUAAAGACUAUUUGAUGCAGCGCAUGCGAGAGAGUUUUCAGUUGGAUGCCAUGCUAGGUGUAGCAACUUUGUUGUGAAAUCAAAAGCAUUUCCAUUUGCAUCAACUCCCGAGUUAUCUGCUCCUUUUACUGAAAGUGGAAACAAAGAGAUGCAUAGAGACAUAAAUGUUAAAUGAACCUCAAGCAACCGUACAAAAGCAGAAAAAAUAUAUACUUUCCAUGAAUCAAUAAUUGUUCAAAAACUAGUUACCUUAGAAAAAGGUUUUAAGCCUAAUUCACUAAUAUCACAGCCCAGUGAUUAAAAGAAGUCAUUAUGCAAAAAUAAAGGAAAAGAAAUUAAACUGAUGGAACACAAUCCAGAUAUCUGGACUUUGUACGAAGGGUGUGAAACAAAUACCACGUCUGACAACACCAGAGAGGCUACCAAGAGAUCUUGAAGGCCUUGAUGAUGUCUGAAUUUGUCUCCUGUAAAUUCAUUAUAUAAAUUACAAAGUGAAUCUCUGACAAUAUAUAAGACAUUCCUUUUGAUUCAAGACUUCACAAACCAAGAAAAGUAAAACAAGUCCCUCUAACAGCUACUCACAUCAUUAUAUCUACAAUAGCCAACUACCUCAGAACAUACCUCAUUGGGUUUUUGCUGGCUUCCAGUGUUGUUGCUUCUGUACUACCUUCAGAACAACCAAACACCCGAAACAGAUUGCUGAAGUCACAAAAAGCACUACAUUAUAUACUGGUUGAUGGUGGAAUCUCUAGGAUUCCUUCUCUUGUACAUUCAUGCCUUCAAGUUUUGUUUUCUGUUUGCUGGGAUUGUGUUUAUUGUUGAUUGUAUAGGUUCACACCCAGCAGCUUAUUUUGUUCUGAUGGGCUCUUUUGUUUGGUGUCUUGAUAGUGUAUUGGGGAAAUAUGCUUAUUUUUGUCUAAAGGCAUAUCAACCAAUAUGCAGCCAUCUUGAUGAUGUUCUUGCCAUGGGAAUUUUUUCCAUUCCCUAUUUAUUAAUGGAUGAUAUCUAAUGAUUUCCAAAAAAAAAAUAUGAUGACCAGGUCCUUCCAUAUUGUUGAUGUUUUAUAUAAGAUGAUAAAAAGAAUUAUUCAAAUAUCUAAACUGUACCUGUAGGAACCAGUAGCCAAUCGAAGUCCAUCUCCACUUAGACAACACUCAAAUUUGUCAAAGAUAGAAUCAUUUUCAUAUAGAUCGCAAAGCUGCUCAAGGUCCAAAAAAGAAAAAAAUCACCCAUCAUAUAGGGUAAAUGUAGUGUCUCUUUUUUAAAUAUUACCUAAACCCUACAAAAGAAUCUAAGAAGAAUAUGUUACCUUUGGUCUAAGAUAUUCAUGAACCUGGAAAGUUGCAACUGGACCAGAAUCCAUAUUUAUGUCCCACAACUGACAGCCAAGAAACCAAAACCUUGUUACAGAACAAUAGAAGAGGAGGAAGGAGUAAAUAAAUAUAGAAAUUCAGCUAUUAUACUAGCAUCAUAUCUGGUAGUUAUGACACAACAGCAAAGUGCUGCUCAAAAGAGAAAAACUAAUUUCACAUAAAAAUAUAUCAACCUUAAGGGUCAUGUAAUCACGACUUAGUAUAUGCCUUCCAUCCUUGGCAAACUUAAUGUCUGAGAUUGAUGCUAUGAUCUCUGUGAAAAAAGACCUGGAGCCGGGAGCCUCUUGUUCCUCAAACCUAUACCAUCAAAAAUCUUAUAAAAACACAGAGAAAACAACAUGAAAGAAAACACAAUUAAAGCAUCUAUAGCUAAUAAUGAUCCAAGCACUAUAAUGAAUAAACCAAUAAAAAACAGAAAUACCACAUGUCACUUACAAUUUGCUGUGAGUAUCACACAGCGCAGACUGGCGCAUAUCAAUAAGACGAAUUGAACCCUUUGAACUACUAUAUGCUAACAUAUUACAGUGUGUAGGAUGAAAUUCUGCCGAAGUUAUCACCUCUGCAAGUAUUGAUUCAAAUAAAUCAAUCAUACAAACAUGAAAAAUACAUAUAGUAUUACUUUUUAGGGAAACAUCAUAAAUUGACAGCAUUGAUGUUUG
Molecule: long non-coding RNA, 125308 nt
Filed under: Theobroma cacao (cacao)
Lineage: Eukaryota; Viridiplantae; Streptophyta; Magnoliopsida; Malvales; Malvaceae
Description: long non-coding RNA (TCAC_LNC005088)
Rfam family: Small nucleolar RNA R38 (bases 100237-100321)
Source: RNAcentral